This 97291-nucleotide long non-coding RNA is filed under the name Brassica napus (rape). Its description in RNAcentral is "long non-coding RNA (BNAP_LNC023961)". The record is from RNAcentral. Lineage: Eukaryota; Viridiplantae; Streptophyta; Magnoliopsida; Brassicales; Brassicaceae.
UAAGAGAAUAAAGAACAAGAGAGAAUACUCAAAACUCCAUUAGAUUGAUUAAUGAGAGAGUUUACAACAUAUAUAGAGUAGGGAUACAUAAAAACGUCCAGGUUCAGUCUAGCUAGGAUAAGAAGCAUGUGUAGUCAAAGAUGCCUUAUUCAAACUAGCCAAUAAGGUUCCUCACAUGCUUGGGUAUCUUGCUUUAGCUUUCCAGCUGUGCCAGCCUGUCUAAAGCUUUCUUCCCUUGACCAGACCUUAUCCAAACUCCUCCUUGCUUAUCCAUACUCCCCCUGGCGUGUUUCACCCUCCAAAUAGGUGCAAGGUAACUUCCCAAGUCUUAUAACUCAGUUACCACAGUAACAAUAAAGUUACUGUGGUAAAUCACCAAAGUUACUGCCUGCUCCAAAUCCCUUCCUCUAUCCAUGUAUCAACUCUUCAUCUCCUCAUCUCAACACUUACAAAGUGAUUCAUCCUGGUUUGUAUGGAACGACGAAGAAGCUGUGCUAUUCCCAAACUGGGAAACUGGAAUCACCUGAUUUGAAAGUGGGAUAACUUCUUCAUGCCAACUUGAUAUGAUCAUGGACCAGCCAAACAAAGAAGAUGAUGAGAGCAUGGAUGUUCCAACUGAUGGAGGAGCUCUAGCCAUAUCUGAAGGUCAUAUGACUCGAGCCAGAAGCAAGCAACUCAAAGAAGCCAUUGGAGGAUUACUUAAGACAUCACUGAAGCAAGAAGAGAGUCUUGGAAGAAGCUUGAUCAACCAAGACACACUUGCCACAAUUCAUGCCAUCUCAGCUCCAAGAUAGACAUCAAAUGAGCAAGUAACAUAUGUGUGCUCUUUUUCCCUAUCUUUGGUUUUGUCCCACUGGGUUUUCCAAAGAUAGGUUUUUAAUGAGGCCAUAUGUUGCUUUCCUAUCACUCAUUUGAUGAUCUCAGUUCAAGACUUUAUUUUAAUUAUUUAUCUUUGUUAACAUGAAGCAGAAUUAGGCUGCUAAACUUGAGAAUUAAGCUGCCAGACUUGAGAACCCUUAUAUGGUUUUAUAAGGUUUUUUAUAAGGUUUUAUAAGGUUUAUUUUUAAGGCUCAUUUAGAGACCAAGGAGCCUGUUAUGAGUUUUAGUAAUGUUUAGAGUAAUCUGAGUGUUUAGGAAAGACUAGAAACGAUUUAGUGAAGAUUAGAGUAUGGAAUGAGAUUAGGAGUCUAAUAUGGAACCAUUGAGAUUUAAAGACUAAGAGAGAGUCUCAAAACUUGCUUAAUUUAUUAAUGAGUGAGGUUACAUAUUUAUAAGGGAGACACAAGGGUUUACAAGAAGGGAAAUCGCCACUGUUUAACCGUGUGGAGUCAAUGGGAGCCUUUUGAAUGAUUGGCCAGGAUGGCUCACAUGCUUAUGGCAUCUUGGACUACUUUCCAGCCUGUUCCAGCCUGGCACGCGCGUCCCUUAUCCUACUACCAGUCUUAUCCCUUCACUAAGCCCUUAAGGUAACUUCUACCUUGUUACGGUUUCACUUGGUCAGGUUGGGUAACUUCUGGUCGAGGCAUUUAGUACGGACGGUACGGCCAUGUACGGCCUUGUACGGCCGUCCGUACCAUGCUUGCCCAAAGUCCCCUCAUUCCUUUCUCCUCUUCUCUUCAACACCUUAUCUCUUCAUAUCCAUAUACUCAACUCAUCUCAACACCUGUUCCUUGCCUUCUCUAUAAAUAUGUGUCUGAAAACCCUAAUAGAACUAUCCAAUCUUUAUUUCUAAACUCUUGUUUCUCUCUAGUCGGCCGCAAGCUUGUCUUGUAGAUCUGAGAUUUCUUGAGUCUUUGUUAGUGUGUCAUAUCUAACAAAACCACAAGAGUGAUUGUCUUGGUGUGUCAUAUCCAAGGGAUUCACUUAGGAGUAUCAAGGAGACCUCUCACAUCUCUUUGUGUCACCAUUCAUUCCACAAACCUUGAAGCAGAUUGAGUCUUUGAUUCUCUGUUUGCAAGGAUCUAUCCCAUUCCAACCAGAGAACCAUCCUAGGAGUGUAUUAUGUGGUAUCAGAGCAACUCUGGCUAGGGAAGUUCUCGUUUUCUUUAAGUUUUCACUCAAAUCUGUCUCUUGGUUUCAUAACUAUUGAUAGAUCUGAGUUUUGUUGUGUUGUUUCUGUCGAUUUGAUUCACUCUGAGUUCAGUAUUGCUAGAUCUGUUGCUGUGUGUUUUUAAAUUGAUAGAUCUGAAAGUUUCUAUUUUAGAUCUGUGAUAGAUCCGAUCAUCUCUUGUUGUUUCUUUGAUAGAUCUGUUGUUGUUUUGUUAAAAUCUGAUAAAAGUAGAGGUGUUGAUCGUGUGAAUUCGAAAAGACUUUUGAGAUUCUUAUUGGAUAAGUUACCGGAAAUUCAAAUCUGAUAGAAAUCUCUUUUCCCGCCUAUUUAAUCUUUUGUUCUUGUUUCCUUAUUUGAAUUAAUUUCUUUUUGUUUCUUGAACUUCUUACUGUCGAUUUUCUUCUGUUGUUUCAGGUACUAUGGCAGGAGAUCCAGAAGAGGAUGAAGGAGUUAGUCUCGAACACAAAGCUUUGCUGGAAGCUUUGACUCGCCGUAUGCAAAACAUGAUGGAAACGAGAAUGAUUUCUUUCCGCGAAGAACUUGAUGCCCAGUCUUCAGAACAGAGGCGUGAACCAAGGCAGAACCGACGAGAUAAUACUAGACAAGAGCAUGGUGGAUCACAGGAGACUGAUAACUAUUAUGAGCGCCACAGAGUUGAGAAGAGUGGUUCAUCAUCAUCAUCGCGAGAUAAUAGAAGGAGAUAUCAUCGUGAUCGUGAUGGGAGAAGAUCUUACCGUGAUGAGUUUGCUGGUUUGAAGAUUAAAAUUCCUCCCUUCCAUGGCAAGGUUGAUCCAGACGCUUAUCUCGAGUGGGAGAAGAAGAUUGAGCUCGUUUUCAACUGCCAACACUACACCAAUGCUCAAAGAAUCCAGAUUGCUGCUACUGAGUUUCAUGAUUAUGCCUUGAGCUGGUGGGAUCAAUUGGUUACUACAAGGAGGUUGAAUCAGGAGUAUCCAGUUGAGUCUUGGCAUGAGAUGAAGUCUCUUAUGCGGAAGAGGUUUGUGCCUAGCCAUUAUCACCGCGACUUGCAUCAGAAAUUGAGAAGACUUACACAAGGAUCUAAGACCGUGGAGGAGUACUAUCAGGACAUGGAACUACUGAUUUUGAGAGCUGGUAUAUCUGAGGACAGAGAGGCUACUAUGUCAAGGUUUCUUGGAGGACUUAACCGCGAGAUACAGGACAGUGUGGAGAUGCAACACUAUGUGGAGAUAGAAGAGAUGUUGCACAAAGCUAUUCUGGUGGAGCAGCAGAUCAAAAGGAAGCAUCACUCCCAUAGCAACUAUAGCUCCAGCAAGUACCAACAUUUUAAAGAUGAGAAACCAUCCUACCUGAAAGACAGUAAGCCUCCGCAGAAAGAAGAUAGUAAGCCGGGUAGCAUAUUCAGCAAAGACCGAGACAAAGACAAAGGCAAAGCAGAAGCUACUAGUUCCAGAUCCCGAGAUGUUAAGUGUUUCAAGUGCCAAGGGCGUGGGCAUUAUGCCAAUGAGUGCACCAACAAAAAGGUCAUGAUUCUUCUUGAGAAUGGAGAGUAUGAAUCAGAAGAAGAGAAGUCUGAAUCUGAUCUUGAUCAAUCUGGAGAAGAAAGUGAAGUAGAACCAGUGAGAGGAAGGUUGUUGGUGACAAGAAGACUCUUGAACUUGCAAACUAAGAAUAGAGACCUUGAGCAGCGUGAGAAUCUGUUUUACACAAGGUGUAUGGUUCAGGGAAAGGUGUGCAGUCUCAUUAUUGAUGGAGGAAGUUGUGUCAAUGUAGCUAGUGAGACAAUGGUGAAGAAAUUGGGUUUGAAGAUUCAGAAACACCCAAAACCAUACAGAUUGCAGUGGCUUAAUGAGGAGGGCGAAAUGAGAGUGUCAACUCAAGUGCUGGUUCCUAUAGCCAUUGGUAGAUAUGAAGAUGAAGUCUUGUGUAACGUGUUGCCAAUGGAAGCCAGUCAUAUACUCCUUGGAAGACCCUGGCAGUAUGAUAGACGUGUGAAUCAUGAUGGCUUCACCAACAAGCACUCAUUUGAAUUCAAUGGAAAGAAGACUGUACUGGUGCCUUUAUCUCCUAAAGAGGUUCAUGAAGAUCAACUCCAGCUUCAGAAAAAGAAGGAGAAAGAGAUAGACCUCAAACCUGAUCAGAACAAGCAUCACAGCCUCUAUGCCAAUCAGGGAGAUAUCAAAAGAAUUCUUUACUCUCAAAAUUCUAUUAUCUUGCUUAUGUUUAAGGAGACUUUACUAACAGUUACUGAUCACACACCGGAUCAUCCGAGUGAACUAGUCUCUCUUUUACAGGAAUAUGCAGAUGUGUUUCCCGAAGAUAGCCCCAUUGGAUUGCCUCCAGUUCGUGGGAUUGAGCACCAAAUCGACUUUGUACCUGGUUCAACACUACCAAACAGACCUGCAUACAGAACUAAUCCAGUGGAGACUAAAGAAUUGCAAAGACAAGUAGAGGAGCUGAUGGAGAAGGGUCAUAUCCGAGAGAGCUUGAGUCCCUGUGCAGUUCCAGUGCUCCUUGUGCCUAAGAAAGAUGGGAGCUGGCGCAUGUGUGUUGAUUGUAGAGCAAUCAACAACAUAACAGUGAAGUAUCGCCACCCUAUUCCUAGAUUAGAUGAUAUGCUUGAUGAGUUACAUGGUUCUUGCUUCUUUUUUAAGAUAGAUUUGAAAAGUGGAUAUCAUCAGAUUAGGAUGAAAGAAGGAGAUGAGUGGAAAACUGCUUUUAAAACUAAACAUGGCUUGUAUGAGUGGUUAGUUAUGCCAUUUGGAUUAACCAAUGCUCCUAGUACAUUCAUGAGACUGAUGAAUCAUAUCCUUAGGUCUUUCAUAGGCAUCUUUGUUGUUGUGUACUUUGAUGAUAUAUUAGUUUACAGCAAAUGCUUAGAAGAUCAUAUAGAACAUCUUAGGGCUGUUUUGGAUGUUUUGAGAAAAGAAAAACUUUAUGCCAAUCUGAAGAAGUGCACUUUUUGCACAGAUAACUUGGUCUUUCUAGGUUUUGUUGUAAGUGCAGAUGGUGUAAAGGUGGAUCAGGAGAAGAUCAAAGCAAUACAAGAGUGGCCGAGUCCAACUACAGUGGGAGAAGUAAGGAGUUUCCAUGGACUGGCAGGUUUCUAUAGGCGCUUUGUGAAGGAUUUCAGCACUCUAGCAGCUCCCCUGACUGAGAUAAUCAAGAAGGAUGUAGGAUUCAAGUGGGGAGAAGUUCAAGAAGCCGCAUUCCAACUCCUUAAAGAGAAGCUUACUCAAUCUCCUCUUCUCAUACUUCCUGAUUUUUCUAAAACAUUUGAAAUAGAGUGUGAUGCCUCAGGAAUUGGAAUUGGUGCUGUGUUGAUGCAAGAUAAAAGACCUAUUGCUUAUUUCAGUGAGAAACUCAGUGGAGCUACUCUCAACUAUGCCACUUAUGACAAAGAACUCUACGCCUUGGUGAGAGCUCUACAGACUUGGCAGCAUUAUCUCUGGCCAAAGGAGUUUGUCAUUCACACAGACCAUGAAUCUCUCAAGUACCUCAAAGGACAAAGCAAGCUCAGCAAGAGACACGCCAGAUGGGUAGAAUUCAUUGAAACCUUCCCUUAUGUGAUCAAAUACAAACAAGGUAAGGAAAAUAUAGUUGCUGAUGCACUAUCCAGAAGGUAUGUCCUCUUGAAUACUCUUGAUGUUAAGUUGCUAGGCUUUGAGCAGAUUAAAGAAAUGUAUGAAUCUGAUCCUGACUUUCAAGAAGCUUAUAAUUCAUGUGCUAAGUAUGCUGCUGGACAUUACUUUAGGCAUGAUGGAUUCUUUUCUAUGACAAUCGUUUAUGUGUGCCUAAUUGCUCUUUGAGAGAUCUAUUUGUCAAGGAAUCCCAUGGAGGAAGCUUGAUGGGUCAUUUUGGUAUAGCAAAAACUCUUAAAGUCUUGCAGGAUCACUUUUACUGGCCACAUAUGAAACGAGAUGUUGAGAGAAUCUGUGGUAGAUGCACCACUUGCAAGCUUGCCAAAUCUAAGGUUCAACCACAUGGUUUGUACACUCCUUUACCUAUUCCUACUCACCCGUGGAAUGAUAUAUCCAUGGAUUUUAUUGUGGGUUUGCCAAGGACCACGACAGGUAAGGAUUCUAUCUUUGUAGUUGUGGAUAGGUUUUCAAAAAUGGCACAUUUCAUUGCUUGCCAUAAAACUGAUGAUGCAUUGCAUGUUGCUAACCUGUUCUUUAAAGAUAUUGUGCGCAUUCAUGGCAUGCCUAAGACUAUAGUUUCUGAUAGAGAUACUAAGUUUCUUAGUUAUUUUUGGAAGACUCUUUGGUCUAAGCUAGGUACUAAGCUGUUAUUCUCUACUACAUGUCAUCCACAAACUGAUGGGCAAACUGAGGUAGUUAAUAGAACUCUUGGAACUCUCUUGCGUGCAUUCAUUAAAAAGAAUAUGAAAUCAUGGGAAGAGUACUUGCCUCACUGUGAAUUUGCUUAUAAUCAUGCUCAGCAUUCUGCUUCUAAGUAUUCUCCUUUUGAAAUUGUUUAUGGGUUCAAUCCCAUCUCACCUUUGGAUCUAAUGCCUUUACCUGAGUGUGAAAGGGUGAGCAUGGAUGGGAAAAAGAAAGCAGAAAUGGUACAGCAGAUUCAUGAGCAGGCAAGAAGAAACAUUGUGGAGAAAACCAAGCAGUACACUAAAAGAGCAAACAAAGGCAGGCGUGAGAUGAUCUUUGAUGUAGGUGAUAAAGUGUGGGUUCACUUGCGCAAGGAGAGGUUUCCAAAUGAAAGAAAAUCUAAGCUCAUGCCGCGGAUUGAUGGCCCUUUUGAAGUCAUCCAGAAAAUCAAUGACAAUGCCUACAAGCUUGAUCUUCAAGGUAAGUAUGAUAUAAGUAAUAGCUUUAAUGUUACUGACUUGGCUCCUUUUGUUGCAGAUGAGCUAGAUUUGAGGACAAAUCCUGUUCAAGAGGAAGGGGAUGAUAUGAUCAUGGACCAGCCAAACAAAGAAGAUAAUGAGAGCAUGGAUGAUCCAACUGAUGGAGAAGCUCUAGCCAUAUCUGAAGGUCCUAUGACUCAAGCCAGAAGCAAGCAACUCAAAGAAGCCAUUGGAGGAUUACUUAAGACAUCACUGAAGCAAGAAGAGAGUCUUGGAAGAAGCUUGAUCAACCAAGACACACUUGCCACAAUUCAAGCCAUCUCAGCUCCAAGAUAGACAUCAAAUGAGCAAGUAACAUAUGUGUGCUCUUUUUCCCUAUCUUUGGUUUUGUCCCACUGGGUUUUCCAAAGAUAGGUUUUUAAUGAGGCCAUAUGUUGCUUUCCUAUCACUCAUUUGAUGAUCUCAGUUCAAGACUUUAUUUUAAUUAUUUAUCUUUGUUAACAUGAAGCAGAAUUAGGCUGCUAGACUUGAGAAUUAAGCUGCCAGACUUGAGAACCCUUAUAAGGUUUUAUAAGGUUUUUUAUAAGGUUUUAUAAGGUUUAUUUUUAAGGCUCAUUUAGAGACCAAGGAGCUUGUUCCUUGCCUUCUCUAUAAAUAUGUGUCUGAAAACCCUAAUAGAACUAUCCAAUCUUUAUUUCUAAACUCUUGUUUCUCUCUAGUCGGCCGCAAGCUUGUCUUGUAGAUCUGAGAUUUCUUGAGUCUUUGUUAGUGUGUCAUAUCUAACAAAACCACAAGAGUGAUUGUCUUGGUGUGUCAUAUCCAAGGGAUUCACUUAGGAGUAUCAAGGAGACCUCUCACAUCUCUUUGUGUCACCAUUCAUUCCACAAACCUUGAAGCAGAUUGAGUCUUUGAUUCUCUGUUUGCAAGGAUCUAUCCCAUUCCAACCAGAGAACCAUCCUAGGAGUGUAUUAUGUGGUAUCAGAGCAACUCUGGCUAGGGAAGUUCUCGUUUUCUUUAAGUUUUCACUCAAAUCUGUCUCUUGGUUUCAUAACUAUUGAUAGAUCUGAGUUUUGUUGUGUUGUUUCUGUCGAUUUGAUUCACUCUGAGUUCAGUAUUGCUAGAUCUGUUGCUGUGUGUUUUUAAAUUGAUAGAUCUGAAAGUUUCUAUUUUAGAUCUGUGAUAGAUCCGAUCAUCUCUUGUUGUUUCUUUGAUAGAUCUGUUGUUGUUUUGUUAAAAUCUGAUAAAAGUAGAGGUGUUGAUCGUGUGAAUUCGAAAAGACUUUUGAGAUUCUUAUUGGAUAAGUUACCGGAAAUUCAAAUCUGAUAGAAAUCUCUUUUCCCGCCUAUUUAAUCUUUUGUUCUUGUUUCCUUAUUUGAAUUAAUUUCUUUUUGUUUCUUGAACUUCUUACUGUCGAUUUUCUUCUGUUGUUUCAGGUACUAUGGCAGGAGAUCCAGAAGAGGAUGAAGGAGUUAGUCUCGAACACAAAGCUUUGCUGGAAGCUUUGACUCGCCGUAUGCAAAACAUGAUGGAAACGAGAAUGAUUUCUUUCCGCGAAGAACUUGAUGCCCAGUCUUCAGAACAGAGGCGUGAACCAAGGCAGAACCGACGAGAUAAUACUAGACAAGAGCAUGGUGGAUCACAGGAGACUGAUAACUAUUAUGAGCGCCACAGAGUUGAGAAGAGUGGUUCAUCAUCAUCAUCGCGAGAUAAUAGAAGGAGAUAUCAUCGUGAUCGUGAUGGGAGAAGAUCUUACCGUGAUGAGUUUGCUGGUUUGAAGAUUAAAAUUCCUCCCUUCCAUGGCAAGGUUGAUCCAGACGCUUAUCUCGAGUGGGAGAAGAAGAUUGAGCUCGUUUUCAACUGCCAACACUACACCAAUGCUCAAAGAAUCCAGAUUGCUGCUACUGAGUUUCAUGAUUAUGCCUUGAGCUGGUGGGAUCAAUUGGUUACUACAAGGAGGUUGAAUCAGGAGUAUCCAGUUGAGUCUUGGCAUGAGAUGAAGUCUCUUAUGCGGAAGAGGUUUGUGCCUAGCCAUUAUCACCGCGACUUGCAUCAGAAAUUGAGAAGACUUACACAAGGAUCUAAGACCGUGGAGGAGUACUAUCAGGACAUGGAACUACUGAUUUUGAGAGCUGGUAUAUCUGAGGACAGAGAGGCUACUAUGUCAAGGUUUCUUGGAGGACUUAACCGCGAGAUACAGGACAGUGUGGAGAUGCAACACUAUGUGGAGAUAGAAGAGAUGUUGCACAAAGCUAUUCUGGUGGAGCAGCAGAUCAAAAGGAAGCAUCACUCCCAUAGCAACUAUAGCUCCAGCAAGUACCAACAUUUUAAAGAUGAGAAACCAUCCUACCUGAAAGACAGUAAGCCUCCGCAGAAAGAAGAUAGUAAGCCGGGUAGCAUAUUCAGCAAAGACCGAGACAAAGACAAAGGCAAAGCAGAAGCUACUAGUUCCAGAUCCCGAGAUGUUAAGUGUUUCAAGUGCCAAGGGCGUGGGCAUUAUGCCAAUGAGUGCACCAACAAAAAGGUCAUGAUUCUUCUUGAGAAUGGAGAGUAUGAAUCAGAAGAAGAGAAGUCUGAAUCUGAUCUUGAUCAAUCUGGAGAAGAAAGUGAAGUAGAACCAGUGAGAGGAAGGUUGUUGGUGACAAGAAGACUCUUGAACUUGCAAACUAAGAAUAGAGACCUUGAGCAGCGUGAGAAUCUGUUUUACACAAGGUGUAUGGUUCAGGGAAAGGUGUGCAGUCUCAUUAUUGAUGGAGGAAGUUGUGUCAAUGUAGCUAGUGAGACAAUGGUGAAGAAAUUGGGUUUGAAGAUUCAGAAACACCCAAAACCAUACAGAUUGCAGUGGCUUAAUGAGGAGGGCGAAAUGAGAGUGUCAACUCAAGUGCUGGUUCCUAUAGCCAUUGGUAGAUAUGAAGAUGAAGUCUUGUGUAACGUGUUGCCAAUGGAAGCCAGUCAUAUACUCCUUGGAAGACCCUGGCAGUAUGAUAGACGUGUGAAUCAUGAUGGCUUCACCAACAAGCACUCAUUUGAAUUCAAUGGAAAGAAGACUGUACUGGUGCCUUUAUCUCCUAAAGAGGUUCAUGAAGAUCAACUCCAGCUUCAGAAAAAGAAGGAGAAAGAGAUAGACCUCAAACCUGAUCAGAACAAGCAUCACAGCCUCUAUGCCAAUCAGGGAGAUAUCAAAAGAAUUCUUUACUCUCAAAAUUCUAUUAUCUUGCUUAUGUUUAAGGAGACUUUACUAACAGUUACUGAUCACACACCGGAUCAUCCGAGUGAACUAGUCUCUCUUUUACAGGAAUAUGCAGAUGUGUUUCCCGAAGAUAGCCCCAUUGGAUUGCCUCCAGUUCGUGGGAUUGAGCACCAAAUCGACUUUGUACCUGGUUCAACACUACCAAACAGACCUGCAUACAGAACUAAUCCAGUGGAGACUAAAGAAUUGCAAAGACAAGUAGAGGAGCUGAUGGAGAAGGGUCAUAUCCGAGAGAGCUUGAGUCCCUGUGCAGUUCCAGUGCUCCUUGUGCCUAAGAAAGAUGGGAGCUGGCGCAUGUGUGUUGAUUGUAGAGCAAUCAACAACAUAACAGUGAAGUAUCGCCACCCUAUUCCUAGAUUAGAUGAUAUGCUUGAUGAGUUACAUGGUUCUUGCUUCUUUUUUAAGAUAGAUUUGAAAAGUGGAUAUCAUCAGAUUAGGAUGAAAGAAGGAGAUGAGUGGAAAACUGCUUUUAAAACUAAACAUGGCUUGUAUGAGUGGUUAGUUAUGCCAUUUGGAUUAACCAAUGCUCCUAGUACAUUCAUGAGACUGAUGAAUCAUAUCCUUAGGUCUUUCAUAGGCAUCUUUGUUGUUGUGUACUUUGAUGAUAUAUUAGUUUACAGCAAAUGCUUAGAAGAUCAUAUAGAACAUCUUAGGGCUGUUUUGGAUGUUUUGAGAAAAGAAAAACUUUAUGCCAAUCUGAAGAAGUGCACUUUUUGCACAGAUAACUUGGUCUUUCUAGGUUUUGUUGUAAGUGCAGAUGGUGUAAAGGUGGAUCAGGAGAAGAUCAAAGCAAUACAAGAGUGGCCGAGUCCAACUACAGUGGGAGAAGUAAGGAGUUUCCAUGGACUGGCAGGUUUCUAUAGGCGCUUUGUGAAGGAUUUCAGCACUCUAGCAGCUCCCCUGACUGAGAUAAUCAAGAAGGAUGUAGGAUUCAAGUGGGGAGAAGUUCAAGAAGCCGCAUUCCAACUCCUUAAAGAGAAGCUUACUCAAUCUCCUCUUCUCAUACUUCCUGAUUUUUCUAAAACAUUUGAAAUAGAGUGUGAUGCCUCAGGAAUUGGAAUUGGUGCUGUGUUGAUGCAAGAUAAAAGACCUAUUGCUUAUUUCAGUGAGAAACUCAGUGGAGCUACUCUCAACUAUGCCACUUAUGACAAAGAACUCUACGCCUUGGUGAGAGCUCUACAGACUUGGCAGCAUUAUCUCUGGCCAAAGGAGUUUGUCAUUCACACAGACCAUGAAUCUCUCAAGUACCUCAAAGGACAAAGCAAGCUCAGCAAGAGACACGCCAGAUGGGUAGAAUUCAUUGAAACCUUCCCUUAUGUGAUCAAAUACAAACAAGGUAAGGAAAAUAUAGUUGCUGAUGCACUAUCCAGAAGGUAUGUCCUCUUGAAUACUCUUGAUGUUAAGUUGCUAGGCUUUGAGCAGAUUAAAGAAAUGUAUGAAUCUGAUCCUGACUUUCAAGAAGCUUAUAAUUCAUGUGCUAAGUAUGCUGCUGGACAUUACUUUAGGCAUGAUGGAUUCUUUUCUAUGACAAUCGUUUAUGUGUGCCUAAUUGCUCUUUGAGAGAUCUAUUUGUCAAGGAAUCCCAUGGAGGAAGCUUGAUGGGUCAUUUUGGUAUAGCAAAAACUCUUAAAGUCUUGCAGGAUCACUUUUACUGGCCACAUAUGAAACGAGAUGUUGAGAGAAUCUGUGGUAGAUGCACCACUUGCAAGCUUGCCAAAUCUAAGGUUCAACCACAUGGUUUGUACACUCCUUUACCUAUUCCUACUCACCCGUGGAAUGAUAUAUCCAUGGAUUUUAUUGUGGGUUUGCCAAGGACCACGACAGGUAAGGAUUCUAUCUUUGUAGUUGUGGAUAGGUUUUCAAAAAUGGCACAUUUCAUUGCUUGCCAUAAAACUGAUGAUGCAUUGCAUGUUGCUAACCUGUUCUUUAAAGAUAUUGUGCGCAUUCAUGGCAUGCCUAAGACUAUAGUUUCUGAUAGAGAUACUAAGUUUCUUAGUUAUUUUUGGAAGACUCUUUGGUCUAAGCUAGGUACUAAGCUGUUAUUCUCUACUACAUGUCAUCCACAAACUGAUGGGCAAACUGAGGUAGUUAAUAGAACUCUUGGAACUCUCUUGCGUGCAUUCAUUAAAAAGAAUAUGAAAUCAUGGGAAGAGUACUUGCCUCACUGUGAAUUUGCUUAUAAUCAUGCUCAGCAUUCUGCUUCUAAGUAUUCUCCUUUUGAAAUUGUUUAUGGGUUCAAUCCCAUCUCACCUUUGGAUCUAAUGCCUUUACCUGAGUGUGAAAGGGUCAAAGAGAGUCUACUGGCUCAGAUGAGAGUGGAGAGUGGGAAGGAGAUCCUAAUGGGUCAAAUGAGAGUGGUGCUCAAUCAAGUGAAGAUGAGCAAGAGCCACAAGAAGAACAUGUUCAGGAGCUAAUGAGGAGCACAAGGGUGAAGAGAGAUGCUUCCAACUGGGUAAACACGAGAGUGUACUACAAUGCCCAGGCUGUGGAGCAUCCUUCUCAAGCUAUGUGUUCCUUUGCAGAGUUUCCGGACGAGCAUACAUCCUUCACAGUAAGCUUGGAUGAGAGCUAUAUUCCAAGGACAUAUGAAGAAGCUAUGUGAUGUGAUCAUGGACCAGCCAAACAAAGAAGAUAAUGAGAGCAUGGAUGAUCCAACUGAUGGAGGAGCUCUAGCGAUAUCUGAAGGUCCUAUGACUCGAGCCAGAAGCAAGCAACUCAAAGAAGCCAUUGGAGGAUUACUUAAGACAUCACUGAAGCAAGAAGAGAGUCUUGGAAGAAGCUUGAUCAACCAAGACACACUUGCCACAAUUCAAGCCAUCUCAGCUCCAAGAUAGACAUCAAAUGAGCAAGUAACAUAUGUGUGCUCUUUUUCCCUAUAUUUGGUUUUGUCCCACUGGGUUUUCCAAAGAUAGGUUUUUAAUGAGGCCAUAUGUUGCUUUCCUAUCACUCAUUUGAUGAUCUCAGUUCAAGACUUUAUUUUAAUUAUUUAUCUUUGUUAACAUGAAGCAGAAUUAGGCUGCUAGACUUGAGAAUUAAGCUGCCAGACUUGAGAACCCUUAUAAGGUUUUAUAAGGUUUUUAUAAGGUUUAUUUUUAAGGCCCAUUUAGAGACCAAGGAGCCUGUUCCUUGCCUUCUCUAUAAAUAUGUGUCUGAAAACCCUAAUAGAACUAUCCAAUCUUUAUUUCUAAACUCUUGUUUCUCUCUAGUCGGCCGCAAGCUUGUCUUGUAGAUCUGAGAUUUCUUGAGUCUUUGUUAGUGUGUCAUAUCUAACAAAACCACAAGAGUGAUUGUCUUGGUGUGUCAUAUCCAAGGGAUUCACUUAGGAGUAUCAAGGAUACCUCUCACAUCUCUUUGUGUCACCAUUCAUUCCACAAACCUUGAAGCAGAUUGAGUCUUUGAUUCUCUGUUUGCAAGGAUCUAUCCCAUUCCAACCAGAGAAGCAUCCUAGGAGUGUAUUAUGUGGUAUCAGAGCAACUCUGGCUAGGGAAGUUCUCGUUUUCUUUAAGUUUUCACUCAAAUCUGUCUCUUGGUUUCAUAACUAUUGAUAGAUCUGAGUUUUGUUGUGUUGUUUCUGUCGAUUUGAUUCACUCUGAGUUCAGUAUUGCUAGAUCUGUUGCUGUGUGUUUUUAAAUUGAUAGAUCUGAAAGUUUCUAUUUUAGAUCUGUGAUAGAUCCGAUCAUCUCUUGUUGUUUCUUUGAUAGAUCUGUUGUUGUUUUGUUAAAAUCUGAUAAAAGAAGAGGUGUUGAUCGUGUGAAUUCGAAAAGACUCUUGAGAUUCUUAUUGGAUAAGUUACCGGAAAUUCAAAUCUGAUAGAAAUCUCUUUUGCCGCCUAUUUAAUCUUUUGUUCUUGUUUCCUUAUUUGAAUUGAUUUCUUUUUGUUUCUUGAACUUCUUACUGUCGAUUUUCUUUUGUUGUUUCAGGUACUAUGGCAGGAGAUCCAGAAGAGGAUGAAGGAGUUAGUCUCGAACACAAAGCUUUGCUGGAAGCUUUGACUCGCCGUAUGCAAAACAUGAUGGAAACGAGAUUGAUUUCUUUCCGCGAAGAACUUGAUGCCCAGCCUUCAGAACAGAGGCGUGAACCAAGGCAGAACCGACGAGAUAAUACUAGACAAGAGCAUGGUGGAUCACAGGAGACUGAUAACUAUUAUGAGAGCCACAGAGUUGAGAAGAGUGGUUCAUCAUCAACAUCGCGAGAUAAUAGAAGGAGAUAUCAUCGUGAUCGUGAUGGGAGAAGAUCUUACCGUGAUGAGUUUGCUGGUUUGAAGAUUAAAAUUCCUCCCUUCCAUGGCAAGGUUGAUCCAGACGCUUAUCUCGAGUGGGAGAAGAAGAUUGAGCUUGUUUUCAACUGCCAACACUACACCAAUGCUCAAAGAAUCCAGAUUGCUGCUACUGAGUUUCAUGAUUAUGCCUUGAGCUGGUGGGAUCAAUUGGUUACUACAAGGAGGUUGAAUCAGGAGUAUCCAGUUGAGUCUUGGCAUGAGAUGAAGUCUCUUAUGCGGAAGAGGUUUGUGCCUAGCCAUUAUCACCGCGACUUGCAUCAGAAAUUGAGAAGACUUACACAAGGAUCUAAGACCAUGGAGGAGUACUAUCAGGACAUGGAACUACUGAUGUUGAGAGCUGAUAUAUCUGAGGACAGAGAGGAUACUAUGUCAAGGUUUCUUGGAGGACUUAACCGCGAGAUACAGGACAGUGUGGAGAUGCAACACUAUGUGGAGAUAGAAGAGAUGUUGCACAAAGCUAUUCUGGUGGAGCAGCAGAUCAAAAGGAAGCAUCACUCCCGUAGCAACUAUAGCUCCAGCAAGUACCAACAUUCUAAAGAUGAGAAACCAUCCUACCUGAAAGACAGUAAGCCUCCGCAGAAAGAAGAUAGUAAUCCGGGUAGCAUAUUCAGCAAAGACCGAGACAAAGACAAAGGCAAAGCAGAAGCUACUAGUUCCAGAUCCCGAGAUGUUAAGUGUUUCAAGUGCCAAGGGCGUGGGCAUUAUGCCAAUGAGUGCACCAACAAAAAGGUCAUGAUUCUUCUUGAGAAUGGAGAGUAUGAAUCAGAAGAAGAGAAGUCUGAAUCUGAUCUUGAUCAAUCUGGAGAAGAAAGUGAAGUAGAACCAGUGAGAGGAAGGUUGUUGGUGACAAGAAGACUCUUGAACUUGCUAACUAAGAAUAGAGACCUUGAGCAGCGUGAGAAUCUGUUUUACACAAGGUGUAUGGUUCAGGGAAAGGUGUGCAGUCUCAUUAUUGAUGGAGGAAGUUGUGUCAAUGUAGCUAGUGAGACAAUGGUGAAGAAAUUGGGUUUGAAGAUUCAGAAACACCCAAAACCAUACAGAUUGCAGUGGCUUAAUGAGGAGGGCGAAAUGAGAGUGUCAACUCAAGUGCUGGUUCCUAUAGCCAUUGGUAGAUAUGAAGAUGAAGUCUUGUGUGACGUGUUGCCAAUGGAAGCCAGUCAUAUACUCCUUGGAAGACCCUGGCAGUAUGAUAGACGUGUGAAUCAUGAUGGCUUCACCAACAAGCACUCUUUUGAAUUCAAUGGAAAGAAGACUGUACUGGUGCCUUUAUCUCCUAAAGAGGUUCAUGAAGAUCAACUCCAGCUUCAGAAAAAGAAGGAGAAAGAGAUAGACCUCAAACCUGAUCAGAACAAGCAUCACAGCCUCUAUGCCAAUCAGGGAGAUAUCAAAAGAAUUCUUUACUCUCAAAAUUCUAUUAUCUUGCUUAUGUUUAAGGAGACUUUACUAACAGUUACUGAUCACACACCGGAUCAUCCGAGUGAACUAGUCUCUCUUUUACAGGAAUAUGCAGAUGUGUUUCCAGAAGAUAGCCCCAUUGGAUUGCCUCCAGUUCGUGGGAUUGAGCACCAAAUCGACUUUGUACCUGGUUCAACACUACCAAACAGACCUGCAUACAGAACUAAUCCAGUGGAGACUAAAGAAUUGCAAAGACAAGUAGAGGAGCUGAUGGAGAAGGGUCAUAUCCGAGAGAGCUUGAGUCCCUGUGCAGUUCUAGUGCUCCUUGUGCCUAAGAAAGAUGGGAGCUGGCGCAUGUGUGUUGAUUGUAGAGCAAUCGACAACAUAACAGUGAAGUAUCGCCACCCUAUUCCUAGAUUAGAUGAUAUGCUUGAUGAGUUACAUGGUUCUUGCUUCUUUUCUAAGAUAGAUUUGAAAACUGGAUAUCAUCAGAUUAGGAUGAAAGAAGGAGAUGAGUGGAAAACUGCUUUUAAAACUAAACAUGGCUUGUAUGAGUGGUUAGUUAUGCCAUUUGGAUUAACCAAUGCUCCUAGUACAUUCAUGAGACUGGUGAAUCAUAUCCUUAGGUCUUUCAUAGGCAUCUUUGUUGUUGUGUACUUUGAUGAUAUAUUAGUUUACAGCAAAUGCUUAGAAGAUCAUAUAGAACAUCUUAGGGCUGUUUUGGAUGUUUUGAGAAAAGAAAAACUUUAUGCCAAUCUGAAGAAGUGCACUUUUUGCACAGAUAACUUGGUCUUUCUAGGUUUUGUUGUAAGUGCAGAUGGUGUAAAGGUGGAUCAGGAGAAGAUCAAAGCAAUACAAGAGUGGCCGAGUCCAACUACAGUGGGAGAAGUAAGGAGUUUCCAUGGACUGGCAGGUUUCUAUAGGCGCUUUGUGAAGGAUUUCAGCACUCUAGCAGCUCCUCUGACUGAGAUAAUCAAGAAGGAUGUAGGAUUCAAGUGGGGAGAAGUUCAAGAAGCUGCAUUCCAACUCCUUAAAGAGAAGCUUACUCAAUCUCCUCUUCUCAUACUUCCUGAUUUUUCUAAAACAUUUGAAAUAGAGUGUGAUGCCUCAGGAAUUGGAAUUGGUGCUGUGUUGAUGCAAGAUAAAAGACCUAUUGCUUACUUCAGUGAGAAACUCAGUGGAGCUACUCUCAACUAUGCCACUUAUGACAAAGAACUCUACGCCUUGGUGAGAGCUCUACAGACUUGGCAGCAUUAUCUCUGGCCAAAGGAGUUUGUCAUUCACACAGACCAUGAAUCUCUCAAGUACCUCAAAGGACAAAGCAAGCUCAGCAAGAGACACGCCAGAUGGGUAGAAUUCAUUGAAACCUUCCCUUAUGUGAUCAAAUACAAACAAGGUAAGGAAAAUAUAGUUGCUGAUGCACUAUCCAGAAGGUAUGUCCUCUUGAAUACUCUUGAUGUUAAGUUGCUAGGCUUUGAGCAGAUUAAAGAAAUGUAUGAAUCUGAUCCUGACUUUCAAGAAGCUUAUAAUUCAUGUGCUAAGUAUGCUGCUGGACAUUACUUUAGGCAUGAUGGAUUCUUAUUCUAUGACAAUCGUUUAUGUGUGCCUAAUUGCUCUUUGAGAGAUCUAUUUGUCAGGGAAUCCCAUGGAGGAAGCUUGAUGGGUCAUUUUGGUAUAACAAAAACUCUUAAAGUCUUGCAGGAUCACUUUUACUGGCCACACAUGAAACGAGAUGUUGAGAGAAUCUGUGGUAGAUGCACCACUUGCAAGCUUGCCAAAUCUAAGGUUCAACCACAUGGUUUGUACACUCCUUUACCUAUUCCUACUCACCCCUGGAAUGAUAUAUCCAUGGAUUUUAUUGUGGGUUUGCCAAGGACCACGAUAGGUAAGGAUUCUAUCUUUGUAGUUGUGGAUAGGUUUUCAAAAAUGGCACAUUUCAUUGCUUGCCAUAAAACUGAUGAUGCAUUGCAUGUUGCUAACCUGUUCUUUAAAGAUAUUGUGCGCAUUCAUGGCAUGCCUAAGACUAUAGUUUCUGAUAGAGAUACUAAGUUUCUUAGUUAUUUUUGGAAGACUCUUUGGUCUAAGCUAGGUACUAAGCUGUUAUUCUCUACUACAUGUCAUCCACAAACUGAUGGGCAAACUGAGGUAGUUAAUAGAACUCUUGGAACUCUCUUGCGUGCAUUCAUUAAAAAGAAUCUGAAAUCAUGGGAAGAGUACUUGCCUCACUGUGAAUUUGCUUAUAAUCAUGCUCAGCAUUAUGCUUCUAAGUUUUCUCCUUUUGAAAUUGUUUAUGGGUUCAAUCCCAUCUCACCUUUGGAUCUAAUGCCUUCACCUGAGUGUAAAAGGGUGAGCAUGGAUGGGAAAAAGAAAGCAGAAAUGGUGCAGCAGAUUCAUGAGCAGGCAAGAAGAAACAUUGUGGAGAAAACCAAGCAGUACACUAAAAGAGCAAACAAAGGCAGGCGUGAGAUGAUCUUUGAUGUAGGUGAUAAAGUGUGGGUUCACUUGCGCAAGGAGAGGUUUCCAAAUGAAAGAAAAUCUAAGCUCAUGCUGCGGAUUGAUGGCCCUUUUGAAGUCAUCCAGAAAAUCAAUGACAAUGCCUACAAGCUUGAUCUUCAAGGUAAGUAUGAUAUAAGUAAUAGCUUUAAUGUUACUGACUUGGCUCCUUUUGUUGCAGAUGAGCUAGAUUUGAGGACAAAUCCUUUUCAAGAGGAAGGGGAUGAUAUGAUCAUGGACCAGCCAAACAAAGAAGAUAAUGAGAGCAUGGAUGAUCCAGCUGAUGGAGGAGCUCUAGCCAUAUCUGAAGGUCCUAUGACUCGAGCCAGAAGCAAGCAACUCAAAGAAGCCAUUGGAGGAUUACUUAAGACAUCACUGAAGCAAGAAGAGAGUCUUGGAAGAAGCUUGAUCAACCAAGACACACUUGCCACAAUUCAAGCCAUCUCAGCUCCAAGAUAGACAUCAAAUGAGCAACUAACAUAUGUGUGCUCUUUUUCCCUAUCUUUGGUUUUGUCCCACUGGGUUUUCCAAAGAUAGGUUUUUAAUGAGGCCAUAUGUUGCUUUCCUAUCACUCAUUUGAUGAUCUCAGUUCAAGACUUUAUUUUAAUUAUUUAUCUUUGUUAACAUGAAGCAGAAUUAAGCUGCUAGACUUGAGAAUUAGGCUGCUAGACUUGAGAAUUAAGCUGCCAGACUUGAGAACCCUUAUAAGGUUUUAUAAGGUUUUUAUAAGGUUUUAAUAAGGUUUAUUUUUAAGGCCCAUUUAGAGACCAAGGAGCCUAUUCCUUGCCUUCUCUAUAAAUAUGUGUCUGAAAACCCUAAUAGAUCUAUCCAAUCUUUAUUUCUAAACUCUUGUUUCUCUCUAGUCGGCCGCAAGCUUGUCUUGUAGAUCUGAGAUUUCUUGAGUCUUUGUUAGUGUGUCAUAUCUAACAAAACCACAAGAGUGAUUGUCUUGGUGUGUCAUAUCCAAGAGAUUCACUUAGGAGUAUCAAGGAGACCUCUCACAUCUCUUUGUGUCACCAUUCAUUCCACAAACCUUGAAGAAGAUUGAGUCUUUGAUUCUCUGUUUGCAAGGAUCUAUCCCAUUCCAACCAGAGAAGCAUCCUAGGAGUGUAUUAUGAUCAAUGACAGGUUUGCUCUUGUUCAAAACUUCAAAUGGAGACAGAUUCUUCAAUAUCUUGGUUGGAACCCGGUUGAUGAGAUAGCAAGCAGUCUGCACAGCAUCACUCCAAAAACGUUUUGGGACAUUUGCAUGAAACAUCAUCGAUCUAGCAACCUCCAUCAAGUGCAUGUUCUUCCUCUCAGCUACACCAUUCUGCUGUGGUGUAUAAGGGCAGCUAGUCUGAUGCACAAUCCUAUGCUUGGCUAGAUGACUCUUGAAGGCAUUGCUGAUGUAUUCACCUCCAUUAUCUGAUCUCAGUACCUUCACAGUAGCAUUGUAUUGAUUAGAUACAUAUGCUUGGAAGUUCAUAAAUGCUUCUAGCACCCUAUCUUUAGAUGGAAGCAAUGUAAGCCAAGUAUACUUAGACUUCUCAUCAAUGAAUGUCACAAAGUACUUCUGGCUUUCUCUAGACAAACAAGGAGCCGUCCACACAUCUGAAUGAACUAGAUCAAAGCAAUGCUCAUAAGUAGUUUCUGAUGUUGGAAAAACAGUCCUACAAUGCUUUCCUAAUAUGCAUGCUUCACACUCCAAGUGAUUAAAUGACAUAUUAGGAAUUAUCAAUUCAAUAGCACGAGCAUGAGGAUGUCCCAAUCUAGCAUGCCAAGUAAUACUAUCAAUCUUCUCAUAAGUACUACUCAAACACAUAGAAUCAAUGGGUUCAGAGAUCUUAGCCAAUUGGAGUUGGUAUAGAUUAUUCUUGCCGUCUCCUCUCCCAAUGACCCUUCCAGUCUUCAAAUCUUGGAACUCAACAUCAUCUGGCCUGAAUACUACUUGACAGCCAAGAUCAAUUGGGGCUUUCCUCACAGAUACCAGAUUUGAAGCAAAUUGUGGCAUGUAGAAGGCAUCUGAGUCUUUGUCAAAUAGCUUGAGCUUUCCAACCCCCUCUAUUGGAAUCCUAUCUCCAUUAGCUAUCAUCACACCCCCAGUGGCUUUCUUUACAUCACUCAUUAAGCUUCUAUCACUAAUCAUGUGAUGACUUGCUCCAGAAUCAACAAUGAUGGGUUUGUUGGAUGUGGAUGAUUUGGCAGGAGCACCUUGUCUCUGGGUCGUAGCCAAAGCAUACACAUACUUGACAAACUCAUCCCAUUCCUCCUUUGUGACACGCUCAUCUGCUCCUUUGGUCUCUAGCUUCCUCAUGACCCCACUACUCUCUACAGAUUCUCCCAUGUAAGCUGAGUAAGAACACUCUCCCAUAAGAAUCUGUUGUGCUUCUUCUCUGCCCAUCUUCAUAGUACCAUAGCUACCUUGAUAACCAGACAGUUUGCUUCUUUUCCAACACCUUCCUCUUCUGAUCUGAGCCUUAGAACGUCGUCUCAGCCUUCCCUUCUUCCUUUUAGCACCCUCCUUACUCCAAGUUAUCUCUUUGUUCUCUUCCAUCACUUGAUGAAGCCUCUGAACCAGUACACACACUUCUUCCAUGCUGGGUAGCUUAUCUUCCUUGAGAAUAAGCUUUACCAACCAGCCAUAAGAUGAAUCCAAGCUUGCAAAGAGGCUGAAGACAACAUCUUGCUCUCGCCACUCUUCUAGCACUCUUGGAUCACAACUUCUUGGUCUCAAGCUUUGUAACUCCGACCACAAACAUCUCAGCUUCUUCACAUGCUGAUUGAAACCUUCUUUCCCUUGUUUUAACUCACAGAUCAUCUUCCUGACUUCAUACAUCCUCCUUAGAUUGAUCUUGUUCUCAUAAACAUCUUCAAUCUUCUCAAGAGAUAUUCUUUCUUCAAGACUCAACUGAUCUUCACACUUCAACCUUGCUGUCUGACCCCCAUCAGCAGCUCUCUCCAUUAAAGGUUCUCCCUUUACAUGAUUACUCCAAAUCUCACAGCUUCCUAAGGCUGUCUUUACCCAUCUUGGCCAAACCCACUUGUUUUCUUCUUGAAUCUUCACUGCUCCACUAGAUUCGUGCUUCAUAUCCAUGUUUCCACCAGAGAAUCUCAAAUAAACCCAGCCACAAAAGAAUAGACAACACACAUACCCAGAAACCUCAACAACCCCAAGAACACUCAAGAACACUCUGAUUUUGAGAAAAAGAAAUCACACUCACCCUCUUUUUGCCAACCUGGCUCUGAUACCAUAUACACUUUUGUGUAUUAGAGCAUGAUUCAAAUAAUCAGAGAUAAUCAGAUGAAAAGUCUCACAUAAUUAAGAGAUUAUCCACUAGAUUCGUGCUUCAUAUCCAUGUUUCCACCAGAGAAUCUCAAAUAAACCCAGCCACAAAAGAAUAGACAACACACAUACCCAGAAACCUCAACAACCCCAAGAACACUCAAGAACACUCUGAUUUUGAGAAAAAGAAAUCACACUCACCCUCUUUUUGCCAACCUGGCUCUGAUACCAUAUACACUUUUGUGUAUUAGAGCAUGAUUCAAAUAAUCAGAGAUAAUCAGAUGCUUCUUCAUGCCAACUCCUAUGAGAUUUAUAUACACUUUUGUGUAUUAGAGCAUGAUUCAAAUAAUCAGAGAUAAUCAGAUAAAAAGAUUAAAGAGAUUAAGAGAUUUUAGUGAGAGAAUAAGGAGAGAGACUCAAAACUCCAUUAAUUAUUAAAGAUGAGGUUUACAACAUAUUUAUGAGAGAGAGACAAUACAUUUCGAAAUCAUAGAGAUAAGAAAGAGAUUCAGAGCAUGUGUAGUCAAAGAGAGCCAUCCAAAAGCAUCCAAUGGGAGUCUUCACAUGCUUGAUCCCUUUGGCAUCUUUUACUAGAUGCUGUCUACUUUACAGCCUGUCUCCAGCCUCUCUAGCUUGAGGAAACCUUAUCCAGACUGCUCCUUCCUUAUCCAAGAGCUCCUUGGUCGUGGGUAACUCUCCAAAGUGAAGCAAGAUCACUUUCCAAGCUUUAACUGAGUUACCACAGUAAAACUAAAGUUACUGUGGUAAAACUCCAAAGUUACUGUAUGCCUCAAUCCUCUUUCUCUAUCAAUGUAUCCUCUCUUUAUUACCUCAUCUCAACACUCCCCCUCAAGCUUGACCAUGUGAAACAAGUCAAGCUUGGAAACCAUGAAGACCUCCCUCAUUAAAAACCUCACCUAAGAAAACCCAUUGGGAUAAAACUUUGAUGAGGGAAAAAGAGUGGAGACUCCAUGGUUAAGGGGCUCAGCUCCUGGGAGUAAGAUCAAUGAGUCCAAGCCUGGAUAGUAUGGACUCCAUUGUCUUCAAUCUCGCUGCCUUGGUAAACACAUCUGCAAGCUGAUCUUCACUUCUUGUAUAACAUGGCAGAAUCACUCCUAGGAUAAUCAUCUGCCUCACUUUAUGACAAUCCACCUCUAUGUGCUUUGUUCUCUCAUGAAACACUGAGUUGGAGGCAAUGUGGAUAGCUGCUUGAUUGUCACAAUGCAUAGUUAUAGGAGCACUCUGCUCAAUCUCUAGAUGCUUCAAGAUCCCCUUGAUCCACACCAACUCGUUUGUCAACUUCAACAUGGCUCUAUACUCAGCUUCAGCACUUGAACAAGAGAUAACCUUCUGCUUCUUACUCUUCCAAGUAACCAAGUUCCCUCCAAUGAAUGUACAAUACCCAGUAGUUGAUCUUCUGUCCACUCUAUCUCCUGCCCAAUCAGCAUCACAAUACCCAACCACUUCUGUACUGCCAUUACAGCCCAUCCAAACUCCUUGUCCAGCCGUCCCACUCAAAUACCUCAGUAUCCUAUCAACCAUCUUCCAGUGAUGGACCUUUGGCGCCUGCAUAUGUUGACUCACUUGAUUCACAGCAAAGCAUAUAUCUGGCCUGGUAAUAGUCAAGUAGAUCAGCUUGCCAACCAUCUUCCUAUACAGCUUAGCAUCCUCAAACAACUGGUUCUCUUCAACCUCCCCCUCACGUAAGACCUUAUACCCCUCUUCAAGAGGUGUCUUGGCUACCUUUCCUCCAAGUACAUCAGUCUCCUUCAACAUAUCCAUUGUAUACUUCCUUUGACACAUAAACAAACCCUCCUUGGAUCUGCAUAUCUCAAUCCCCAAGAAAUACUUCAUCUCUCCCAAGUCUUUGAUAUCAAACACAGACUUGAGGAACUCUUUAGUGGCUUUAAUCCCAGUCUUAUCACUCCCUGUGAUAAUCAAAUUAUCCACAUAUACCAGUAUCACAAUGAUCCCUGAUGGAGUAACCAAAGUGAAGAGUGUAUGAUCCAGUUCAGACUUCCUGAAUCCUCUCCCAUUGAGAGUUGUACUCAGCUUCCUGUACCAAGCUCUAGGAGACUGCUUCAGCCCAUAUAUUGCCUUCUUCAAUCUCAAAACAUUUCCUGGUUUUACUAGAUGCUCAAGACCAGGAGGAGGAAGCAUGUAUACCUCAUUUUCUAGCUCACCUUGUAAGAAAGCAUUCUUCACAUCCAUCUGCCACAAAUCCCACUCCAAGUUUGUUGCAAUGGACAACACAAUCCGAACUGUGUGCAGCUUAGCUACUGGUGCAAAGGUAUCAAUCUAAUCCUCUCCAUAGGUUUGUGUAAAUCCUCUUGCAACCAAUCUGGUCUUAUUCCUAUCAAUCUGUCCAUUUGCUAGAUACUUGAUUGUGAAGAUCCAUCUACUAGAUACAACCUUCUUUCCCUUAGGCAGCUCACUCUCAUACCAUGUAUCAUUCUUGAUCAUAGCACCUGCUUCAGCUCCCACUGAUUCUUUCCAUUCCUUGUCUAACAUAGCUUCUUCAUAAGUCCUUGGUACAUAACUCUCAUCCAGACUAAUCAUAAAGGCAUAAUGCUCCUCUGGAAACUCAGCGAAGGAACACACGGCUUGAGAAGGAUGCUCCACAGCCUGGGCAUUGUAGUACACUCUCGUGUUUACCCAGUUGGAAGGAUCCCUCUUUAUCCUUGUGCUCCUCCUCAAAGCUUGAACCUGAUCUUCAGUUUGCACACUAGCCGGCGGCUCCACUUGCUCUUCUUCUGAACUGGCCGGUCCAACUUGUUCUUCUCCACUAGACUGAACCUCAUCUACUUCUCCACUAGACUGAACAUUGUUCUCAACUUCUUGUGAUGUAUCUUGAUCAUGAAGGCCUGAAUCCUCUUGGUUUUGCUCUUGCUCACCAAAUUCAGUUCCAUUCCCCCUCUCAUGAUCAAGAGGAGUUGUUCUUCCAGCUCCACCAGUCUGAUUGGAAGGCUCUCUCCUUCCGGGUUCCUGAUCCUGGGAUAUCCCUAUCCCGAGCUUCUCCAACAACACUCUCAGUAUUGUUGCCUUAUCAGAUGGAGCUUGAGACAAAUCCUUCAGAUUUUCCCACUCCUUUUCUUCAUAAUAGCCUUUAGUUUCAACAAACUUCACUUCUCUAGAUACCAUCACCCUCCUUGCUGUUGAGAUGAGGUGAUGAGGAGUGGAUACAUUGAUAGAGGAAGAGUAUUGGGGUGGUCAGUAAGUUUGGGAUUUACCACAGUAACUUUAAAGUUACUGUGGUAACUAAGUGAAAGGAAGAGAAGUUACCAGGAUGGGUUAAAUUGGAGUCUAACUGAUGUUAAUCCUCUCUUAUCUUAAGAAGGACGUGGGAAGAGGAUAAGGAAGGGAUAAGGGCUUACUUUGACAGCCUGUAUGAUGCUGGAAAGGAGAGGAUGCUUUUUACUAGUGCAAGCAUGUGAGAAAGCACAGCCAAGUGAUUCAAAAGGAGUUCCAGCCUGUCCAUUGACUCCACAUGCUUAUACAUUUCGAAAACCCUUGUUGCUCUCUCUAUUAAUACUUGUAAACCUCAUCAGAUAUUAAUCAAUGGAGUUUUUGAGUCUCUCUCUCUCUAUUCUUUAAAAUCUCUUAAUCUCUUUAAUAUCUCUUAAUCUCUUUAAUAUCUUGAUCUGAUUAUCUCUCAUUGUUUGAAUCAUACUCUUAAAACACAAAAGUGUUUAUGGUAUCAGAGCCAGGUUGUUCAAACAGGGGAGAGUGUGAUUUCGUUUUUCAUAAAAAUCUGAGUGUUCUUGAGUGUUCUUGAGUGUUCUUGGUGUUCUUGAGUUCUGGUCUUUAUUAUCUGAGUGGUGUGAGAUAUUCUGAUGGAUUCAAACUAUCUCAACAUGGAAAUGAAGCACAGAUCUAGUACAACCAUGGAGUGUGAAGAAGAGAGAGAUGGCGAUUGGUCAAGAUGGGCAAAGAGAGCUUUGGAAAGCUGUGGGUUAUGGAGUAGUCAUGGAAAGGGGAAACCUUUCAUGGAAAUGGCUACUGAAGAAGGUCAGACAAGAGGUCUGAAGCUGGAAAAUGAAGUUGUUCAAGGAAACACUACAAGGAGUGAGAUUGAAGCAACUUUAGGCAAGUCCAAGCUUGUGAGAGUCAUUGAGGACAGAGGGGUGAUCCGCGGCUUGAGACAAGGAAAGGAUGAGUGUUAUCAGCUUGUGGGAAGGCUGAGAGAAGUAUGGUCAGAGCUAGAUGUGGUGAAGACACACACAUCAAAUCCGAGAUGUUGUCAAGAAAGGAGGAAGCAAGAUGUGAUCUUCAGCUUCCUUAUGGAAGAGGUAUGUGAGCUUGUUAAAUAUACAUAUGAUGUGUGGGAAAUAAACAGGAAGCCAGAAAGAUGGAAGGGAGGUACAAGCUGUAAGAGGGGAAGGUUGAGAAAACUUUCUAAGGAGUGGUUAAUGAAGAGAAGAGCAUGGAGAAAGGAUAGCGAGUCUGAACACUUAAGUGACAGGAUGAGUGUAAUCUUGAAGAGAAUCAAGGAUGUACUUCAGCAGAUGGUUAUAGGAGAGUGUUCAUACUCAGCUUACAUGGGAGAGACAGUAGGAGACAGUGCGGACAUGAGAGGAAUGGAUACCAAGAGGGCAGAUGAGUUUGUGACAAAGAAGGAAUGGGAUGAGUUGGUUAAGCAUGUGUAUGCUUUGGCUACGACCCGGAGUCUGGGUGCUCCUGCCAAAGCAUCCACAUCUAAACCCAUCAUCAUUGAUUCUGGAGCAACACACCACAUGAUCAGUGACAAGAGACUAAUCAGUGAGGUUAAAGCAGCAACAGGGAGUGUCAUGAUAGCCAAUGGUACCAGGAUCCCAAUAGAAGGAGUGGGAAACCUCAAGCUGUUUGAGAAGAACUCCACUGCCUUCUACCUACCUCCGUUUACAUCCAAUCUAAUCUCAGUUAAGAAGGCUACAGUUGAUCUGGAUUGUCAAGUGGUUUUCAGACCAAAUGAAGUUGAGUUCCAGGAUUUAAAGACUGGAAGAGUUAUUGGCAGAGGAGACAGCAAGCAUCAGCUCUAUCAUCUCCAAACAACUGAGGCGCCUAGUCUUGUGGAGUCUGUGUGUUUAAGCAGCACAACGGAUAGAUGUGAUAAUCUCACAUGGCAUGCAAGGCUGGGACAUCCUCAUGCCAAGGCAAUUGAACUGAUUCUACCAAGUAUGGCGUUCAAUCACUUGGAGUGUGAAGCCUGUAUACUUGGAAAGCACUGUAGGACGGUCUUCCCAACAUCAGAGACCAGAUAUGAGAAUUGCUUUGAUCUGGUGCAUUCAGACGUGUGGACAGCUCCCUGUAUGUCUAGAGACAGCCAUAAGUACUUUGUGACCUUCAUUGAUGAGAAGUCCAAGUACACAUGGAUCACCAUGAUUCCCUCCAAAGACAGAGUCCUGGAAGCCUUCAUGAACUUCCAAGCAUAUGUUACUAACCAGUACAAUGCCACUGUGAAGAUUCUGAGGUCUGAUAAUGGAGGAGAAUACACUAGCAAUGCUUUCAAGAGUCAUCUUGCAAAGCAUGGGAUUGUGCAACAAACUAGCUGUCCUUACACACCACAACAAAAUGGGGUGGCUGAGAGGAAGAACAGACAUUUGAUGGAGGUUGCGAGAUCAAUAAUGUUCCACAUGAAUGUCCCUAAGAAGUUUUGGAGUGAUGCUGUUCAGACUGCUUGCUAUCUCAUCAAUAGAGUGCCAACACGUGUCUUGAAGAAACUGUCUCCCUUUGAAGUAUUAAACAAGGCCAAGCCACACAUAGAUCAUUUGAGAGUCUUUGGGUGCUUAUGUUAUGUGAUGAUUCCCGGAGAAAGAAGGAACAAGCUAGAAGCAAAGAGUACUAAAGCUAUGUUCAUUGGGUACUCAAUCACUCAGAAAGGGUACAAGUGCUAUGAUCCAGCAACCAGGAGAGUGUUGGUGUCUAGAGAUGUUAAGUUCAUAGAGACCAAGGGGUAUUAUGAAGAAAAGAAUUGGAAAGACUUGGAAGAUCUGUCUCAAGAACCAAGAAACAUGGCAGAGAAUCUGAGGAACAUAUUGGAAAGGCUUGGGGUAAACAUGUCCCAUGAUAAGGUUAGAGAACCUGAAAGAACAACUCUCCUUGAUCAUGAGGGGGGAAAUGAGUCUGAAUCAGGAGUGCAAGAGCAGCACCAAGGGGAUUCAGGUCAUCAUGAUCAAGUGGUGACACAAGAAGUAGAGAAUUUUCCUCAGGUCAGUGUGGAUGAGCAAGGAGAGGUUCAUGAUCAAGAGGAGGUGAGUGAGACAGAACCAGAGGGUCACGCAGAGGUUCAUACUGAGGAACAGGUUCAACCAUUGAGGAGGAGCACACGGAUAAAGAGGGAUGCUUCCAACUGGGUAAACACGAGAGUGUACUACAAUGCCCAGGCUGUGGAGCAUCCUUCUCAAGCUGUGUGUUCCUUUGCUGAGUUUCCAGAGGAGCAUCAUGCCUUUAUGAUUAGUCUGGAUGAGAGUUAUGUACCAAGGACUUAUGAAGAAGCUAUGUUAGACAAGGAAUGGAAAGAAUCAGUGGGAGCUGAAGCAGGUGCUAUGAUCAAAAAUGAUACAUGGUAUGAGAGUGAGCUGCCUAAGGGAAAGAGGGCUGUAUCUAGUAGAUGGAUCUUCACAAUCAAGUAUCUAGCAAAUGGACAGAUUGAUAGGAAGAAGACCAGAUUGGUUGCAAGAGGGUUUAAACAGACCUAUGGAGAGGAUUACAUUGAUACCUUUGCACCAGUAGCUAAGCUACAUACAGUUCGGAUUGUGUUGUCCAUUGCAACAAACUUGGAGUGGGAUUUGUGGCAGAUGGAUGUGAAGAAUGCUUUCUUACAAGGUGAGCUAGAAGAUGAGGUAUACAUGCUUCCUCCUCCUGGUCUUGAGCAUCUAGUAAAACCAGGAAAUGUUUUGAGAUUGAAGAAGGCAAUCUAUGGGCUGAAGCAGUCUCCUAGAGCUUGGUACAGGAAGCUGAGUACAACCGUGAAUGGCAGAGGAUUCAGGAAGUCUGAACUGGAUCAUACACUCUUCACUUUGGUUACUCCAUCAGGGAUCAUUGUGAUACUGGUAUAUGUGGAUGAUUUGAUUAUCACAGGGAGUGAUAAGGCUGGGAUUAAAGCCACUAAAGAGUUCCUCAAGUCUGUGUUUGACAUCAAAGACUUGGGAGAGAUGAAGUAUUUCUUGGGGAUUGAGAUAUGCAGAUCCAAGGAGGGUUUGUUUAUGUCUCAAAGGAAGUAUACAAUGGAUAUGCUAAAGGAGACUGAUGUACUUGGAGGAAAGGUAGCAAAGACACCUCUUGAGGAGGGGUAUAAGGUUUUGCGUGAGGGGGAGGUUGAAGAGAAGCAGUUAUUUAAGGAUCCUAAGCUAUACAGGAAGAUGGUUGGCAAGUUGAUCUACUUGACCAUCACACGGCCAGAUAUAUGUUUUGCAGUGAACCAAGUGAGUCAGCAUAUGCAGGCGCCAAAGGUACAUCAUUGGAAGAUGGUUGAUAGGAUACUGAGGUAUUUGAGUGGCACGCCUGGUCAAGGAGUUUGGAUGGGUUGCAAUGGCAGUACGGAAGUGGUUGCGUAUUGUGAUGCUGAUUGGGCAGGAGAUAGAGUGGACAGGAGAUCAACUACUGGAUAUUGUACAUUCAUUGGAGGGAACUUGGUUACUUGGAAGAGUAAGAAGCAAAAGGUUAUCUCUUGUUCAAGUGCUGAAGCUGAGUAUAGAGCCAUGUUGAAGCUGACAAACGAGUUGGUGUGGAUCAAGGGGAUCUUGAAGCAUCUAGAGAUUGAGCAGAGUACUCCUAUGACUAUGCAUUGUGAUAAUCAAGCAGCUAUCCACAUUGCCUCCAACUCAGUGUUUCAUGAGAGAACAAAGCACAUAGAGGUGGAUUGUCAUAAGGUGAGGCAGAUGAUUAUCUUAGGAGUGAUUAUGCCAUGUUAUACAAGGAGUGAAGAUCAGCUUGCAGAUGUGUUUACCAAGGCAGCGAGAUUGAAGACAAUGGAGUCCAUACUAUCCAGGCUUGGACUCAUUGAUCUUACUCCCAGGAGCUGAGCCCCUUAACCAUGGAGUCUCCACUCUUUUUCCCUCAUCAAAGUUUUAUCCCAAUGGGUUUUCUUUGGUGAGGUUUUUAAUGAGGGAGGUCUUCAUGGUUUCCAAGCUUGACUUGUUCCACAUGGUCAAGCUUGAGGGGGAGUGUUGAGAUGAGGUGAUGAGGAGUGGAUACAUUGAUAGAGGAAGAGUAUUGGGGUGGUCAGUAAGUUUGGGAUUUACCACAGUAACUUUAAAGUUACUGUGGUAACUAAGUGAAAGGAAGAGAAGUUACCAGGAUGGGUUAAAUUGGAGUCUAACUGAUGUUAAUCCUCUCUUAUCUUAAGAAGGACGUGGGAAGAGGAUAAGGAAGGGAUAAGGGCUUACUUUGACAGCCUGUAUGAUGCUGGAAAGGAGAGGAUGCUUUUUACUAGUGCAAGCAUGUGAGAAAGCACAGCCAAGUGAUUCAAAAGGAGUUCCAGCCUGUCCAUUGACUCCAUAUGCUUAUACAUUUCGAAAACCCUUGUUGCUCUCUCUAUUAAUACUUGUAAACCUCAUCAGAUAUUAAUUAAUGGAGUUUUUGAGUCUCUCUCUCUCUAUUCUUUAAAAUCUCUUAAUCUCUUUAAUAUCUUGAUCUGAUUAUCUCUGAUUGUUUGAAUCAUACUCUUAAAACACAAAAGUGUUUAUGGUAUCAGAGCCAGGUUGUUCAAACAGGGGAGAGUGUGAUUUCGUUUUUCAUACAAAUCUGAGUGUUCUUGAGUGUUCUUGAGUGUUCUUGGUGUGCUUGAGUUCUGGUCUUUAUUAUCUGAGUGGUGUGAGAUAUUCUGAUGGAUUCAAACUAUCUCAACAUGGAAAUGAAGCACAGAUCUAGUACAACCAUGGAGCUUGAAGAAGAGAGAGAUGGCGAUUGGUCAAGAUGGGCAAAGAGAGCUUUGGAAAGCUGUGGGUUAUGGAGUAGUCAUGGAAAGGGGAAACCUUUCAUGGAAAUGGCUACUGAAGAAGGUCAGACAAGAGGUCUGAAGCUGGGAAAUGAAGUUGUUCAAGGAAACACUACAAGGAGUGAGAUUGAAGCAACUUUAGGCAAGUCCAAGCUUGUGAGAGUCAUUGAGGACAGAGGGGUGAUCCGUGGCUUGAGACAAGGAAAGGAUGAGUGUUAUCAGCUUGUGGGAAGGCUGAGAGAAGUAUGGUCAGAGCUAGAUGUGGUGAAGACACACACAUCAAAUCCGAGAUGUUGUCAAGAAAGGAGGAAGCAAGAUGUGAUCUUCAGCUUCCUUAUGGAAGAGGUAUGUGAGCUUGUUAAAUAUACAUAUGAUGUGUGGGAAAUAAACAGGAAGCCAGAAAGAUGGAAGGGAGGUACAAGCUGUAAGAGGGGAAGGUUGAGAAAACUUUCUAAGGAGUGGUUAAUGAAGAGAAGAGCAUGGAGAAAGGAUAGCGAGUCUGAGCACUUAAGUGACAGGAUGAGUGUAAUCUUGAAGAGAAUCAAGGAUGUACUUCAGCAGAUGGUUAUAGGAGAGUGUUCAUACUCAGCUUACAUGGGAGAGACAGUAGGAGACAGUGCGGACAUGAGAGGAAUGGAUACCAAGAGGGCAGAUGAGUUUGUGACAAAGAAGGAAUGGGAUGAGUUGGUUAAGCAUGUGUAUGCUUUGGCUACGACCCGGAGUCUGGGUGCUCCUGCCCAAGCAUCCACAUCUAAACCCAUCAUCAUUGAUUCUGGCUCCUGCCAAAGCAUCCACAUCUAAACCCAUCAUCAUUGAUUCUGGAGCAACACACCACAUGAUCAGUGACAAGAGACUAAUCAGUGAGGUUAAAGCAGCAACAGGGAGUGUCAUGAUAGCCAAUGGUACCAGGAUCCCAAUAGAAGGAGUGGGAAACCUCAAGCUGUUUGAGAAGAACUCCACUGCCUUCUACCUACCUCAGUUUACAUCCAAUCUAAUCUCAGUUAAGAAGGCUACAGUUGAUCUGGAUUGUCAAGUGGUUUUCAGACCAAAUGAAGUUGAGUUCCAGGAUUUAAAGACUGGAAGAGUUAUUGGCAGAGGAGACAGCAAGCAUCAGCUCUAUCAUCUCCAAACAACUGAGGCGCCUAGUCUUGUGGAGUCUGUGUGUUUAAGCAGCACAACGGAUAGAUGUGAUAAUCUCACAUGGCAUGCAAGGCUGGGACAUCCUCAUGCCAAGGCAAUUGAACUGAUUCUACCAAGUAUGGCGUUCAAUCACUUGGAGUGUGAAGCCUGUAUACUUGGAAAGCACUGUAGGACGGUCUUCCCAACAUCAGAGACCAGAUAUGAGAAUUGCUUUGAUCUGGUGCAUUCAGACGUGUGGACAGCUCCCUGUAUGUCUAGAGACAGCCAUAAGUACUUUGUGACCUUCAUUGAUGAGAAGUCCAAGUACACAUGGAUCACCAUGAUUCCCUCCAAAGACAGAGUCCUGGAAGCCUUCAUGAACUUCCAAGCAUAUGUUACUAACCAGUACAAUGCCACUGUGAAGAUUCUGAGGUCUGAUAAUGGAGGAGAAUACACUAGCAAUGCUUUCAAGAGUCAUCUUGCAAAGCAUGGGAUUGUGCAACAAACUAGCUGUCCUUACACACCACAACAAAAUGGGGUGGCUGAGAGGAAGAACAGACAUUUGAUGGAGGUUGCGAGAUCAAUAAUGUUCCACAUGAAUGUUCCUAAGAAGUUUUGGAGUGAUGCUGUUCAGACUGCUUGCUAUCUCAUCAAUAGAGUGCCAACACGUGUCUUGAAGAAACUGUCUCCCUUUGAAGUAUUAAACAAGGCCAAGCCACACAUAGAUCAUUUGAGAGUCUUUGGGUGCUUAUGUUAUGUGAUGAUUCCCGGAGAAAGAAGGAACAAGCUAGAAGCAAAGAGUACUAAAGCUAUGUUCAUUGGGUACUCAAUCACUCAGAAAGGGUACAAGUGCUAUGAUCCAGCAACCAGGAGAGUGUUGGUGUCUAGAGAUGUUAAGUUCAUAGAGACCAAGGGGUAUUAUGAAGAAAAGAAUUGGAAAGACUUGGAAGAUCUGUCUCAAGAACCAAGAAACAUGGCAGAGAAUCUGAGGAACAUAUUGGAAAGGCUUGGGGUAAACAUGUCCCAUGAUAAGGUUAGAGAACCUGAAAGAACAACUCUCCUUGAUCAUGAGGGGGGAAAUGAGUCUGAAUCAGGAGUGCAAGAGCAGCACCAAGGGGAUUCAGGUCAUCAUGAUCAAGUGGUGACACAAGAAGUAGAGAAUUUUCCUCAGGUCAGUGUGGAUGAGCAAGGAGAGGUUCAUGAUCAAGAGGAGGUGAGUGAGACAGAACCAGAGGGUCACGCAGAGGUUCAUACUGAGGAACAGGUUCAACCAUUGAGGAGGAGCACACGGAUAAAGAGGGAUGCUUCCAACUGGGUAAACACGAGAGUGUACUACAAUGCCCAGGCUGUGGAGCAUCCUUCUCAAGCUGUGUGUUCCUUUGCUGAGUUUCCAGAGGAGCAUCAUGCCUUUAUGAUUAGUCUGGAUGAGAGUUAUGUACCAAGGACUUAUGAAGAAGCUAUGUUAGACAAGGAAUGGAAAGAAUCAGUGGGAGCUGAAGCAGGUGCUAUGAUCAAAAAUGAUACAUGGUAUGAGAGUGAGCUGCCUAAGGGAAAGAAGGCUGUAAUGAAGCAGGUGCUAUGAUCAAAAAUGAUACAUGGUAUGAGAGUGAGCUGCCUAAGGGAAAGAGGGCUGUAUCUAGUAGAUGGAUCUUCACAAUCAAGUAUCUAGCAAAUGGACAGAUUGAUAGGAAGAAGACCAGAUUGGUUGCAAGAGGGUUUACACAGACUUAUGGAGAGGAUUACAUUGAUACCUUUGCACCAGUAGCUAAGCUACAUACAGUUCGGAUUGUGUUGUCCAUUGCAACAAACUUGGAGUGGGAUUUGUGGCAGAUGGAUGUGAAGAAUGCUUUCUUACAAGGUGAGCUAGAAGAUGAGGUAUACAUGCUUCCUCCUCCUGGUCUUGAGCAUCUAGUAAAACCAGGAAAUGUUUUGAGAUUGAAGAAGGCAAUCUAUGGGCUGAAGCAGUCUCCUAGAGCUUGGUACAGGAAGCUGAGUACAACCCUGAAUGGCAGAGGAUUCAGGAAGUCUGAACUGGAUCAUACACUCUUCACUUUGGUUACUCCAUCAGGGAUCAUUGUGAUACUGGUAUAUGUGGAUGAUUUGAUUAUCACAGGGAGUGAUAAGGCUGGGAUUAAAGCCACUAAAGAGUUUCUCAAGUCUGUGUUUGACAUCAAAGACUUGGGAGAGAUGAAGUAUUUCUUGGGGAUUGAGAUAUGCAGAUCCAAGGAGGGUUUGUUUAUGUCUCAAAGGAAGUAUACAAUGGAUAUGCUAAAGGAGACUGAUGUACUUGGAGGAAAGGUAGCAAAGACACCUCUUGAGGAGGGGUAUAAGGUGUUGCGUGAGGGGGAGGUUGAAGAGAAGCAGUUAUUUAAGGAUCCUAAGCUAUACAGGAAGAUGGUUGGCAAGUUGAUCUACUUGACCAUCACACGGCCAGAUAUAUGUUUUGCAGUGAACCAAGUGAGUCAGCAUAUGCAGGCGCCAAAGGUACAUCAUUGGAAGAUGGUUGAUAGGAUACUGAGGUAUUUGAGUGGCACGCCUGGUCAAGGAGUUUGGAUGGGUUGCAAUGGCAGUACGGAAGUGGUUGGGUAUUGUGAUGCUGAUUGGGCAGGAGAUAGAGUGGACAGGAGAUCAACUACUGGAUAUUGUACAUUCAUUGGAGGGAACUUGGUUACUUGGAAGAGUAAGAAGCAAAAGGUUAUCUCUUGUUCAAGUGCUGAAGCUGAGUAUAGAGCCAUGUUGAAGCUGACAAACGAGUUGGUGUGGAUCAAGGGGAUCUUGAAGCAUCUAGAGAUUGAGCAGAGUACUCCUAUGACUAUGCAUUGUGAUAAUCAAGCAGCUAUCCACAUUGCCUCCAACUCAGUGUUUCAUGAGAGAACAAAGCACAUAGAGGUGGAUUGUCAUAAGGUGAGGCAGAUGAUUAUCUUAGGAGUGAUUAUGCCAUGUUAUACAAGGAGUGAAGAUCAGCUUGCAGAUGUGUUUACCAAGGCAGCGAGAUUGAAGACAAUGGAGUCCAUACUAUCCAGGCUUGGACUCAUUGAUCUUACUCCCAGGAGCUGAGCCCCUUAACCAUGGAGUCUCCACUCUUUUUCCCUCAUCAAAGUUUUAUCCCAAUGGGUUUUCUUUGGUGAGGUUUUUAAUGAGGGAGGUCUUCAUGGUUUCCAAGCUUGACUUGUUCCACAUGGUCAAGCUUGAGGGGGAGUGUUGAGAUGAGGUGAUGAGGAGUGGAUACAUUGAUAGAGGAAGAGUAUUGGGGUGGUCAGUAAGUUUGGGAUUUACCACAGUAACUUUAAAGUUACUGUGGUAACUAAGUGAAAGGAAGAGAAGUUACCAGGAUGGGUUAAAUUGGAGUCUAACUGAUGUUAAUCCUCUCUUAUCUUAAGAAGGACGUGGGAAGAGGAUAAGGAAGGGAUAAGGGCUUACUUUGACAGCCUGUAUGAUGCUGGAAAGGAGAGGAUGCUUUUUACUAGUGCAAGCAUGUGAGAAAGCACAGCCAAGUAAUUCAAAAGGAGUUCCAGCCUGUCCAUUGACUCCACAUGCUUAUACAUUUCGAAAACCCUUGUUGCUCUCUCUAUUAAUACUUGUAAACCUCAUCAGAUAUUAAUUAAUGGAGUUUUUGAGUCUCUCUCUCUCUAUUCUUUAAAAUCUCUUAAUCUCUUUAAUAUCUUGAUCUGAUUAUCUCUGAUUGUUUGAAUCAUACUCUUAAAACACAAAAGUGUUUAUGGUAUCAGAGCCAGGUUCUUCAAACAGGGGAGAGUGUGAUUUCGUUUUUCAUAAAAAUCUGAGUGUUCUUGAGUGUUCUUGAGUGUUCUUGGUGUUCUUGAGUUCUGGUCUUUAUUAUCUGAGUGGUGUGAGAUAUUCUGAUGGAUUCAAACUAUCUCAACAUGGAAAUGAAGCACAGAUCUAGUACAACCAUGGAGCUUGAAGAAGAGAGAGAUGGCGAUUGGUCAAGAUGGGCAAAGAGAGCUUUGGAAAGCUGUGGGUUAUGGAGUAGUCAUGGAAAGGGGAAACCUUUCAUGGAAAUGGCUACUGAAGAAGGUCAGACAAGAGGUCUGAAGCUGGGAAAUGAAGUUGUUCAAGGAAACACUACAAGGAGUGAGAUUGAAGCAACUUUAGGCAAGUCCAAGCUUGUGAGAGUCAUUGAGGACAGAGGGGUGAUCCGCGGCUUGAGACAAGGAAAGGAUGAGUGUUAUCAGCUUGUGGGAAGGCUGAGAGAUGUAUGGUCAGAGCUAGAUGUGGUGAAGACACACACAUCAAAUCCGAGAUGUUGUCAAGAAAGGAGGAAGCAAGAUGUGAUCUUCAGCUUCCUUAUGGAAGAGGUAUGUGAGCUUGUUAAAUAUACAUAUGAUGUGUGGGGAAUAAACAGGAAGCCAGAAAGAUGGAAGGGAGGUACAAGCUGUAAGAGGGGAAGGUUGAGAAAACUUUCUAAGGAGUGGUUAAUGAAGAGAAGAGCAUGGAGAAAGGAUAGCGAGUCUGAGCACUUAAGUGACAGGAUGAGUGUAAUCUUGAAGAGAAUCAAGGAUGUACUUCAGCAGAUGGUUAUAGGAGAGUGUUCAUACUCAGCUUACAUGGGAGAGACAGUAGGAGACAGUGCGGACAUGAGAGGAAUGGAUACCAAGAGGGCAGAUGAGUUGGUGACAAAGAAGGAAUGGGAUGAGUUGGUUAAGCAUGUGUAUGCUUUGGCUACGACCCGGAGUCUGGGUGCUCCUGCCAAAGCAUCCACAUCUAAACCCAUCAUCAUUGAUUCUGGAGCAACACACCACAUGAUCAGUGACAAGAGACUAAUCAGUGAGGUUAAAGCAGCAACAGGGAGUGUCAUGAUAGCCAAUGGUACCAGGAUCCCAAUAGAAGGAGUGGGAAACCUCAAGCUGUUUGAGAAGAACUCCACUGCCUUCUACCUACCUCAGUUUACAUCCAAUCUAAUCUCAGUUAAGAAGGCUACAGUUGAUCUGGAUUGUCAAGUGGUUUUCAGACCAAAUGAAGUUGAGUUCCAGGAUUUAAAGACUGGAAGAGUUAUUGGCAGAGGAGACAGCAAGCAUCAGCUCUAUCAUCUCCAAACAACUGAGGCGCCUAGUCUUGUGGAGUCUGUGUGUUUAAGCAGCACAACGGAUAGAUGUGAUAAUCUCACAUGGCAUGCAAGGCUGGGACAUCCUCAUGCCAAGGCAAUUGAACUGAUUCUACCAAGUAUGGCGUUCAAUCACUUGGAGUGUGAAGCCUGUAUACUUGGAAAGCACUGUAGGACGGUCUUCCCAACAUCAGAGACCAGAUAUGAGAAUUGUUUUGAUCUGGUGCAUUCAGACGUGUGGACAGCUCCCUGUAUGUCUAGAGACAGCCAUAAGUACUUUGUGACCUUCAUUGAUGAGAAGUCCAAGUACACAUGGAUCACCAUGAUUCCCUCCAAAGACAGAGUCCUGGAAGCCUUCAUGAACUUCCAAGCAUAUGUUACUAACCAGUACAAUGCCACUGUGAAGAUUCUGAGGUCUGAUAAUGGAGGAGAAUACACUAGCAAUGCUUUCAAGAGUCAUCUUGCAAAGCAUGGGAUUGUGCAACAAACUAGCUGUCCUUACACACCACAACAAAAUGGGGUGGCUGAGAGGAAGAACAGACAUUUGAUGGAGGUUGCGAGAUCAAUAAUGUUCCACAUGAAUGUUCCUAAGAAGUUUUGGAGUGAUGCUGUUCAGACUGCUUGCUAUCUCAUCAAUAGAGUGCCAACACGUGUCUUGAAGAAACUGUCUCCCUUUGAAGUAUUAAACAAGGCCAAGCCACACAUAGAUCAUUUGAGAGUCUUUGGGUGCUUAUGUUAUGUGAUGAUUCCCGGAGAAAGAAGGAACAAGCUAGAAGCAAAGAGUACUAAAGCUAUGUUCAUUGGGUACUCAAUCACUCAGAAAGGGUACAAGUGCUAUGAUCCAGCAACCAGGAGAGUGUUGGUGUCUAGAGAUGUUAAGUUCAUAGAGACCAAGGGGUAUUAUGAAGAAAAGAAUUGGAAAGACUUGGAAGAUCUGUCUCAAGAACCAAGAAACAUGGCAGAGAAUCUGAGGAACAUAUUGGAAAGGCUUGGGGUAAACAUGUCCCAUGAUAAGGUUAGAGAACCUGAAAGAACAACUCUCCUUGAUCAUGAGGGGGGAAAUGAGUCUGAAUCAGGAGUGCAAGAGCAGCACCAAGGGGAUUCAGGUCAUCAUGAUCAAGUGGUGACACAAGAAGUAGAGAAUUUUCCUCAGGUCAGUGUGGAUGAGCAAGGAGAGGUUCAUGAUCAAGAGGAGGUGAGUGAGACAGAACCAGAGGGUCACGCAGAGGUUCAUACUGAGGAACAGGUUCAACCAUUGAGGAGGAGCACACGGAUAAAGAGGGAUGCUUCCAACUGGGUAAACACGAGAGUGUACUACAAUGCCCAGGCUGUGGAGCAUCCUUCUCAAGCUGUGUGUUCCUUUGCUGAGUUUCCAGAGGAGCAUCAUGCCUUUAUGAUUAGUCUGGAUGAGAGUUAUGUACCAAGGACUUAUGAAGAAGCUAUGUUAGACAAGGAAUGGAAAGAAUCAGUGGGAGCUGAAGCAGGUGCUAUGAUCAAAAAUGAUACAUGGUAUGAGAGUGAGCUGCCUAAGGGAAAGAAGGGGAAAGAGGGCUGUAUCUAGUAGAUGGAUCUUCACAAUCAAGUAUCUAGCAAAUGGACAGAUUGAUAGGAAGAAGACCAGAUUGGUUGCAAGAGGGUUUACACAGACUUAUGGAGAGGAUUACAUUGAUACCUUUGCACCAGUAGCUAAGCUACAUACAGUUCGGAUUGUGUUGUCCAUUGCAACAAACUUGGAGUGGGAUUUGUGGCAGAUGGAUGUGAAGAAUGCUUUCUUACAAGGUGAGCUAGAAGAUGAGGUAUACAUGCUUCCUCCUCCUGGUCUUGAGCAUCUAGUAAAACCAGGAAAUGUUUUGAGAUUGAAGAAGGCAAUCUAUGGGCUGAAGCAGUCUCCUAGAGCUUGGUACAGGAAGCUGAGUACAACCCUGAAUGGCAGAGGAUUCAGGAAGUCUGAACUGGAUCAUACACUCUUCACUUUGGUUACUCCAUCAGGGAUCAUUGUGAUACUGGUAUAUGUGGAUGAUUUGAUUAUCACAGGGAGUGAUAAGGCUGGGAUUAAAGCCACUAAAGAGUUUCUCAAGUCUGUGUUUGACAUCAAAGACUUGGGAGAGAUGAAGUAUUUCUUGGGGAUUGAGAUAUGCAGAUCCAAGGAGGGUUUGUUUAUGUCUCAAAGGAAGUAUACAAUGGAUAUGCUAAAGGAGACUGAUGUACUUGGAGGAAAGGUAGCAAAGACACCUCUUGAGGAGGGGUAUAAGGUGUUGCGUGAGGGGGAGGUUGAAGAGAAGCAGUUAUUUAAGGAUCCUAAGCUAUACAGGAAGAUGGUUGGCAAGUUGAUCUACUUGACCAUCACACGGCCAGAUAUAUGUUUUGCAGUGAACCAAGUGAGUCAGCAUAUGCAGGCGCCAAAGGUACAUCAUUGGAAGAUGGUUGAUAGGAUACUGAGGUAUUUGAGUGGCACGCCUGGUCAAGGAGUUUGGAUGGGUUGCAAUGGCAGUACGGAAGUGGUUGGGUAUUGUGAUGCUGAUUGGGCAGGAGAUAGAGUGGACAGGAGAUCAACUACUGGAUAUUGUACAUUCAUUGGAGGGAACUUGGUUACUUGGAAGAGUAAGAAGCAAAAGGUUAUCUCUUGUUCAAGUGCUGAAGCUGAGUAUAGAGCCAUGUUGAAGCUGACAAACGAGUUGGUGUGGAUCAAGGGGAUCUUGAAGCAUCUAGAGAUUGAGCAGAGUACUCCUAUGACUAUGCAUUGUGAUAAUCAAGCAGCUAUCCACAUUGCCUCCAACUCAGUGUUUCAUGAGAGAACAAAGCACAUAGAGGUGGAUUGUCAUAAGGUGAGGCAGAUGAUUAUCUUAGGAGUGAUUAUGCCAUGUUAUACAAGGAGUGAAGAUCAGCUUGCAGAUGUGUUUACCAAGGCAGCGAGAUUGAAGACAAUGGAGUCCAUACUAUCCAGGCUUGGACUCAUUGAUCUUACUCCCAGGAGCUGAGCCCCUUAACCAUGGAGUCUCCACUCUUUUUCCCUCAUCAAAGUUUUAUCCCAAUGGGUUUUCUUUGGUGAGGUUUUUAAUGAGGGAGGUCUUCAUGGUUUCCAAGCUUGACUUGUUCCACAUGGUCAAGCUUGAGGGGGAGUGUUGAGAUGAGGUGAUGAGGAGUGGAUACAUUGAUAGAGGAAGAGUAUUGGGAGAAGAUCAAGAAGUGAAGAGAUGAAGCUUUGAGGUUCAAUAGAGUGUAGAGGCUGAGACAGUAACUUUAGAGUUUUACUGUGGUAACUUUAUUUUAACCACAGUAACUACUUGGGAAGUUACCUGAAGUGAUGAGAAGGUAACUUGGUGAAGAGAGGAGGUAGAACUCGUCCAAGGAGUGUGGAGGAUAAGGUUUACCUUUGCUGGAAAGGAUAAGCAACUUUACAGCAUGUGACAGCCUGUCCAAGCAUGUGAAGCAUCUCAGCCUAUUAUUUCUAUUGACUCCACAUGCUUAUAGGUCUAGAUUGAAUACAUUGCACCUAGACAUGAUUGUGAUCUCUUUAUAACUUGUAAUCUCUCAUCUGAAUCAAUUAAUGGAGUUUUGAGUAUUCUCUCUUGUUCUUUAUUCUCUUAGUCUCUCUUAAAUCUCCAAAUCAUUCUUGCAAGGUGAACUUGAAGAUGAAGUAUACAUGCAUCCACCUCCUGGUCUUGAGCAUCUAGUAAAGCCAGGGAAUGUUUUGAGAUUGAAGAAAGCAAUAUAUGGGUUGAAGCAGUCACCUAGAGCUUGGAACAGGAAGUUGAGUACAACACUCAAUGGGAGAGGCUUUAGGAAGUCUGAACUAGAUCACACUCUCUUCACCUUGACAGGACCUUCUGGGAGCAUUGUGAUUCUAGUGUAUGUGGAUGAUUUGAUUAUCACAGGAAGUGAUAAGGCAGGGAUUCAAGCUACUAAGGAGUUUCUCAAAUCUGUGUUUGACAUCAAGGAUUUGGGAGAGAUGAAGUAUUUUCUAGGCAUUGAGAUAUGCAGAUCAAAGGAGGGUUUGUUUAUGUCUCAAAGGAAGUAUACUAUGGAUAUGUUGAAGGAGACUGAUGUGCUUGGAGGAAAGAUAGCUAAGACACCCCUUGAGGAGGGAUAUAAGGUUCUGCGUGAGGGGGAGGUUGAAGAGAAGCAGUUGUUUGAGGAUCCUAAGCUAUACAGGAAGAUGGUUGGCAAGCUGAUCUACUUGACCACCACACGGCCAGAUAUAUGUUUUGCUGUGAACCAAGUGAGUCAACAUAUGCAGGCGCCAAAGGUACAUCACUGGAAGAUGGUUGAUAGGAUACUGAGGUAUUUGAGUGGCACGCCUGGUCAAGGAGUUUGGAUGGGAUGCAAUGGCAGCACAGAAGUAGUGGGCUAUUGUGAUGCUGAUUGGGCAGGAGAUAGAGUGGACAGGAGAUCAACUACUGGCUAUUGUACAUUCAUUGGAGGGAACCUGGUUACUUGGAAGAGUAAGAAGCAGAAGGUCAUCUCUUGUUCAAGUGCUGAGGCUGAGGAUAGGGCUAUGUUGAAGUUGACAAACGAGUUGGUGUGGAUCAAGGGUAUCUUGAAGCAUCUGGAGAUUGAGCAGAGUACUCCUAUGACAAUGCACUGUGACAAUCAAGCAGCUAUCCAUAUUGCUUCUAACUCAGUCUUUCAUGAGAGAACGAAGCACAUAGAAGUGGAUUGUCACAAGGUGAGGCAGAUGAUUAUCUUAGGAGUGAUUCUGCCAUGUUAUACAAGGAGUGAGGAUCAACUGGCUGAUGUGUUUACUAAGGCAGCGAGAUUAAAGACAAUGGAGUCCAUACUUUCUAGGCUUAGGCUCAUUGAUCUUACUCCCAGGAGCUGAUCCCCUUACCCAUGGAGUCUCCACUCUUUUUCCCUCAUCAAGGUUUUAUCCCAAUGGGUUUUCCUUGGUGAGGUUUUUAAUGAGGGAGAUCUUCAUGGUUUCCAAGCUUGACUUGUUCUACAUGGUCAAGCUUGAGGGGGAGUGUUGAGAUGAGGUGAUAAGGAGUGGAUACAUUGAUAGAGGAAGAGUAUUGGGGCAGUUAGUAACUUUGGGGAUUUACCACAGUAACUUUAGUUUUACUGUGGUAACUAAGUUAAACAAUUGGGAAGUUACCUUUCACCCAUUUGGAGAGUGGAUCACGCCUAAGGAGAGUUUGGAUAAGGAAGGAGCAGUCUGGAUAAGGUCUGGUCAUAGCUGGAAAGGAAAACACCUUUACAGCCUGUCCAAGCAUGUGAGAACACCCAUUGGCUGCUUUUGGAUGGCUCUCCUUGACUCCACACGUUCUGGAUCUCCUCUGACCCUAUGAUUUCGAAUUGUAUCAUGUAUUACUCAUAUAAAGCCUUGUAAACCUGAUUGAUAAUAAUUAAUGGAGUUUUGAGUCUCUCUCUCUCUAGAAUCUCUCUAUUCUCUCUAAAUUCUACUCUAAUCUUCUCUGAUUAUUAUUAAACACACUCUAAAACACAAAAGUGUUUAGAGAAUCACCAGGAAUUUGAAUAAAUCUCAUAGGAGUUAGGAUGAAGAAGUUAUCCCACUUUCAAAUAAGGUGAUCCUAGUUUCCCUGUUUGGGAAUAUGAAUACUUCUUCGUCAUCCUAUUCAAACCAGAAUGAAUCGCGAUGUAAGAACCUUCAUUUGGAUACAUAAAGUAGUGGAGAAUCACCAGGAAGUUGAAUAAAUCUCAUAGGAGUUAGGAUGAAGAAGUUAUCCCACUUUCAAAUAAGGUGAUCCUAGUUUCCCUGUUUGGGAAUAUGAAUACUUCUUCGUCAUCCUUGAACUGCUUCGUCGUCGUUCCAAACAAACCACGAUGAAUCACUUUGUAAGAAGCUUUUGUCCAAGCUUAGGCUUUCACAAAGCCAAGCUUGAGGGGGAGUGUUGAGAUGAGUUAUGAGAUAAGAAGAAGCAUGAAGGGAUUAGAGAUUGUGAGAAGGAUGAGGCAUGAAGGGGUUAGGAUGGCUUUAGGAGGAGUGGACCGUACAAGGCCGUACCAUCCGUACAAGGCCGUACAUGAUGGUAACUAUAAGUUACCCGAGUAACUCAUCCGGAUGAAAGGAGCUUGGAGGUAAAGUCUUGGGAGCUUAUCUGAUCCAUCAGACCGUUGAGGAAGUAGAUAAGAGGCGCCUUGACAGGCUGUCACAGCUGGAAAGGCAAAAGCUACUUUAGCCAAAGAUCCCAAAGGCAUCAAACGUGUGAGAGCCUUCAUUGGACAGAUUCAAACUCAGCCAGCCUUUACCUAUUGACUUCACAUGCUUAUGGUCUCUCAUUAGGUUUUCGAAACCCUUGUUGCUCAGACUAUAUAUAUGUAACCUCAUCUCUUAAUAAAGAUUAGACAGUUCAGAUUAUCCUUAGCCUCCAUGGCUUUUCUCUUAAUCUCUUAAUCUCAGAUUCUACUCUAAAUCAUCUCUAAUACUUCUCUAAUCUCUCCUAAACUCUCAGAUUACUCUUUAUACUCUAAAACUUAUAGUAAGAAGCUUGAUUUGGAUAUAUAAAGUGGUGGAGAAUCACCAGGAAGUUGAAUAAAUCUCAUAGGAGUUGGCAUGAAGAAGUUAUCUCACUUUCAAAUCAGUUGAUUCCAGUUUCCCAGUUUGGUAAUAAAACUGCUUCGUCGUCGUUCCAAACAAACCACGAUGAAUCACUUUGUAAGUGUUGAGAUGAGUUAUGAGAUAAGAAGAAGCAUGAAGGGAUUAGAGAUUGUGAGAAGGAUGAGGCAUGAAGGGGUUAGGAUGGCUUUAGGAGGAGUGGACCGUACAAGGCCGUACCAUCCGUACAAGGCCGUACAUGAUGGUAACUAUAAGUUACCCGAGUAACUCAUCCGGAUGAAAGGAGCUUGGAGGUAAAGUCUUGGGAGCUUAUCUGAUCCAUCAGACCGUUGAGGAAGUAGAUAAGAGGCGCCUUGACAGGCUGUCACAGCUGGAAAGGCAAAAGCUACUUUAGCCAAAGAUCCCAAAGGCAUCAAACGUGUGAGAGCCUUCAUUGGACAGAUUCAAACUCAGCCAGCCUUUACCUAUUGACUUCACAUGCUUAUGGUCUCUCAUUAGGUUUUCGAAACCCUUGUUGCUCAGACUAUAUAUAUGUAACCUCAUCUCUUAAUAAAGAUUAGACAGUUCAGAUUAUCCUUAGCCUCCAUGGCUUUUCUCUUAAUCUCUUAAUCUCAGAUUCUACUCUAAAUCAUCUCUAAUACUUCUCUAAUCUCUCCUAAACUCUCAGAUUACUCUUUAUACUCUAAAACUUAUAUGGUAUCAGAGCCAGGUUCUUGAGAAUCUGAGUUCUUUGCGUGGGCUAAAGACUAAAGCUUUGAAGGUUCCUCGGAGUCUCUAGCCUCAAGUCUUCCUUGGUUACAUUGUGGUUACAAGAUUGAAUCUUUUGCGUGUGUGUUGUGAGUUCUUGACGUGUUGGUGCAGUCUAGUCUCAAGUUCAAAGUCUUCUACAAGUAGUUCAAGAACAAGCGGUUGAAGAUGGAUGGAGGGAUAAGCAUGCACAUGAAGGUGGCAGUUACUUUCAAGGGGAGUAACUAUUUGGUGUGGUCUCGGAUGGUGAGAACCACAGUGGGAAGUAAGGGUUUGUGGAAGCAUCUUACGGAUGGUGAAGCUCCACAGCUCAUUACUCAGGGAGAAGACUCGGAAGAGGUCUCAAAUGAAACGGCCGUAGAGAAGUGGCAGCGAGAAGACAUGCUUGUGAUGUCCGUUCUUCAUGCCUCUCUAGAGCCGGCGAUCCUAGAGGCUUACAGCUAUUGUGAGUCAGCUAAGGAGCUAUGGGACACCUUGAAGAAGGUGUAUGGGAAUGUUUCAAACCUUCACCGAGUGUUUGAAGUAAAGAAAGCCAUAAACGGCUUGGUACAAGAUGACAUGGAAUUCACCAAGCAUUUGGGGAGGUUCCGGUCCUUAUGGUCAGAGCUAGAGAUGCUGAGGCCAAGCACAACCGAUCCAGAGCUGCUUAAUGAGAGGAGGGAGCAGGAUAAGGUCUUUGGACUAUUGCUUACCUUGAAUCCGGCUUACAACUCACUGAUUAAACACAUGUUGAGAGCGGAUAAGCUACCAGACCUUGAGGAGGUGUGCUCUCAAAUUCAGAAGGAGCAGGGGUCUAUUGGAUUGUUUGGAAGCAAAGGGGAGAUGUCACUUGCAAAUAAGGCUGCGCAAGUCAACUCUGAUGAAGCUCCUCAAGCAAACAAGGCCGGUUACAACAAGUUUGAAGACAGGAAGUUCAAUGGGAGCUGUGAUCAUUGCAAGAAGCAUGGUCACAAGAAGAGCCAGUGCUGGAUACUCCACCCCCAUCUAAAGCCGGCCAAGUUCUUGAAGGAGAGGGAUGCCAGGGCAAAUGUGAGUGAAGGAUCAAGCGGUGCUGGUACCUCAGGAAAGAGCAAUGAUGAAGGAGGAAGGGAGAGUGAUGGCAGGUCAUUGGUGGCAUAUGCAGGCAAUCCAAAUCACCGAGGAGGGGAGCAAGACUACAUUAGGAGAUCAGACAUUGACUCCCUCAUCAAGAUGCUUAAGGAAAACGGUAACACUUAUGGUUAUUCCUUUGGUGCAUCAAUGAUAGUUAAGAAUGAUGAUAAUAGUCUUGAGAAGCAUGGAAUUACUAGUCUUGCUAGGACUGAUCACUCUCUCAAGUCAUCUAGUACACUUUGUCUUAUGGCUAAUAACAUGACUAAAGCAUUAGUAGUUGAUUCUGGUGCAUCUCAUCACAUGAUUAGUGAUACUAGUUUGAUUAAAGAUAUUGAACCUGCUAAUGGACAUGUGAUGAUUGCAAAUGGAGAUAAGAUUCCUAUUAGAGGAAUAGGAAACUUAAAACUAUUUAAUAAACAUACUAGAGCAUUCUAUAUGCCAGAAUUCACAUCAAACUUACUAUCAGUAAAGAAAUGUACUACUGAUCUUCAUUGCAAUGUUAUCUUUAGUCCUAAUGAUGUGAAGUUUCAGGAUAUUGAGAGCAGCCAGUUGAUUGGAAAAGGAGUUACUAAAGGGGAUCUUUACAUGCUUGAAGAAUUAGCUCCUGUUUCUGAAUCAAGCUGUUUAUUUACUACUACUUCAAAUUUGAAUAAGAAUGCUUUGUGGCAUGCUAGACUAGGACAUCCUCAUAGUAGAGCCUUGAAUUUAAUGUUGCCAGGUGUUAAUUUUGAGAAUAAAGACUGUGAAGCUUGCAUUUUAGGCAAACAUUGUAAAACUGUGUUUCAAAGGUCAUCUACUGUUUAUGAAAAAUGCUUUGAUUUGAUUCAUUCUGAUGUAUGGACUGCACCUUGUUUAUCUAGGGAGAAUCAUAAGUAUUUUGUCACAUUCAUUGAUGAAAAAUCCAAAUACACCUGGUUAACCUUAAUCCCAUCUAAAGAUAGAGUUCUUGAUGCAUUUAAAAACUUUCAAGCUUAUGUGACUAACCAUUAUCAUGCUAAGAUUAAAAUUUUUAGAUCAGAUAAUGGAGGAGAAUACACUAGCCAUGCAUUCAAGUAUCAUCUAGCUCAUCAUGGGAUUCUUCAUCAAACAAGCUGUCCUUACACACCUCAACAGAAUGGUGUGGCUGAGAGGAAGAAUCGACAUCUCAUGGAGACUGCUCGGUCAUUAAUGUUUCAAGCAAAUGUUCCCAAAAGGUUUUGGAGUGAUGCUGUGGCCACCGCUUGCUACUUGAUCAACCGGACACCUACAAAAAUCCUUGAAGAUCAGGCACCAUUUGAGGUCUUGAAUAAACACAAGCCGUCAGUAGAACACUUGAGAGUCUUUGGGUGUUUGUGCUAUGUGUUGAUUCCGGGACAGAUGAGGAGCAAGUUGGAAGCAAGGAGUACAAAGGCUGUAUUCAUAGGCUACUCUACAACACAGAAGGGAUACAAAUGCUAUGAUCCAGAAGGAAGAAAAGUUCUAGUAUCAAGGGAUGUGAAGUUUGUAGAAGAAAGAGGAUACUAUGAAGAAAAGAACCAAGAAGACUUGAAAGAUCUAACCUCAGAUAAGGCUGGGGUGUUAAGGAUUAUCCUAGAGGGGCUAGGAAUCAAGAUGUCCCAGGAUCAGAACUCUGGUCAAAGGGAACAACAUGGAGACUCUCACCAUGAUUGUGAGGGGGGAAAUGAGCCUGAAGUUCAAGAAAGUGGCCAAGAAGGAGCCGGCUUGAAUGAGGAAGGGUUGGAGACAAGUUUAGGCCAAGAUGGAGCCGGCUUGAAUCAGGAACAAAGGGAGAUAAGUUCAGGCUCUCACAAUCAAGGUGAGCAGGAACAAAGAGAAGUAGACGCAUCAGUUGAGGAUGUAGAAGAAGAAGAAGAAGAACCAGAUGCUCAAGAGCAAGCCGUGAGAGUUCAACAACCAGAAUUGAGGAGAAGCACAAGAGUGAGGAAGGAUCCUUCCUCUUGGGUAAACACGAGAGUGUACUACAAUGCCCAAGCAGUGGAGCAUCCUUCUCAAGCUGUGUGCUCCUUUGCUCAAUAUCCUAAAGCACAUUGCGCAUUUAUGGUAAAUCUGGAUGAGGGUUAUAUCCCAAGAAGCUAUGAAGAGGCAAUACAAGACAAGGAGUGGAAGGAAUCAGUUGGAGCUGAGGCAGGAGCUAUGAUCAAGAAUGAUACAUGGUAUGAGAGUGAGUUACCUAAAGGGAAGAAGGCUGUGACUAGUAGAUGGAUAUUCACAAUCAAGUAUAAGGCUGAUGGUCAGGUUGAGAGGAAGAAGUCAAGACUGGUUGCAAGAGGCUUUACUCAAACAUAUGGAGAAGAUUACAUUGAGACCUUUGCACCAGUGGCUAAGCUACACACAAUCCGAAUUGUAUUAAGCUUGGCUGUGAAUCUUGGAUGGGGCUUAUGGCAAAUGGAUGUGAAGAAUGCAUUUCUACAAGGAGAGCUUGAGGAUGAAGUGUAUAUGCAUCCACCUCCGGGCUUGGAACACUUAGUAAAGAAAGGGAAUGUGUUGAGACUGAAGAAAGCUAUCUAUGGGCUGAAGCAAUCACCAAGAGCUUGGUAUAACAAGCUGAGCACUACUCUUAAUGGCCGAGGCUUCAAGAAGUCUGAGCUAGAUCACACUCUCUUCACUCUAACUACUCCCUCAGGUAUGAUUGCACUUCUUGUGUAUGUUGAUGAUAUCAUUAUCACAGGGAGUGAUAAGGAAGGUAUCAUAGCAACCAAGGAGUUCCUUAAAUCCAUGUUUGAUAUUAAAGACUUGGGAGAAAUGAAAUACUUUCUUGGAAUUGAGAUAUGUAGAUCCAAGGAGGGUUUGUUCAUGUCCCAAAGAAAGUAUACACUUGAUCUUUUGAAAGGUGCAGGAGCUUAUGGAGGCAAGACAGCAAGGAUGCCUAUGGAGGAUGGCUACAAAGUCCCACGAGAGGGGGAGAUUGAAGACAGCAAACCUUAUCAGGAUCCUAAACUCUAUAGAAAACUAGUUGGCAAAUUGAUUUAUCUUACCAUAACUAGGCCUGACAUUUGUUUUGCUGUGAAUCAGGUGAGUCAACACAUGCAGGUGCCUAAGGAGCAUCAUUGGCGGAUGGUGGAGAGGAUCUUGAUGUAUCUCAAUGGCUCACCUGAUCAAGGAGUAUGGAUGGGCUGCAAUGGAAGCACAGAAGUUGUUGGAUACUGUGAUGCUGAUUGGGCUGGUGAUAGAGCUGACAGGAGAUCAACAACCGGCUAUUGCACAUUCAUUGGAGGCAACUUGGUGACUUGGAAGAGCAAGAAGCAAAAGGUGGUAUCUUGCUCAAGUGCAGAAGCUGAGUAUAGAGCCAUGCUGAAGCUUACAAACGAGCUAGUAUGGAUCAAGGGCAUUUUGAAGCAUUUGGGGAUUGAUCAAGCCAAGCCAAUGACCAUGCAUUGUGAUAACCAAGCCGCAAUCCACAUAGCUUCCAACUCGGUGUUCCAUGAAAGAACCAAGCACAUUGAGGUUGAUUGCCACAAGGUGAGGCAGAUGAUUGUACUAGGAGUCAUCUUGCCAUGCUACACUAGGAGUGAAGAUCAGUUGGCUGAUGUGUUCACUAAGGCAGCAAGACAGAAGACUAUGGAGUCCAUUCAUAUCAGAUUGGGACUCAUAGAUCUUGGGAAGGGAAGGAGCUAAUCCUCUAAGUCAUGAGGUCUUUACUCUUUUUCCCUCAUCAAGGUUUUGUCCCAAUGGGUUUUCCUUGGUGAGGUUUUUAAUGAGGAAGAUCUCAUGGCUGUCCAAGCUUAGGCUUUCACAAAGCCAAGCUUGAGGGGGAGUGUUGAGAUGAGUUAUGAGAUAAGAAGAAGCAUGAAGGGAUUAGAGAUUGUGAGAAGGAUGAGGCAUGAAGGGGUUAGGAUGGCUUUAGGAGGAGUGGACCGUACAAGGCCGUACCAUCCGUACAAGGCCGUACAUGAUGGUAACUAUAAGUUACCCGAGUAACUCAUCCGGAUGAAAGGAGCUUGGAGGUAAAGUCUUGGGAGCUUAUCUGAUCCAUCAGACCGUUGAGGAAGUAGAUAAGAGGCGCCUUGACAGGCUGUCACAGCUGGAAAGGCAAAAGCUACUUUAGCCAAAGAUCCCAAAGGCAUCAAACGUGUGAGAGCCUUCAUUGGACAGAUUCAAACUCAGCCAGCCUUUACCUAUUGACUUCACAUGCUUAUGGUCUCUCAUUAGGUUUUCGAAACCCUUGUUGCUCAGACUAUAUAUAUGUAACCUCAUCUCUUAAUAAAGAUUAGACAGUUCAGAUUAUCCUUAGCCUCCAUGGCUUUUCUCUUAAUCUCUUAAUCUCAGAUUCUACUCUAAAUCAUCUCUAAUACUUCUCUAAUCUCUCCUAAACUCUCAGAUUACUCUUUAUACUCUAAAACUUAUAUGGUAUCAGAGCCAGGUUCUUGAGAAUCUGAGUUCUUUGCGUGGGCUAAAGACUAAAGCUUUGAAGGUUCCUCGGAGUCUCUAGCCUCAAGUCUUCCUUGGUUACAUUGUGGUUACAAGAUUGAAUCUUUUGCGUGUGUGUUGUGAGUUCUUGACGUGUUGGUGCAGUCUAGUCUCAAGUUCAAAGUCUUCUACAAGUAGUUCAAGAACAAGCGGUUGAAGAUGGAUGGAGGGAUAAGCAUGCACAUGAAGGUGGCAGUUACUUUCAAGGGGAGUAACUAUUUGGUGUGGUCUCGGAUGGUGAGAACCACAGUGGGAAGUAAGGGUUUGUGGAAGCAUCUUACGGAUGGUGAAGCUCCACAGCUCAUUACUCAGGGAGAAGACUCGGAAGAGGUCUCAAAUGAAACGGCCGUAGAGAAGUGGCAGCGAGAAGACAUGCUUGUGAUGUCCGUUCUUCAUGCCUCUCUAGAGCCGGCGAUCCUAGAGGCUUACAGCUAUUGUGAGUCAGCUAAGGAGCUAUGGGACACCUUGAAGAAGGUGUAUGGGAAUGUUUCAAACCUUCACCGAGUGUUUGAAGUAAAGAAAGCCAUAAACGGCUUGGUACAAGAUGACAUGGAAUUCACCAAGCAUUUGGGGAGGUUCCGGUCCUUAUGGUCAGAGCUAGAGAUGCUGAGGCCAAGCACAACCGAUCCAGAGCUGCUUAAUGAGAGGAGGGAGCAGGAUAAGGUCUUUGGACUAUUGCUUACCUUGAAUCCGGCUUACAACUCACUGAUUAAACACAUGUUGAGAGCGGAUAAGCUACCAGACCUUGAGGAGGUGUGCUCUCAAAUUCAGAAGGAGCAGGGGUCUAUUGGAUUGUUUGGAAGCAAAGGGGAGAUGUCACUUGCAAAUAAGGCUGCGCAAGUCAACUCUGAUGAAGCUCCUCAAGCAAACAAGGCCGGUUACAACAAGUUUGAAGACAGGAAGUUCAAUGGGAGCUGUGAUCAUUGCAAGAAGCAUGGUCACAAGAAGAGCCAGUGCUGGAUACUCCACCCCCAUCUAAAGCCGGCCAAGUUCUUGAAGGAGAGGGAUGCCAGGGCAAAUGUGAGUGAAGGAUCAAGCGGUGCUGGUACCUCAGGAAAGAGCAAUGAUGAAGGAGGAAGGGAGAGUGAUGGCAGGUCAUUGGUGGCAUAUGCAGGCAAUCCAAAUCACCGAGGAGGGGAGCAAGACUACAUUAGGAGAUCAGACAUUGACUCCCUCAUCAAGAUGCUUAAGGAAAACGGUAACACUUAUGGUUAUUCCUUUGGUGCAUCAAUGAUAGUUAAGAAUGAUGAUAAUAGUCUUGAGAAGCAUGGAAUUACUAGUCUUGCUAGGACUGAUCACUCUCUCAAGUCAUCUAGUACACUUUGUCUUAUGGCUAAUAACAUGACUAAAGCAUUAGUAGUUGAUUCUGGUGCAUCUCAUCACAUGAUUAGUGAUACUAGUUUGAUUAAAGAUAUUGAACCUGCUAAUGGACAUGUGAUGAUUGCAAAUGGAGAUAAGAUUCCUAUUAGAGGAAUAGGAAACUUAAAACUAUUUAAUAAACAUACUAGAGCAUUCUAUAUGCCAGAAUUCACAUCAAACUUACUAUCAGUAAAGAAAUGUACUACUGAUCUUCAUUGCAAUGUUAUCUUUAGUCCUAAUGAUGUGAAGUUUCAGGAUAUUGAGAGCAGCCAGUUGAUUGGAAAAGGAGUUACUAAAGGGGAUCUUUACAUGCUUGAAGAAUUAGCUCCUGUUUCUGAAUCAAGCUGUUUAUUUACUACUACUUCAAAUUUGAAUAAGAAUGCUUUGUGGCAUGCUAGACUAGGACAUCCUCAUAGUAGAGCCUUGAAUUUAAUGUUGCCAGGUGUUAAUUUUGAGAAUAAAGACUGUGAAGCUUGCAUUUUAGGCAAACAUUGUAAAACUGUGUUUCAAAGGUCAUCUACUGUUUAUGAAAAAUGCUUUGAUUUGAUUCAUUCUGAUGUAUGGACUGCACCUUGUUUAUCUAGGGAGAAUCAUAAGUAUUUUGUCACAUUCAUUGAUGAAAAAUCCAAAUACACCUGGUUAACCUUAAUCCCAUCUAAAGAUAGAGUUCUUGAUGCAUUUAAAAACUUUCAAGCUUAUGUGACUAACCAUUAUCAUGCUAAGAUUAAAAUUUUUAGAUCAGAUAAUGGAGGAGAAUACACUAGCCAUGCAUUCAAGUAUCAUCUAGCUCAUCAUGGGAUUCUUCAUCAAACAAGCUGUCCUUACACACCUCAACAGAAUGGUGUGGCUGAGAGGAAGAAUCGACAUCUCAUGGAGACUGCUCGGUCAUUAAUGUUUCAAGCAAAUGUUCCCAAAAGGUUUUGGAGUGAUGCUGUGGCCACCGCUUGCUACUUGAUCAACCGGACACCUACAAAAAUCCUUGAAGAUCAGGCACCAUUUGAGGUCUUGAAUAAACACAAGCCGUCAGUAGAACACUUGAGAGUCUUUGGGUGUUUGUGCUAUGUGUUGAUUCCGGGACAGAUGAGGAGCAAGUUGGAAGCAAGGAGUACAAAGGCUGUAUUCAUAGGCUACUCUACAACACAGAAGGGAUACAAAUGCUAUGAUCCAGAAGGAAGAAAAGUUCUAGUAUCAAGGGAUGUGAAGUUUGUAGAAGAAAGAGGAUACUAUGAAGAAAAGAACCAAGAAGACUUGAAAGAUCUAACCUCAGAUAAGGCUGGGGUGUUAAGGAUUAUCCUAGAGGGGCUAGGAAUCAAGAUGUCCCAGGAUCAGAACUCUGGUCAAAGGGAACAACAUGGAGACUCUCACCAUGAUUGUGAGGGGGGAAAUGAGCCUGAAGUUCAAGAAAGUGGCCAAGAAGGAGCCGGCUUGAAUGAGGAAGGGUUGGAGACAAGUUUAGGCCAAGAUGGAGCCGGCUUGAAUCAGGAACAAAGGGAGAUAAGUUCAGGCUCUCACAAUCAAGGUGAGCAGGAACAAAGAGAAGUAGACGCAUCAGUUGAGGAUGUAGAAGCAGAAGAAGAAGAAAUCAAGGUGAGCAGGAACAAAGAGAAGUAGACGCAUCAGUUGAGGAUGUAGAAGAAGAAGAAGAAGAACCAGAUGCUCAAGAGCAAGCCGUGAGAGUUCAACAACCAGAAUUGAGGAGAAGCACAAGAGUGAGGAAGGAUCCUUCCUCUUGGGUAAACACGAGAGUGUACUACAAUGCCCAAGCAGUGGAGCAUCCUUCUCAAGCUGUGUGCUCCUUUGCUCAAUAUCCUAAAGCACAUUGCGCAUUUAUGGUAAAUCUGGAUGAGGGUUAUAUCCCAAGAAGCUAUGAAGAGGCAAUACAAGACAAGGAGUGGAAGGAAUCAGUUGGAGCUGAGGCAGGAGCUAUGAUCAAGAAUGAUACAUGGUAUGAGAGUGAGUUACCUAAAGGGAAGAAGGCUGUGACUAGUAGAUGGAUAUUCACAAUCAAGUAUAAGGCUGAUGGUCAGGUUGAGAGGAAGAAGUCAAGACUGGUUGCAAGAGGCUUUACUCAAACAUAUGGAGAAGAUUACAUUGAGACCUUUGCACCAGUGGCUAAGCUACACACAAUCCGAAUUGUAUUAAGCUUGGCUGUGAAUCUUGGAUGGGGCUUAUGGCAAAUGGAUGUGAAGAAUGCAUUUCUACAAGGAGAGCUUGAGGAUGAAGUGUAUAUGCAUCCACCUCCGGGCUUGGAACACUUAGUAAAGAAAGGGAAUGUGUUGAGACUGAAGAAAGCUAUCUAUGGGCUGAAGCAAUCACCAAGAGCUUGGUAUAACAAGCUGAGCACUACUCUUAAUGGCCGAGGCUUCAAGAAGUCUGAGCUAGAUCACACUCUCUUCACUCUAACUACUCCCUCAGGUAUGAUUGCACUUCUUGUGUAUGUUGAUGAUAUCAUUAUCACAGGGAGUGAUAAGGAAGGUAUCAUAGCAACCAAGGAGUUCCUUAAAUCCAUGUUUGAUAUUAAAGACUUGGGAGAAAUGAAAUACUUUCUUGGAAUUGAGAUAUGUAGAUCCAAGGAGGGUUUGUUCAUGUCCCAAAGAAAGUAUACACUUGAUCUUUUGAAAGGUGCAGGAGCUUAUGGAGGCAAGACAGCAAGGAUGCCUAUGGAGGAUGGCUACAAAGUCCCACGAGAGGGGGAGAUUGAAGACAGCAAACCUUAUCAGGAUCCUAAACUCUAUAGAAAACUAGUUGGCAAAUUGAUUUAUCUUACCAUAACUAGACCUGACAUUUGUUUUGCUGUGAAUCAGGUGAGUCAACACAUGCAAGUUCCUAAGGAGCAUCAUUGGCGGAUGGUGGAGAGGAUCUUGAUGUAUCUCAAUGGCUCACCUGAUCAAGGAGUAUGGAUGGGCUGCAAUGGAAGCACAGAAGUUGUUGGAUACUGUGAUGCUGAUUGGGCUGGUGAUAGAGCUGACAGGAGAUCAACAACCGGCUAUUGCACAUUCAUUGGAGGCAACUUGGUGACUUGGAAGAGCAAGAAGCAAAAGGUGGUAUCUUGCUCAAGUGCAGAAGCUGAGUAUAGAGCCAUGCUGAAGCUUACAAACGAGCUAGUAUGGAUCAAGGGCAUUUUGAAGCAUUUGGGGAUUGAUCAAGCCAAGCCAAUGACCAUGCAUUGUGAUAACCAAGCCGCAAUCCACAUAGCUUCCAACUCGGUGUUCCAUGAAAGAACCAAGCACAUUGAGGUUGAUUGCCACAAGGUGAGGCAGAUGAUUGUACUAGGAGUCAUCUUGCCAUGCUACACUAGGAGUGAAGAUCAGUUGGCUGAUGUGUUCACUAAGGCAGCAAGACAGAAGACUAUGGAGUCCAUUCAUAUCAGAUUGGGACUCAUAGAUCUUGGGAAGGGAAGGAGCUAAUCCUCUAAGUCAUGAGGUCUUUACUCUUUUUCCCUCAUCAAGGUUUUGUCCCAAUGGGUUUUCCUUGGUGAGGUUUUUAAUGAGGAGGAUCUCAUGGCUGUCCAAGCUUAGGCUUUCACAAAGCCAAGCUUGAGGGGGAGUGUUGAGAUGAGUUAUGAGAUAAGAAGAAGCAUGAAGGGAUUAGAGAUUGUGAGAAGGAUGAGGCAUGAAGGGGUUAGGAUGGCUUUAGGAGGAGUGGACCGUACAAGGCCGUACCAUCCGUACAAGGCCGUACAUGAUGGUAACUAUAAGUUACCCGAGUAACUCAUCCGGAUGAAAGGAGCUUGGAGGUAAAGUCUUGGGAGCUUAUCUGAUCCAUCAGACCGUUGAGGAAGUAGAUAAGAGGCGCCUUGACAGGCUGUCACAGCUGGAAAGGCAAAAGCUACUUUAGCCAAAGAUCCCAAAGGCAUCAAACGUGUGAGAGCCUUCAUUGGACAGAUUCAAACUCAGCCAGCCUUUACCUAUUGACUUCACAUGCUUAUGGUCUCUCAUUAGGUUUUCGAAACCCUUGUUGCUCAGACUAUAUAUAUGUAACCUCAUCUCUUAAUAAAGAUUAGACAGUUCAGAUUAUCCUUAGCCUCCAUGGCUUUUCUCUUAAUCUCUUAAUCUCAGAUUCUACUCUAAAUCAUCUCUAAUACUUCUCUAAUCUCUCCUAAACUCUCAGAUUACUCUUUAUACUCUAAAACUUAUAUGGUAUCAGAGCCAGGUUCUUGAGAAUCUGAGUUCUUUGCGUGGGCUAAAGACUAAAGCUUUGAAGGUUCCUCGGAGUCUCUAGCCUCAAGUCUUCCUUGGUUACAUUGUGGUUACAAGAUUGAAUCUUUUGCGUGUGUGUUGUGAGUUCUUGACGUGUUGGUGCAGUCUAGUCUCAAGUUCAAAGUCUUCUACAAGUAGUUCAAGAACAAGCGGUUGAAGAUGGAUGGAGGGAUAAGCAUGCACAUGAAGGUGGCAGUUACUUUCAAGGGGAGUAACUAUUUGGUGUGGUCUCGGAUGGUGAGAACCACAGUGGGAAGUAAGGGUUUGUGGAAGCAUCUUACGGAUGGUGAAGCUCCACAGCUCAUUACUCAGGGAGAAGACUCGGAAGAGGUCUCAAAUGAAACGGCCGUAGAGAAGUGGCAGCGAGAAGACAUGCUUGUGAUGUCCGUUCUUCAUGCCUCUCUAGAGCCGGCGAUCCUAGAGGCUUACAGCUAUUGUGAGUCAGCUAAGGAGCUAUGGGACACCUUGAAGAAGGUGUAUGGGAAUGUUUCAAACCUUCACCGAGUGUUUGAAGUAAAGAAAGCCAUAAACGGCUUGGUACAAGAUGACAUGGAAUUCACCAAGCAUUUGGGGAGGUUCCGGUCCUUAUGGUCAGAGCUAGAGAUGCUGAGGCCAAGCACAACCGAUCCAGAGCUGCUUAAUGAGAGGAGGGAGCAGGAUAAGGUCUUUGGACUAUUGCUUACCUUGAAUCCGGCUUACAACUCACUGAUUAAACACAUGUUGAGAGCGGAUAAGCUACCAGACCUUGAGGAGGUGUGCUCUCAAAUUCAGAAGGAGCAGGGGUCUAUUGGAUUGUUUGGAAGCAAAGGGGAGAUGUCACUUGCAAAUAAGGCUGCGCAAGUCAACUCUGAUGAAGCUCCUCAAGCAAACAAGGCCGGUUACAACAAGUUUGAAGACAGGAAGUUCAAUGGGAGCUGUGAUCAUUGCAAGAAGCAUGGUCACAAGAAGAGCCAGUGCUGGAUACUCCACCCCCAUCUAAAGCCGGCCAAGUUCUUGAAGGAGAGGGAUGCCAGGGCAAAUGUGAGUGAAGGAUCAAGCGGUGCUGGUACCUCAGGAAAGAGCAAUGAUGAAGGAGGAAGGGAGAGUGAUGGCAGGUCAUUGGUGGCAUAUGCAGGCAAUCCAAAUCACCGAGGAGGGGAGCAAGACUACAUUAGGAGAUCAGACAUUGACUCCCUCAUCAAGAUGCUUAAGGAAAACGGUAACACUUAUGGUUAUUCCUUUGGUGCAUCAAUGAUAGUUAAGAAUGAUGAUAAUAGUCUUGAGAAGCAUGGAAUUACUAGUCUUGCUAGGACUGAUCACUCUCUCAAGUCAUCUAGUACACUUUGUCUUAUGGCUAAUAACAUGACUAAAGCAUUAGUAGUUGAUUCUGGUGCAUCUCAUCACAUGAUUAGUGAUACUAGUUUGAUUAAAGAUAUUGAACCUGCUAAUGGACAUGUGAUGAUUGCAAAUGGAGAUAAGAUUCCUAUUAGAGGAAUAGGAAACUUAAAACUAUUUAAUAAACAUACUAGAGCAUUCUAUAUGCCAGAAUUCACAUCAAACUUACUAUCAGUAAAGAAAUGUACUACUGAUCUUCAUUGCAAUGUUAUCUUUAGUCCUAAUGAUGUGAAGUUUCAGGAUAUUGAGAGCAGCCAGUUGAUUGGAAAAGGAGUUACUAAAGGGGAUCUUUACAUGCUUGAAGAAUUAGCUCCUGUUUCUGAAUCAAGCUGUUUAUUUACUACUACUUCAAAUUUGAAUAAGAAUGCUUUGUGGCAUGCUAGACUAGGACAUCCUCAUAGUAGAGCCUUGAAUUUAAUGUUGCCAGGUGUUAAUUUUGAGAAUAAAGACUGUGAAGCUUGCAUUUUAGGCAAACAUUGUAAAACUGUGUUUCAAAGGUCAUCUACUGUUUAUGAAAAAUGCUUUGAUUUGAUUCAUUCUGAUGUAUGGACUGCACCUUGUUUAUCUAGGGAGAAUCAUAAGUAUUUUGUCACAUUCAUUGAUGAAAAAUCCAAAUACACCUGGUUAACCUUAAUCCCAUCUAAAGAUAGAGUUCUUGAUGCAUUUAAAAACUUUCAAGCUUAUGUGACUAACCAUUAUCAUGCUAAGAUUAAAAUUUUUAGAUCAGAUAAUGGAGGAGAAUACACUAGCCAUGCAUUCAAGUAUCAUCUAGCUCAUCAUGGGAUUCUUCAUCAAACAAGCUGUCCUUACACACCUCAACAGAAUGGUGUGGCUGAGAGGAAGAAUCGACAUCUCAUGGAGACUGCUCGGUCAUUAAUGUUUCAAGCAAAUGUUCCCAAAAGGUUUUGGAGUGAUGCUGUGGCCACCGCUUGCUACUUGAUCAACCGGACACCUACAAAAAUCCUUGAAGAUCAGGCACCAUUUGAGGUCUUGAAUAAACACAAGCCGUCAGUAGAACACUUGAGAGUCUUUGGGUGUUUGUGCUAUGUGUUGAUUCCGGGACAGAUGAGGAGCAAGUUGGAAGCAAGGAGUACAAAGGCUGUAUUCAUAGGCUACUCUACAACACAGAAGGGAUACAAAUGCUAUGAUCCAGAAGGAAGAAAAGUUCUAGUAUCAAGGGAUGUGAAGUUUGUAGAAGAAAGAGGAUACUAUGAAGAAAAGAACCAAGAAGACUUGAAAGAUCUAACCUCAGAUAAGGCUGGGGUGUUAAGGAUUAUCCUAGAGGGGCUAGGAAUCAAGAUGUCCCAGGAUCAGAACUCUGGUCAAAGGGAACAACAUGGAGACUCUCACCAUGAUUGUGAGGGGGGAAAUGAGCCUGAAGUUCAAGAAAGUGGCCAAGAAGGAGCCGGCUUGAAUGAGGAAGGGUUGGAGACAAGUUUAGGCCAAGAUGGAGCCGGCUUGAAUCAGGAACAAAGGGAGAUAAGUUCAGGCUCUCACAAUCAAGGUGAGCAGGAACAAAGAGAAGUAGACGCAUCAGUUGAGGAUGUAGAAGAAGAAGAAGAAGAACCAGAUGCUCAAGAGCAAGCCGUGAGAGUUCAACAACCAGAAUUGAGGAGAAGCACAAGAGUGAGGAAGGAUCCUUCCUCUUGGGUAAACACGAGAGUGUACUACAAUGCCCAAGCAGUGGAGCAUCCUUCUCAAGCUGUGUGCUCCUUUGCUCAAUAUCCUAAAGCACAUUGCGCAUUUAUGGUAAAUCUGGAUGAGGGUUAUAUCCCAAGAAGCUAUGAAGAGGCAAUACAAGACAAGGAGUGGAAGGAAUCAGUUGGAGCUGAGGCAGGAGCUAUGAUCAAGAAUGAUACAUGGUAUGAGAGUGAGUUACCUAAAGGGAAGAAGGCUGUGACUAGUAGAUGGAUAUUCACAAUCAAGUAUAAGGCUGAUGGUCAGGUUGAGAGGAAGAAGUCAAGACUGGUUGCAAGAGGCUUUACUCAAACAUAUGGAGAAGAUUACAUUGAGACCUUUGCACCAGUGGCUAAGCUACACACAAUCCGAAUUGUAUUAAGCUUGGCUGUGAAUCUUGGAUGGGGCUUAUGGCAAAUGGAUGUGAAGAAUGCAUUUCUACAAGGAGAGCUUGAGGAUGAAGUGUAUAUGCAUCCACCUCCGGGCUUGGAACACUUAGUAAAGAAAGGGAAUGUGUUGAGACUGAAGAAAGCUAUCUAUGGGCUGAAGCAAUCACCAAGAGCUUGGUAUAACAAGCUGAGCACUACUCUUAAUGGCCGAGGCUUCAAGAAGUCUGAGCUAGAUCACACUCUCUUCACUCUAACUACUCCCUCAGGUAUGAUUGCACUUCUUGUGUAUGUUGAUGAUAUCAUUAUCACAGGGAGUGAUAAGGAAGGUAUCAUAGCAACCAAGGAGUUCCUUAAAUCCAUGUUUGAUAUUAAAGACUUGGGAGAAAUGAAAUACUUUCUUGGAAUUGAGAUAUGUAGAUCCAAGGAGGGUUUGUUCAUGUCCCAAAGAAAGUAUACACUUGAUCUUUUGAAAGGUGCAGGAGCUUAUGGAGGCAAGACAGCAAGGAUGCCUAUGGAGGAUGGCUACAAAGUCCCACGAGACGGGGAGAUUGAAGACAGCAAACCUUAUCAGGAUCCUAAACUCUAUAGAAAACUAGUUGGCAAAUUGAUUUAUCUUACCAUAACUAGGCCUGACAUUUGUUUUGCUGUGAAUCAGGUGAGUCAACACAUGCAGGUGCCUAAGGAGCAUCAUUGGCGGAUGGUGGAGAGGAUCUUGAUGUAUCUCAAUGGCUCACCUGAUCAAGGAGUAUGGAUGGGCUGCAAUGGAAGCACAGAAGUUGUUGGAUACUGUGAUGCUGAUUGGGCUGGUGAUAGAGCUGACAGGAGAUCAACAACCGGCUAUUGCACAUUCAUUGGAGGCAACUUGGUGACUUGGAAGAGCAAGAAGCAAAAGGUGGUAUCUUGCUCAAGUGCAGAAGCUGAGUAUAGAGCCAUGCUGAAGCUUACAAACGAGCUAGUAUGGAUCAAGGGCAUUUUGAAGCAUUUGGGGAUUGAUCAAGCCAAGCCAAUGACCAUGCAUUGUGAUAACCAAGCCGCAAUCCACAUAGCUUCCAACUCGGUGUUCCAUGAAAGAACCAAGCACAUUGAGGUUGAUUGCCACAAGGUGAGGCAGAUGAUUGUACUAGGAGUCAUCUUGCCAUGCUACACUAGGAGUGAAGAUCAGUUGGCUGAUGUGUUCACUAAGGCAGCAAGACAGAAGACUAUGGAGUCCAUUCAUAUCAGAUUGGGACUCAUAGAUCUUGGGAAGGGAAGGAGCUAAUCCUCUAAGUCAUGAGGUCUUUACUCUUUUUCCCUCAUCAAGGUUUUGUCCCAAUGGGUUUUCCUUGGUGAGGUUUUUAAUGAGGAAGAUCUCAUGGCUGUCCAAGCUUAGGCUUUCACAAAGCCAAGCUUGAGGGGGAGUGUUGAGAUGAGUUAUGAGAUAAGAAGAAGCAUGAAGGGAUUAGAGAUUGUGAGAAGGAUGAGGCAUGAAGGGGUUAGGAUGGCUUUAGGAGGAGUGGACCGUACAAGGCCGUACCAUCCGUACAAGGCCGUACAUGAUGGUAACUAUAAGUUACCCGAGUAACUCAUCCGGAUGAAAGGAGCUUGGAGGUAAAGUCUUGGGAGCUUAUCUGAUCCAUCAGACCGUUGAGGAAGUAGAUAAGAGGCGCCUUGACAGGCUGUCACAGCUGGAAAGGCAAAAGCUACUUUAGCCAAAGAUCCCAAAGGCAUCAAACGUGUGAGAGCCUUCAUUGGACAGAUUCAAACUCAGCCAGCCUUUACCUAUUGACUUCACAUGCUUAUGGUCUCUCAUUAGNNNNNNNNNNNNNNNNNNNNNNNNNNNNNNNNNNNNNNNNNNNNNNNNNNNNNNNNNNNNNNNNNNNNNNNNNNNNNNNNNNNNNNNNNNNNNNNNNNNNNNNNNNNNNNNNNNNNNNNNNNNNNNNNNNNNNNNNNNNNNNNNNNNNNNNNNNNNNNNNNNNNNNNNNNNNNNNNNNNNNNNNNNNNNNNNNNNNNNNNNNNNNNNNNNNNNNNNNNNNNNNNNNNNNNNNNNNNNNNNNNNNNNNNNNNNNNNNNNNNNNNNNNNNNNNNNNNNNNNNNNNNNNNNNNNNNNNNNNNNNNNNNNNNNNNNNNNNNNNNNNNUUCAAACCGGUUCCAUGAAGAGGUGAAGGUGAAGUGUGAAGUGUGCGCAAAGCUGUGAAGUGUUGCUGCACCUAUUAGGCCGUGAUCCAGAGCUUCUUGUGUCCAACCACACUGGUUCUAAGGCACAAGAGCUCACUGGCCAAUCCCUAGGCUUUGGAGAGCUCUACUCUUUUUCCCUUGCAAGGUUUUGUCCCAAUGGGUUUUCCUUGUAAGGUUUUUAAUGAGGGAGACUCUUCAGAGUUCCAAGCUUGACUUAGGAUCUCCUAGAGCCAAGCUUGAGGGGCAGUGUUAAACUGAAGAGGAGAUAGAGCUUGUACAUUAAUAGGGCAAGCUCUAGAAGAUGUCCAGAAGAGUUCAAUCAAGCUUCAGGAGUGCCCUGAAGUAUCUAUCUGUAGAGGACAUUGGAGGAGUUUAGGAGGAAAUGGUCGAUGGUGCAAAGUUAGGGUCGUCCGUACAGACGGCCGUACGGACUGUACGGAUCGGUACAGACGAGGACGACCCGAAACACUUUAUCUCGACCAUUUGGAGUCAUUUGGUGUUUGUGCAAUAAUAGGGCACAAGUGUACGGUUCUACCUAUGUCCGUACACCCCCUGAAGUAUGAGCAAGGUCCGGUUUAGCAAAUGGCAUCAAGAAAGCAUCAAGAAGAUGCUUUGUGCAAGUUAUGAACCAAUGGGAGUGGCCUUGGUGGAACCAGCACGUGAUUGGCUCAUCUUGGUCUUUGGACAGGCUGUCACAAGCUGUAAAAGGAAGAGCAAGUUGGACUAUGUACCUGGACUGAUCUAUGGACUGAUUCAGGUGUAAUGUUGGUGCAUUCAUAGCCAAGUAUUCUCUCCUCCAAUCACCAGCCACUACUCAGAUUGCCAAGACCUCCAAGACCUGAUCCAAGUCGUCCAUUUCAAACCAGACAAUUAGGGUUUAUGAGUUACAACUUGUAUUUUCCUAUAAAAAGACCCUUAAGGGGCAUUUGUAACUCUUAAGAGAGUUAGGGGGAUUUCCCCUUCUCCUUCAUAGUCUUUGGUUACUUUGAAUCUCCCAAUCUCUAUUCUCUGGUUACUUAAUCUCCCAGUCUCUCUAAUCUCUCAAUCUCUCACCCAAAGUCUCUUAAUCUCACGCCAUUCUUAUUCUUCCAUCAGUCUCUUUGUUAUUCUCUUCCAUUGUUAAACAAGACUCAGUCCCAACCUGUGGAGGUUGAUUGACCACGCCCACACACAGCCUGUGCUGUGAAAAACUCACAUCUAGUAGAUGGAUCUUUACAAUCAAGUACAAGGCUGAUGGGUCGAUUGAGAGGAAGAAAACUAGACUAGUAGCAAGAGGGUUUACUCAGACAUAUGGAGAGGAUUACAUUGAGACAUUUGCACCAGUAGCCAAGCUACACACAAUUAGAAUUGUUUUAAGCUUGGCUGUGAACCUUGGAUGGGAUUUGUGGCAAAUGGAUGUAAAGAAUGCAUUUCUACAAGGAGAACUUGAGGAUGAACUCUAUAUGUAUCCUCCACCAGGUCUUGAACAUCUAGUGAAGAGAGGGAAUGUACUGAGGUUAAAGAAGGCUAUCUAUGGGCUGAAGCAAUCACCAAGAGCAUGGUACAACAAGCUGAGCACAACUCUGAAUGGCCGAGGCUUUAAGAAGUCAGAAUUGGACCAUACUCUCUUUACCCUUACUACACCCUCAGGUAUGGUUGCUCUCCUUGUGUAUGUAGAUGAUAUCAUCAUCACAGGAAGUGAUAAAGAAGGUAUCAAAGCAACCAAGGAGUUUCUAAAGUCUAUGUUUGAAAUAAAAGAUUUGGGAGAAAUGAAAUACUUUCUUGGAAUUGAGAUUUGUAGAUCCAAGGAAGGUUUGUUCAUGUCCCAAAGGAAGUAUACACUUGAUCUUUUGAAAGAUGCAGGUGCUUAUGGAGGCAAGACAGCAAGGAUGCCAAUGGAGGAUGGCUACAAAGUACCAAGAGAGGGGGAGAUUGAAGACAGCAAGCCAUUUCAUGAUCCUAAACUCUAUAGAAAACUUGUUGGAAAAUUGAUUUAUCUAACCAUCACAAGACCUGAUAUAUGCUUUGCUGUGAAUCAGGUGAGUCAACACAUGCAGCUUCCCAAGGAACAUCAUUGGCGUAUGGUGGAUAGGCUGCUGAUGUAUCUAAAUGGCUCGCCGGAUCAAGGUGUAUGGAUGGGGUGCAAUGGAAGCACAGAAGUGGUGGGCUAUUGUGAUGCUGAUUGGGCAGGUGAUAGAGCUGACAGAAGAUCAACAACCGGCUAUUGCACAUUCAUUGGAGGCAACUUGGUGACUUGGAAGAGUAAGAAACAGAAGGUGGUGUCAUGCUCUAGUGCAGAAGCUGAAUAUAGAGCCAUGCUGAAGCUUACAAACGAGCUAGUUUGGAUCAAGGGCAUCUUGAAGCAUUUGGAGAUAGCACAAGACACUCCAAUGACAAUGCAUUGUGACAACCAGGCCGCCAUUCACAUAGCCUCCAACUCGGUGUUCCAUGAGAGAACAAAGCACAUUGAGGUUGAUUGCCACAAGGUGAGGCAGAUGAUUGUCCUAGGAGUCAUCUUGCCAUGUUAUACUAGGAGUGAAGAUCAGUUGGCUGAUGUAUUCACCAAGGCUGCAAGGCAAAAGACAAUGGAGUCCAUUCAUAUCAGAUUGGGCCUCAUUGAUCUUGGGAAGAGACGCAGCUGAUCCCCUUAGUCAUGAGAUCUUUACUCUUUUUCCCUCAUUAAGGUUUUGUCCCAAUGGGUUUCCCUUAGUGAGGUUUUUAAUGAGGAAGAUCUCAUGGCUGUCCAAGCUUAGUCUUUCACAAAGCUAAGCUUGAGGGGGAGUGUUGAGAUGAAGAGUGUCAAGUGAAGAAUGGAGAUGAGGGUUGAGUAGAAUGAAGAAGAGGAAGGAUAGGAAGGUUUGGGAGCUUUGGGAUCAGCCUGUCCGUACAAGGCCGUACAUGGCCGUACAUGACAGGACAGGCCGUACAAGAUAGGAUCGACCAAAGCUCAACCAAACCUCACCAUAAGUUAUCCGAGUUACUUAAGUAAAGAGGAGAAGUUACCUUGGCCUUUGUGGGUGGAUCAGACCGUUGGAAAGGAUAAGGGAGAGUCUUGGACAGGCUGGCACAGCUGGACACGGAAAAGCAAAAGGUUGAGCCAGCUAAUGAAGGCUCACACGCGCGGCUCACCUCAUUGGACAAGUUUGAAAUGGCCAUUGACUCCACAUGCUUACCUUAUCCUCUUAAGCUACGAAAACCCUAGUCUCUUCUCUUAUAAAGUUGUAAACACUCUCAUUAAUAGAAUCAAGAAAGUUUUGAGUCUUUCUCUUAGUCUUUAAUCUCAAUGGUUCCAUAUUAGACUCAUAAGCUCAUUUCAUACUCUAAUCUUCUCUAAAUCGAUUCUAGUCUUUCCUAAACACUCAGAUUACUCUAAACAUUACUAAGGAUCUCAUGGUAUCAGAUCCAGGUUCGUGAAAACCUGAGUUCGUGUUAGGCUCUUUGGAGAUUCAAGAUUGAAGCUUUAAAGAGUUUGGUUGGUGUUCUUGUGUUCUUGGGAAGUUCCGGGUAUUGUCCGAGUUCAAAGACUAGUUCUUAGUGUGUUGCUAAAGCUGUGAGGUUGAAGACCGAGGCAGUGAGUGUUCUUACAAGUCUCUUAACCCAAGAUCCAGUUUGUGAAGUCUAGAGAAGUCAUCGUUCAUCAUGGAAAGUGGUAUGAACAUGAACAUGAAGGUAGCGGUUUGCUUCAAGGGAACCAACUACUUGGUGUGGUCUCGGAUGGUGAGAACCACAGUGGGAAGCAAAGGGCUUUGGAAGCACAUCACGCCAGGAGAAGCUCCAAAGCUCAUCACCCAAGGAGAAACUGAAGGAGAAGCCGCAAGCAAAGCGGAAGAGAAGUGGCAUCAGGAGGACAUGUUGGUGAUGUCAGUGCUGCAUGCUUCACUUGAGCCGGCGAUUCUAGAUGCAUACAGCUACUGUGAAUCAGCUAAAGAGCUGUGGGAUACGUUGAAGAAGGUGUAUGGGAAUACAUCAAACCUGAGCCGUGUGUUUGAAAGCUACUGUGAAUCAGCUAAAGAGCUGUGGGAUACGUUGAAGAAGGUGUAUGGGAAUACAUCAAACCUAAGCCGUGUGUUUGAAGUGAAGCAGGCUAUAAACAACUUGGUACAAGAGGAUAUGGAGUUCACCAAGUAUCUAGGGAGGUUCAGAACACUCUGGUUCGAGCUGGAGAUGUUGAGGCCAAGCACUACAGAUGCAGAUGAGCUCAACAAAAGAAGAGAGCAAGAUAAGGUCUUUGGGCUACUCCUCACCAUGAAUCCGGCUUACAAUGGUCUUAUCCAACACUUGCUUAGAGAGGACACACUACCUGAUCUUGAAGAAGUGUGCGCAAGGAUUCAGAAGGAACAAGGCUCUAUUGGGUUGUUUGGAAAGAAAGGAGAGCUAUCUCUCGUGAAUCAAGCAACUCAAGAGGAGGGAGGGGAAGCUCCACAAGCACACAAGGCUGCGCAUGGGAAGUAUGAUGAGAGGAGGUUCAAUGGGAACUGUGAUCACUGCAAGAAGCAUGGCCACAAGAAGAGCCAAUGCUGGAUACUCCAUCCCCAUCUCAAGCCAGCAAAGUUUAUGAAGGACAGAGAGGCAAGGGCUAAUGUCUCAGAUGGAGCAAGCGCAAGUGGAGCAGGUACUAGCAAAGGGAAGGAGAUAGAUGGGCGUGAAACAGGUGAUGGGAGGUCUCUUGUAGCCUACACUGGAGCCCCAAGCAACCGUGGGAACUAUGAUCAAGAGUAUCUAAGGAAAUCUGACCUGGAUGCUCUCAUUAAGCUCUUCAAGGAGCAUGGUAACAUUUUUGGGUAUUCCUUUGGGGCUAGGGCUAUAGGGAAUGAUGAGAAUUCAACUAGAAUUGAUAGGAUGCAUGAAAGUGUGAUAGAGAUAAUCAACCAAUCUAGAACGGCUAGUCUUGCUAGGAAUGAUCAUGCAUUCAAACCAUCUAGUAUCCUUGCUCAUAUUAAACACUUUUGUGUUUAGAGAAUGAUUCAAACAACCAUAGAUACUUAGAUUCAAAGAUUAAAGAGAUUAAGAGAUUUUAGUAAGAGAAUCAAGAGAGAGAGACUCAAAACUCCAUUAAUUAAUUUAAUGUCUCAGAUACAAGAUAUAUAUGAAGAGAUAAGGCUAAUACAAAAGGGAUUUCGAAAUCCAUAAGCAUGUGAGGUCAAUGGACAGGCUGGAGCUCCUUUUGCUUCACAUGCUUGGACAGGCUGUAAAAGUGCUUCACUUUUCCAGCUAUGACCAGACCUUAUCCAAACACCUCCUCCCUUAUCCAGACUCAUCUUGGGCGUGAUCCCCUUUACCAUAAGGGUCCAAUGUAACUUCCCAAGCCUUUACCUUAGUUACCACAGUAAAACUAAAGUUACUGUGGUAAAUUCCCAAAGUUACUCUCUGCCCCAAUAGUAACUUCCUAAGCUUUUAACUUAGUUACCACAGUCAAACCGAAGUUACUGUGGUAAAACUCCAAAGUUACUCUCUGCCCCAAUACUCUUUCUAAAUCAAUGUAUCUUCUCUCCAUCCUCUUAUCUCAACACUCCCCCUCAAGCUUGACCAUGUAGAGCAAGUCAAGCUUGGAAACCAUGAAGAUCUCCCUCAUUAAAAACCUCACCAAGGAAAACCCAUUGGGAUAAAACCUUGAUGAGGGAAAAAGAGUGAAGACUCCAUGGUUAAGGGGAUCAGCUCCUGGGAGUAAGAUCAAUGAGCCCAAGCCUAGAAAGUAUGGACUCCAUUGUCUUUAAUCUCGCUGCCUUAGUAAACACAUCAGCCAGUUGAUCCUCACUCCUUGUAUAACAUGGCAGAAUCACUCCUAAGAUAAUCAUCUGCCUCACCUUGUGACAAUCCACUUCUAUGUGCUUCGUUCUCUCAUGAAAGACUGAGUUAGAAGCAAUAUGGAUAGCUGCUUGAUUGUCACAGUGCAUUGUCAUAGGAGUACUCUGCUCAAUCUCCAGAUGCUUCAAGAUACCCUUGAUCCACACCAACUCGUUUGUCAACUUCAACAUAGCCCUAUAUUCAGCCUCAGCACUUGAACAAGAGAUGACCUUCUACUUCUUACUCUUCCAAGUAACCAGGUUCCCUCCAAUGAAUGUACAAUAGCCAGUAGUUGAUCUCCUGUCCACUCUAUCUCCUGCCCAAUCAGCAUCACAAUAGCCCACUACUUCUGUGCUGCCAUUGCAUCCCAUCCAAACUCCUUGACCAGACGUGCCACUCAAAUACCUCAGUAUCCUAUCAACCAUCUUCCAGUGAUGUACCCUUGGCGCCUGCAUAUGCUGACUCACUUGGUUUACAGCAAAACAUAUAUCUGGCCGUGUGAUGGUCAAGUAGAUCAGCUUGCCAACCAUCUUCCUGUAUAGCUUAGGAUCCUCAAACAACUGCUUCUCUUCAACCUCCCCCUCACGCAGAACCUUAUAUCCCUCCUCAAGGGGUGUUUUAGCUAUCUUUCCUCCAAGCACAUCAGUCUCCUUCAACAUAUCCAUAGUAUACUUCCUUUGAGACAUAAACAAAGGUGUUUUAGCUAUCUUUCCUCCAAGCACAUCAGUCUCCUUCAACAUAUCCAUAGUAUACUUCCUUUGAGACAUAAACAAACCCUCCUUUGAUCUGCAUAUCUCAAUGCCCAGAAAAUACUUCAUCUCUCCCAAAUCCUUGAUGUCAAACACAGAUUUGAGAAACUCCUUAGUAGCUUGAAUCCCUGCCUUAUCACUCCCUGUGAUAAUCAAAUCAUCCACAUACACUAGAAUCACAAUGAUCCCUGAAGGUCCUGUCAAAGUGAAGAGUGUGUGAUCUAAUUCAGACUUCCUAAAGCCUCUCCCAUUGAGUGUUGUACUCAGCUUCCUGUACCAAGCUCUAGGUGAUUGUUUCAGCCCAUAUAUUGCCUUCUUCAAUCUCAAAACAUUCCCUGGCUUUACUAGAUGCUCAAGACCAGCAGGAGGAAGCAUGUAUACCUCAUCUUCUAGCUCACCUUGUAAGAAAGCAUUCUUCACAUCCAUCUGCCACAAAUCCCACUCCAAGUUUGUUGCAAUGGACAACACAAUCCGAACUGUAUGUAGCUUAGCUACUGGUGCAAAGGUAUCAAUGUAAUCCUCUCCAUAGGUCUGUGUAAAUCCUCUUGCAACCAAUCUGGUCUUCUUCCUAUCAAUCUGUCCAUUUGCAAGAUACUUGAUUGUGAAGAUCCAUCUACUAGAUACAGCUUUCUUUCCCUUAGGCAGCUCACUCUCAUACCAUGUAUCAUUUUUGAUCAUAGCACCUGCUUCAGCUCCCACUGAUUCUUUCCAUUCCUUGUCUAACAUAGCUUCUUCAUAAGUCCUUGGUACAUAACUCUCAUCCAGACUAAUCAUAAAGGCAUAAUGCUCCUCUGGAAACUCAGCAAAGGAACACACGGCUUGAGAAGGAUGCUCCACAGCCUGGGCAUUGUAGUACACUCUCGUGUUUACCCAGUUGGAAGGAUCCCUCUUUAUCCUUGUGCUCCUCCUCAAAGCUUGAACCUGAUCUUCAGUUUGCACACUAACCGGCUCCACUUGCUCUUCUUCUGAACUGGCCGGUCUGACUUGUUCUUCUACACUAGACUGAACCUCAUCCACUUCUCCACUAGACUGAACCUCAUUGUUCGCAACUUCUUGUGAUGUAUCUUGAUCAUGAAGACCUGAAUCCUCUUGGUUUUGCUCUUGCUCACCAGAUUCAGUUCCAUUCCCCCUCUCAUGAUCAAGAGGAGUUGUUCAUCCAGCUCCACCAGUCUGAUUGGAAGGCUCUCUCCUUCCNNNNNNNNNNNNNNNNNNNNNNNNNNNNNNNNNNNNNNNNNNNNNNNNNNNNNNNNNNNNNNNAGACUCUCUCCUUCCGGUUUCCUGAUCCUGGGAUAAUCCUAUCCCGAGCUUCUCUAACAACACUCUCAGUAUUGUUGCCUUAUCAGAUGGAGCUUGAGACAAAUCCUUCAGAUUUUCCCACUCCUUUUCUUCAUAAUAACCUUUUGUUUCAACAAACUUCACUUCUCUAGAUACCAUCACUCUCCUUGCUUCAGGAUCAUAGCACUUGUACCCCUUCUGAGUGAUAGAGUAACCAAUGAACAUAGCCUUAGUACUCUUUGCCUCCAGCUUGUUUCUCUGCUCUCCUGGAACCAUGACAUAGCACACACACCCAAAGACACGUAGAUGAUCAAUGACAGGUUUGCUCUUGUUCAACACUUCAAAUGGAGACAGAUUCUUCAAUAUCUUGGUUGGAACCCGGUUGAUGAGAUAGCAAGCAGUCUGAACCGCAUCACUCCAAAAACGUUUUGGGACAUUUGCAUGAAACAUCAUCGAUCUAGCAACCUCCAUCAAGUGCCUGUUCUUCCUCUCAGCUACACCAUUCUGCUGUGGUGUAUAAGGCAGCUAGUCUGAUGCACAAUCCCAUGCUUGGCUAGAUGAUUCUUGAAGGCAUUGCUGAUGUAUUCACCUCCAUUAUCUGAUCUCAGUACCUUCACAGUAGCAUUGUAUUGAUUAGAUACAUAUGCUUGGAAGUUCAUAAAUGCUUCUAGCACCCUAUCUUUAGAUGGAAGCAAUGUAAGCCAAGUAUACUUAGACUUCUCAUCAAUGAAUGUCACAAAGUACUUCUGGCUAUCUCUAGACAAACAAGGAGCUGUCCACACAUCUGAAUGAACUAGAUCAAAGCAAUGCUCAUAAGUAGUUUCUGAACUUGGAAACACAGUCCUACAAUGCUUUCCUAAUAUGCAAGCCUCACACUCUAAGUGAUUAAAUGACAUAUUAGGCAUGAUCAAUUCAAUUGCACGAGCAUGAGGAUGUCCCAAUCUAGCAUGCCAAGUCAUACUAUCACACCUAUCAACAGCACUACUUAAGCACACAGAAUCAAGGAGUUUAGAAUUCUUAGCCAUUUGAAGAUGGUAUAGCUGAUUCUUGCUGUCUCCUCUGCCAAUAACUCUCCCAGUCUUCAAAUCUUGAAACUCAACUUCAUCAGGUCUGAAUACUACUUGACAAUCAAGAUCAAUGGUAGCUUUCUUCACAGAUAAUAGAUUUGAAGUGAACUGAGGCAUGUAGAAGGCAGCUGUGUCCUUCUCAAACAGUUUUAGCUUUCCCACUCCUUCUAUUGGGAUCAUAGCACCAUUAGCUAUCAUAACACUCCCUGUUGCAGCCUUGAUCUCACUUAUAAGCCUCCUAUCACUGAUCAUAUGAUGGCUUGCUCCAGAAUCAAUCACAAUGGGUUUAGAAGCUCCGGAUUGUAUAGCAUGCUUCCUGCUUGCUGCUAAGGCUUGUACUUGUUCCAUGAACACUCUCCAUUCUUUCCUUGUGAUGCGAUCAUCAGCUCCACUCCCUUUCUCCUGCUCUUUUAACACCCCACUGUCUUCUACUGAUUCCCCCAUGUAGGCUGAGUAAGAACACUCUCCCACAACUCUCUUCCUACCCUUUCCUAUGUUGAUAGAAGCUUUGGAUAGCAUUCUGCACCUCCUCUUCUUCCGGAAGCCCUCACUCCUACUCCCGGUUAGCCUCCAUGAGCUCUCACUCCUACUCAUGGUUAGCUUCUGGAAGCUCUCACUCCUACUCCCAGUUGGCUUCCAUGAGCUCUCACUCCUACUCAUGGUUAGCCUCUCAUCAUCUCUCAUUAUCUCAUACGCCCUUCUUAUAAGCACACAGAUCUCUUCCAUUUCCGGAAGCUGUUCCCCUCUUAGAACCAUCUCCACCAGCCACCCAUAUGAUGACUCCAUGCUCGCCAAGAGCUUCAAGACUGUCGCUUGCUCUUGUGUAGUAUCCCCAUCCACAUGGGAUCUCAACCCUUGUAGUUCAACCCACAAAUGUUGUAGCUUCCUCACAUGAUUAUUGAACCCUUCUCUUCCUGGUUUAACUUCACUAAUCACCUUCUUGACUUCAUACACUCUCCUAAGACUGAUCUUGUUCUCAUAAACAUCUUCAAUCUUCUCAAGCAGUGUACUUUCUUCAAGACUAAAUCAAUCUCCAUUUGUUUCUCUUGCUGUCUGAUCUUUCUCAGCAGCUUUACCCAUCAAAGACUCUUUCUUCUCAUGGUUUCUCCAAACUCCACACCUUUUCAGUGUUGUUUUCAUCUGUGAGAACCACCCCCACACAUUCCCUCUCUCUUUCUUCUCUUCACGCCAAUCUUCUCAAGCAGUGUACUUUCUUCAAGACUAAAGCAAUCUCCAUUUGUUUCUCUUGCUGUCUGAUCUUUCUCAGCAGCUUUACCCAUCAAAGACUCUUUCUUCUCAUGGUUUCUCCAAACUCCACACCUUUUCAGUGUUGUUUUCAUCUGUGAGAACCACCCCCACUCAUUCCCUCUCUCUUUCUUCUCUUCACGCCUUGUUGUACCAGAUUGAAGCAGCUCCAUUUACUUUAGCCUAAAGCAACAACCUUUAGCCUAGAUCUUCCCCCAAAUGCCUCUAAUCUCACACGCUAAGCUUACCAACUAGCUAGACCCCUCUUCUGACCUUGUGAAACACCUAAACGGACUCCCUUGAAGCUGACUCUCCAAAAGAAACACCAACAGACACAAACUUGACUUUUAAAGGAUCUAGCUCUUGAAAAAUCUCAAGAACUCUCAAGAACACUCAAGAACAUUUAGAAAAACGAAAUCACUCUCUCCUUUUCAAGGAACCUGGCUCUGAUACCAUAAACACUUUUGUGUUUAGAGAAUGAUUCAAACAACCAUAGAUACUUAGAUUCAAAGAUUAAAGAGAUUAAGAGAUUUUAGUGAGAGAAUCAAGAGAGAGAGACUCAAAACUCCAUUAAUUGAUUUACUGUCUCAGAUACAGGAUAUAUAUGAAGAGAUAAGGCUAAUACAAAAGGGAUUUCGAAAUCCAUAAGCAUGUGAGGUCAAUGGACAGGCUGGAGCUCCUUUUACUUCACAUGCUUGGACAGGCUGUAAAAGUGCUUUACUUUUCCAGCUAUGACCAGACCUUAUCCCAACAUCUCCUCCCUUAUCCAGACUCAUCUUGGGCGUGAUCCCCUUUACCAUAAGGGUCCAAUGUAACUUCCCAAGCCUUUACCUUAGUUACCACAGUAAAACUAAAGUUACUAUGGUAAAUUCCCAAAGUUACUCUCUGCCCCAAUACUCUUCCUCUAUCAAUGUAUCUUCUCUCCAUCCUCUUAUCUCAACAAUGAACCUCAAGCCAAAGCUCCUUGUCCAAGAGCUUAUCACAUCCGGAUACAAGAAAGACGAAGCUAAGAUGAAGCCGGUUUGAUGUAUGAAGAAAGGAGGGGCCUUUUGGGUGUGAGAAACAAGAAGGAGGCCGUGGACUGAAGGAGAAGGAGGUGGGUGACGAUCCAGACUCCUUAAUCCAACCAAAUCAUGGCCAGAUUGCCUUUGGAGACUUAAGGAACCAACCUGGUUCCUUGUGUAAGCGAUUCUUUAAAACCUUCUUGAUACUGAGCUUGUGUUGUGACUGUGCCUGGUUAUUGUGAUGUGUAUUGAUUGAAAAACCUGAGGAUAAUGUGUGAUUGCUAAAUAUAAUUAGUUGAAUCUGUCCCUGGAUGCUUUAAAGGCUUGUUUAGUGUUUAAAGAGUAAAAUGCUUGCUCCUGUUAAGUAAUGAGUUUGCUAAAUGUGAAAUGGUAUUGUUUGAAGCUCAUGAACUGAAAACAGAUUGAAGGUAAUGCAUUGUCUGAUGUUAAGUGAUGAUAGUAAUGCUUAGCCUAAGUUAUAAAUGAAUGUGUGAUGGAUUAUAUUGUUGCAUUCAUGAAUUGAAACUGGUUAAGGUUAGUGCAUACUGUCAAAUGGCUGACUUACAUUGAAGCAUUAGAUUCAUGUCUAAAUGCUGAGUAAAGAAGCUUUAAAAAUUGCCUAAGUAGCUUGUAUUGAAUCUGUUAGGAUCAUGCUAGUGCUUAGAGAGGUUGCUUGCAAAGAUUAGAACUUGAAAAUGUCUAGUUUAAUCUGUUGCAUUGCUUAAAGACAUUGGUGUUCAAACUUGAUGAUGCAUCAAGGGUUGACCCAAUGCACUUGUGUCUUAUCUUUGCUGGAGUUUGAGUGAUGUUUCAGGUUCACAAGAGGUGUUCUUGGUUCACCAUCCAUCCGAGUUGAAAGAGGAAGACUUUGCCCAUUGUGUGGAGCAAUGGAGAGUUNNNNNNNNNNNNNNNNNNNNNNNNNNNNNNNNNNNNNNNNNNNNNNNNNNNNNNNNNNNNNNNNNNNNNNNNNNNNNNNNNNNNNNNNNNNNNNNNNNNNNNNNNNNNNNNNNNNNNNNNNNNNNNNNNNNNNNNNNNNNNNNNNNNNNNNNNNNNNNNNNNNNNNNNNNNNNNNNNNNNNNNNNNNNNNNNNNNNNNNNNNNNNNNNNNNNNNNNNNNNNNNNNNNNNNNNNNNNNNNNNNNNNNNNNNNNNNNNNNNNNNNNNNNNNNNNNNNNNNNNNNNNNNNNNNNNNNNNNNNNNNNNNNNNNNNNNNNNNNNNNNNNNNNNNNNNNNNNNNNNNNNNNNNNNNNNNNNNNNNNNNNNNNNNNNNNNNNNNNNNNNNNNNNNNNNNNNNNNNNNNNNNNNNNNNNNNNNNNNNNNNNNNNNNNNNNNNNNNNNNNNNNNNNNNNNNNNNNNNNNNNNNNNNNNNNNNNNNNNNNNNNNNNNNNNNNNNNNNNNNNNNNNNNNNNNNNNNNNNNNNNNNNNNNNNNNNNNNNNNNNNNNNNNNNNNNNNNNNNNNNNNNNNNNNNNNNNNNNNNNNNNNNNNNNNNNNNNNNNNNNNNNNNNNNNNNNNNNNNNNNNNNNNNNNNNNNNNNNNNNNNNNNNNNNNNNNNNNNNNNNNNNNNNNNNNNNNNNNNNNNNNNNNNNNNNNNNNNNNNNNNNNNNNNNNNNNNNNNNNNNNNNNNNNNNNNNNNNNNNNNNNNNNNNNNNNNNNNNNNNNNNNNNNNNNNNNNNNNNNNNNNNNNNNNNNNNNNNNNNNNNNNNNNNNNNNNNNNNNNNNNNNNNNNNNNNNNNNNNNNNNNNNNNNNNNNNNNNNNNNNNNNNNNNNNNNNNNNNNNNNNNNNNNNNNNNNNNNNNNNNNNNNNNNNNNNNNNNNNNNNNNNNNNNNNNNNNNNNNNNNNNNNNNNNNNNNNNNNNNNNNNNNNNNNNNNNNNNNNNNNNNNNNNNNNNNNNNNNNNNNNNNNNNNNNNNNNNNNNNNNNNNNNNNNNNNNNNNNNNNNNNNNNNNNNNNNNNNNNNNNNNNNNNNNNNNNNNNNNNNNNNNNNNNNNNNNNNNNNNNNNNNNNNNNNNNNNNNNNNNNNNNNNNNNNNNNNNNNNNNNNNNNNNNNNNNNNNNNNNNNNNNNNNNNNNNNNNNNNNNNNNNNNNNNNNNNNNNNNNNNNNNNNNNNNNNNNNNNNNNNNNNNNNNNNNNNNNNNNNNNNNNNNNNNNNNNNNNNNNNNNNNNNNNNNNNNNNNNNNNNNNNNNNNNNNNNNNNNNNNNNNNNNNNNNNNNNNNNNNNNNNNNNNNNNNNNNNNNNNNNNNNNNNNNNNNNNNNNNNNNNNNNNNNNNNNNNNNNNNNNNNNNNNNNNNNNNNNNNNNNNNNNNNNNNNNNNNNNNNNNNNNNNNNNNNNNNNNNNNNNNNNNNNNNNNNNNNNNNNNNNNNNNNNNNNNNNNNNNNNNNNNNNNNNNNNNNNNNNNNNNNNNNNNNNNNNNNNNNNNNNNNNNNNNNNNNNNNNNNNNNNNNNNNNNNNNNNNNNNNNNNNNNNNNNNNNNNNNNNNNNNNNNNNNNNNNNNNNNNNNNNNNNNNNNNNNNNNNNNNNNNNNNNNNNNNNNNNNNNNNNNNNNNNNNNNNNNNNNNNNNNNNNNNNNNNNNNNNNNNNNNNNNNNNNNNNNNNNNNNNNNNNNNNNNNNNNNNNNNNNNNNNNNNNNNNNNNNNNNNNNNNNNNNNNNNNNNNNNNNNNNNNNNNNNNNNNNNNNNNNNNNNNNNNNNNNNNNNNNNNNNNNNNNNNNNNNNNNNNNNNNNNNNNNNNNNNNNNNNNNNNNNNNNNNNNNNNNNNNNNNNNNNNNNNNNNNNNNNNNNNNNNNNNNNNNNNNNNNNNNNNNNNNNNNNNNNNNNNNNNNNNNNNNNNNNNNNNNNNNNNNNNNNNNNNNNNNNNNNNNNNNNNNNNNNNNNNNNNNNNNNNNNNNNNNNNNNNNNNNNNNNNNNNNNNNNNNNNNNNNNNNNNNNNNNNNNNNNNNNNNNNNNNNNNNNNNNNNNNNNNNNNNNNNNNNNNNNNNNNNNNNNNNNNNNNNNNNNNNNNNNNNNNNNNNNNNNNNNNNNNNNNNNNNNNNNNNNNNNNNNNNNNNNNNNNNNNNNNNNNNNNNNNNNNNNNNNNNNNNNNNNNNNNNNNNNNNNNNNNNNNNNNNNNNNNNNNNNNNNNNNNNNNNNNNNNNNNNNNNNNNNNNNNNNNNNNNNNNNNNNNNNNNNNNNNNNNNNNNNNNNNNNNNNNNNNNNNNNNNNNNNNNNNNNNNNNNNNNNNNNNNNNNNNNNNNNNNNNNNNNNNNNNNNNNNNNNNNNNNNNNNNNNNNNNNNNNNNNNNNNNNNNNNNNNNNNNNNNNNNNNNNNNNNNNNNNNNNNNNNNNNNNNNNNNNNNNNNNNNNNNNNNNNNNNNNNNNNNNNNNNNNNNNNNNNNNNNNNNNNNNNNNNNNNNNNNNNNNNNNNNNNNNNNNNNNNNNNNNNNNNNNNNNNNNNNNNNNNNNNNNNNNNNNNNNNNNNNNNNNNNNNNNNNNNNNNNNNNNNNNNNNNNNNNNNNNNNNNNNNNNNNNNNNNNNNNNNNNNNNNNNNNNNNNNAGUUUCUCUGUUUGGGAAUAUGACAACUUCUUCGUCAUUCUAAUCAAACCAGGAUGAAUCGCGAUGUAAGAACCUUCAUUUGGAUACAUAAAGUAGUGUAGAAAUCACCAGGAAUUGAAUAAAUCUCAUAGGAGUUAGGAUGAAUAAGUUUUCCCACUUUCAAAUAAGGUGAUCCCAGUUUGCCUAUUUGGGAAUAUGACAACUUCUUCGUCAUUCUAAUCAAACCAGGAUGAAUCGGGAUGUACAAAGCUUGAUUUGGAUACAUAAAGUAGUGUAGAAAUCACCAGGAAUUGAAUAAAUCUCAUAGGAGUUAGGAUGAAGAAGUUAUCCCACUUUAGGAGUUAGGAUGAAGAAGUUAUCCCACUUUAGGAGUUAGGAUGAAGAAGUUAUCCCACUUUAGGAGUUAGGAUGAAGAAGUUAUCCCACUUUAGGAGUUAGGAUGAAGAAGUUAUCCCACUUUAGGAGUUAGGAUGAAGAAGUUAUCCCACUUUAGGAGUUAGGAUGAAGAAGUUAUCCCACUUUAGGAGUUAGGAUGAAGAAGUUAUCCCACUUUAGGAGUUAGGAUGAAGAAGUUAUCCCACUUUAGGAGUUAGGAUGAAGAAGUUAUCCCACUUUAGGAGUUAGGAUGAAGAAGUUAUCCCACUUUAGGAGUUAGGAUGAAGAAGUUAUCCCACUUUAGGAGUUAGGAUGAAGAAGUUAUCCCACUUUAGGAGUUAGGAUGAAGAAGUUAUCCCACUUUAGGAGUUAGGAUGAAGAAGUUAUCCCACUUUAGGAGUUAGGAUGAAGAAGUUAUCCCACUUUAGGAGUUAGGAUGAAGAAGUUAUCCCACUUUAGGAGUUAGGAUGAAGAAGUUAUCCCACUUUAGGAGUUAGGAUGAAGAAGUUAUCCCACUUUAGGAGUUAGGAUGAAGAAGUUAUCCCACUUUAGGAGUUAGGAUGAAGAAGUUAUCCCACUUUCAAAUAAGGUGAUCCUAGUUUCCCUGUUUGGGAAUAUGACAACUUCUUCGUCAUUCUAAUCAAACCAGGAUGAAUCGGGAUGUACAAAGCUUGAUUUGGAUACAUAAAGUAGUGGAGAAUCACCCAGAAGACUCUUCAUAAGUAAUAAGCUUUGGGGCUUCACUCUGCGUAAUGUGUCCCCAUAGGCCUUUACUCCCCACUGCAGUCUUCACCAAACGAGACCACAAAAGAUAGUUACCCCCCUUGAGCGUAACCGGAACCACAGCCUUGUUGUUUUCCAUCUUGAAACCGUUAGGAUGAGAGAUGAGUAACUGAUGUGUUCUUGAGUCUUCUUAGCAAUCAAACCCAGAUUAUGAGCAACCUGGCUCUGAUAUCAUAUAAUCUUUUAGAGAAUCUGAGUUUGGAAUGAGAAAAGAGAGAGAUUAGAAAAGUUUAUAAGUGAUUUAGAACAAGUUUAGCAAGGUGUCUAGUGUAUGAUCAUGAUUAAGAGUCUUUGAGUCGAAGAGAAUGUUUUGUGUCAAGAACUGUCUGAUUAUCAUUGAUGAAGAGUCUACAAUUUAUAUGAAUGGAUACAAGGGUUUUCCCUAAAGGUAAAGUAAGCAAAGCAUGUGAAGUCAAUAGAGAGCUAGGCGCCGGAUUCAAACAAAGCCAAUGGGAGACUCCGCAUGUGUGGGAUGAAUGGAUAAGGUUGCUUUCCCUUUCCAGCUGUAUACAGCCUGUCAAACCGCGGCCUUAUCCUUCCCUCAACGGUCUGAUCACCCUCUGGUAACUCCUCAUAGUUACCCUUUCACUUAUCACAAGUAACUCUCCUGAAUAGUGAAGUGUGUUCAUCCCAAAGCCUGUACGCCCAUUCCUCUUGUACGGCAUGUACGGAUUGUACGGACUGGACAUCCUCCAUCCCGUCCCUCCUAGUGCUUCACUACUUCAUAUCCUGUCCUCAUACACAUUGCUCAACACUUCAUCAUAUGAUCUCAUCUCAGUAUGAUCUCAUCUCAACACUCCCCCUCAAGCUUAGUUUUGUGAAAGUCUAAGCUUGGAUAGCCAUGAGAUCCUCCUCAUUAAAAACCUCACCAAGGAAAACCCAUUGGGACAAAACCUUGAUGAGGGAAAAAGAGUAAAGAUCCCAUAGCUAAGGGGAUCAGCUUUUUCUGGUGAGAUCAAUGAGUCCUAGCCGGCUAUGGAUGGACUCAAUUGUCUUUUGCCUUGCUGCCUUUGUGAAUACAUCUGCUAGUUGAUCCUCACUCUUCGUGUAGCAUGGCAAAAUGACUCCAAGAAGUAUCAUUUGCCUCACCUUAUGGCAAUCAACUUCAAUGUGCUUGGUUCUCUCAUGGAAGACUGAGUUGGUGGCAAUGUGUAUAGCAGCCUGAUUGUCGCAAUGCAUAGUCAUAGGCGUGGCUUGAAUGAUCUCCCAGUGCUUCAGUAUCCCUUUGAUCCAUACAAGCUCAUUAGUCAGCUUCAGCAUCGCUCGGUAUUCAGCUUCAGCACUUGAGCAAGAGACCACCUUCUGCUUCUUACUCUUCCAGGUUACUAGGUUCCCACCAAUGAAUGUGCAGUACCCUGUUGUGGACCUUCUAUCUGCUCUAUCUCCAGCCCAAUCCGCAUCACAGUAGCCAACCACUUCAGUACUUCCAUUACACCCCAUCCACACUCCUUGAUCAGCUGAGCCAUUGAGAUACAUCAAGAUCCGGUUCACCAUUCCCCAAUGAUGCUCCUUUGGAACUUGCAUGUGCUGGCUUACCUGGUUUACAGCAAAACAAAUAUCAGGACGUGUGAUGGUUAAGUAUAUAAGCUUACCCACUAGCUUUCUAUAAAGCUUUGCAUCCUUGAAUGGUGGACUGUCUUCAAUCUCACCCUCACGUGGCACCUUGUAUCCAUCUUCUAGGGGAGUCUUGGCUGUCUUUCCAUCAAGCUUACCUGCAUCUUUCAACAGAUCAAGUGUAUACUUUCUUUGGGAUAGAAAUAAACCUUCCUUGGAUCUACAUAUCUCAAUUCCAAGAAAGUAUUUCAUCUCUCCCAAGUCUUUAAUCUCAAAAACAGAUUUAAGAAAUUCCUUAGUAGCUUGUAUCUCUUCUUUAUCACUACCUGUUAUGAUGAUAUCAUCCACAUACACAAGUAGAACAACAAUACCUGAUGGCGUGUUGAGUGUAAAGAGAGUAUGAUCAAGCUCAGACUUCCUAAAGCAUCUCCCAUUCAAGGUUGUGCUUAACUUGUUGUACCAUGCCCUUGGUGACUGUUUCAGACCAUAGAUGGCUUUCUUGAAUCUGAGAACAUUCCCUUUCUUCACCAAGUGCUCAAGACCCGGAGGUGGCAGCAUAUACACCUCAUCUUCUAGUUCUCCUUGUAAGAAUGCAUUCUUUACAUCCAUUUGCCACAACCCCUACUCAAGAUUCACAGGAAGAGAUAGAACAAUUCUAAUGGUAUGUAGCUUAGCCACAGGUGCAAAUGUAUCUAUGUAAUCCUCUCCAUAGGUUUGUGUGAAUCCUCUUGCAACCAACCGAGUCUUCUUCCUAUCAAUCUGUCCAUUUGCUAGGUAUUUGAUUGUGAAGAUCCAUCUACUAGACACAACUAUUUUCCCUUUAGGUAGCUCACUCUCAUACCAAGUGUCAUUCUUUAUCAUUGCAUCAGCUUCAGCUCCCACUGAUUCCCUCCAUUCUUUGUCUUGCAUAGCUUCCUCAUAUGACCUUGGUACAUGGCUCUCAUCUAAGCUAACCAUAAAGGCACAAUGUUCUUCUGGAUAAUGAGCAAAGGAACACACAGCUUGAGAGGGAUGUUCAACAGCUUGGGCAUUGUAGUACACUCUCGUGUUUACCCAGUUGGAACUAUCCUUUCUCACUCUGGUGCUUCUUCUCAAUGGCUGCACUGCUGGUUCUGAUUCAGGCUUAGUUGUAGUUGCAUUGUUUUCCUCUUGAUCGUGGCUUGAUGCCUCCUCAUCUUCUUGUAUCACACUUUGAUCAUGAUCACCUGAGCCUUCAUGUAUUUGAUCGUGAGUUUCAACAUGUACUUCAGCAGAUUCAGGUGUUGUUUUCCCCCCCCCCCAUGUUCUAAGUGUAAUGCCCCGGUAGGUUGCGUGGUUUCCAGUGGAAUAGUGUUUGUUGCACAACGUCUCUCCUUCGGAUCCUGGGCAGUUGGUAUUCCAAGCCCCUCUAGAAUGCUUCUAAGGCUAGCUGCUCUAUCUGUCUCUCUUGUCAGCUCCCACAGCUCCUCUUGAUUCUUCUCUUCAUAGAAACCUUUAGCUUCAAUGAACUUCACAUCUCUAGACACCAGCACUCUUCUUGUAGUAGGAUCAUAGCAUUUGUAGCCCUUUUGACUAGUAGAAUAGCCCACAAACAUAGCUCUUGUGCUGGUAGCUUCAAGUUUGUUUCUCAACUCCCUUGGCCUGAGAACAAAGCAUAGACACCCAAAGAUGCGCAUAUGCUCCAAUGAUGGCUUGUGCUUGUUCAAGACCUCAAAAGGGGACUGGUCAUGUAGAAUCCUGGUUGGAAUCCGGUUGAUCAAGUAACAAGAAGUAGCCACAGCAUCACUCCAAAACCUCUUUGGUACAUUCAUCUGAAACAUCAUAGACCUUGCCACCUCCAUGAGAUGCCUAUUCUUUCUCUCAGCCACUCCAUUUUGCUGAGGUGUAUACGGACAGCUCGUUUGGUGUAGAAUUCCAUGUUGAGAUAGAUGUUGCUUGAAGGUUUGGCUCGUGUACUCCCCACCAUUAUCUGAUCUCAAAAUUUUAAUCUUGGCAUUGUAAUGGUUAGUAACAUAGUUUUGAAAAAAUUUAAAAGCUUUAAGAACCCUAUCUUUAGUUUGAAUUAGGGUUAUCCAGGUGUAUUUCGAUUUUUCAUCUAUGAAUGUGACAAAGUAUUUAAAACUAUCCCUAGACAAGCAAGGAGCAGUCCAAACAUCAGAGUGAAUCAGGUCAAAGCAAUUGUCAUAGACAGUAGAUGAAAUGGGAUGCUUGCCUAAAAUGCAAGCUUCACAAUCCUUAUUCUCAAAUACCACACCUGGUAACAUCAAGUUUAAAGCCCUAACAUGGGGAUGACCUAGUCUAGCAUGCCACAAAGCAUUUUUAUUCAAUAUAGAAGCAGAAGUAAAUGAGCAAGUGUAAUCAGAAACAGGAGCAAGUUCUUCAAGCAAAAUGCCUAUUCUUUCUCUCAGCCACUCCAUUUUGCUGAGGUGUAUACGGACAGCUCGUUUGGUGUAGAAUUCCAUGUUGAGAUAGAUGUUGCUUGAAGGUUUGGCUCGUGUACUCCCCACCAUUAUCUGAUCUCAAAAUUUUAAUCUUGGCAUUGUAAUGGUUAGUAACAUAGUUUUGAAAAAAUUUAAAAGCUUUAAGAACCCUAUCUUUAGUUUGAAUUAGGGUUAUCCAGGUGUAUUUCGAUUUUUCAUCUAUGAAUGUGACAAAGUAUUUAAAACUAUCCCUAGACAAGCAAGGAGCAGUCCAAACAUCAGAGUGAAUCAGGUCAAAGCAAUUGUCAUAGACAGUAGAUGAAAUGGGAUGCUUGCCUAAAAUGCAAGCUUCACAAUCCUUAUUCUCAAAUACCACACCUGGUAACAUCAAGUUUAAAGCCCUAACAUGGGGAUGACCUAGUCUAGCAUGCCACAAAGCAUUUUUAUUCAAUAUAGAAGCAGAAGUAAAUGAGCAAGUGUAAUCAGAAACAGGAGCAAGUUCUUCAAGCAAAUAUAAAUCUCCUUUGGUAACUCCUUUUCCAAUCAAUUGGCUGCUCUCAAUAUCCUGAAACUUCACAUCAUUAGGACUGAAUAUAACAUUGCAAUUAAGAUCAGUAGUGCAUUUUUUUACAGAUAAUAGAUUUGAUGUGAAUUCAGGCAUAUAAAAAGCUUUAGACAUUUUAUCAAACAGUUUUAGCUUGCCUAUUCCUCUAAUUGGGAUUUUAUCCCCAUUUGCAAUCAUCACAUGUCCAUUUAUAGGUUCAAUGUCUCUAAUCAAGUUAGUAUCACUAAUCAUAUGAUGAGAUGCACCUGAAUCAACUAUCAAUGGUUUCAAUGUGUUUUGAGCAAUGUGAGACUGUCCUUGCAUACUAGUUGGUUUAUAAGCAAUGCUUGAAUGAUCAGGUUCUCUAGCCAGUCUACACGAUUCAUAUGAUGCACCAAAAGAAUAUCCAAGAGUACCGAGACUGUUACCAUUCUCCUUUAGCAUUUUGAUGAGGGAGUCAAUGUCUGAUCUCUUUAAGUACUCAUGCUCGCGGUUGUUCUGAAGGCUUGGUUGAGCUGUAUAAGUCACCAGGGCCUUGCUGUCUCCACUCUCACGUGUACUGCCCUCUCCAGCUUGGCUUGAACUCCCAGCACCACUUGAACUCCCCGGCUCACCUCCAUUUUUCUCUUUAGUGAACUUAGCCGGCUUGAGAUGAGGAUGCAGAAUCCAACAUUGGCUCUUCUUGUGACCUUGCCUCUUGCAAUGAUCACAAUUUCCAGUGAACCUCUUUGCUUCAUACUGAUUAGAACUUGCUCGGUUUGCUUGUGGAGCUUCAGCAUGGUUCACUAGAGUGACCUCUCCUUUCCCUCCAAAGAGACCAAUGGAUCCCUCUUACUUCUGAACUUGUGCACACACCUCUUCAAGAUCAGGUAGCGUCCCGUACCUCAGAAUGUGUAUGAUGAGGCUGUUGUAGCUUGGAUUCAGUGUAAGCAUCAAUCCAAAGACCUUAUCUUGCUCGCGCCUCUCAGCUAACUCAUCUUGGUUGGAUGUUCCCGGCCUCAGCAUCUCUAGCUCGGACCACAAGGCUCUAUGUCUUCUUGUGCCAGGCUGUUGAUGGCUCGCUUCACUUCAAACACGCGGCUCAGGUUGGAAGUGUUGCCACAAACUUUCUUAAGCGUGUCCCAAAGAUCCUUUGCUGUCUCACAGUAACUGUAAGCCUCCAUGAUAGACACUUCAAGAGACCGUUGGAGUAUAGACAUCACCAGCUGUUCGUCUUGCUCCCAUUUCUCUUCAUCACACUCGACAACCUCCUUGUCGUCUUUAUAAGUAAUAAACUUUGGGGCUUCACUCUGCGUAAUGUGUCCCCAUAGGCCUUUACUCCCCACUGCAGUCUUCACCAAACGAGACCACAAAAGAUAGUUACCCCCCUUGAGCGUAACCGGAACCACAGCCUUGUUGCUUUCCAUCUUGAAACCGUUAGGAUGAGAGAUGAGUAACUGAUGUGUUCUUGAGUCUUCUUAGCAAUCAAAACCAGAUUAUGAGCAACCUGGCUCUGAUACCAUAUAAUUUUUUAGAGAAUCUGAGUUUGUAAUGAGAAAAGAGAGAGAUUAGAGAAGUUUAUAAGUGAUUUUGAACAAGUUUAGCAAGGUGUCUAGUGUAUGAUUAUGAUUAAGAGUCUUUGAGUCUAAGGGAGUGUUUUGCGUCAAGAACUGUCUGAUUAUCAUUGAUGAAGAGUCUACAAUUUAUAUGGAUGGAUACAAGGGUUUUCCCUAAAGGUAAAGUAAGCAAAGCAUGUGAAGUCAAUAGAGAGCUAGGCGCCGGAUUCAAACAAAGCCAAUGGGAGACUCCACAUGUGUGGGAUGAAUGGAUAAGGUUGCUUUCCCUUUCCAGCUGUAUACAGCCUGUCAAGCCGCGGCCUUAUCCUUCCCUCAACGGUCUGAUCACGCUCUGGUAACUCCUCAUAGUUACCCUUUCACUUAUCACAAGUAACUCUCCUGAAUAGUUAAGUGUGUUCACCCCAAAGCAUGUACGGCCAUUCCUCUUGUACGGCAUGUACGGAUUGUACGGACUGGACAUCCUCCAUCUCGUCCCUUCUAGUGCUUCACUACUUCAUAUCAUGUCCUCAUACACAUUGCUCAACACUUCAUCAUAUGAUCUCAUCUCAGUAUGAUCUCAUCUCAACAGAAUCACGAUGUAAGAACCUUCAUUUGGAUACAUAAAGUAGUGGAGAAUCACCAGGAAGUUGAAUAAAUCUCAUAGGAGUUAGGAUGAAGAAGUUAUCCCACUUUCAAAUAAGGUAAUCCCAGUUUCCCUGUUUGGGAAUAUGACAACUUCUUCGUCAUUCUAAUCAAACCAGGAUGAAUCGUGAUAUAAGAACCUUCAUUUGGAUACAUUAAGUAGUGGAGAAUCACCAGGAAGUUGAAUAAAUCUCAUAGGAGUUAGGAUGAAGAAGUUAUCCCACUUUCAAAUAAGGUGAUCCCAGUUUGCCUGUUUGGGAAUAUGACAACUUCUUCGUCAUUCUAGUCAAACCAGAAGAAUCGCGAUGUACAAAGCUUGAUUUGGAUACAUAAAGUAGUGGAGAAUCACCAGGAAGUUGAAUAAAUCUCAUAGGAGUUAGGAUGAAGAAGCUAUCCCACUUUCAAAUCAGGUGAUCCCAGUUUUCCUGUUUGGGAAUAUGACAACUUCUUCGUCAUUCUAAUCAAUCCAGGAUGAAUCCCGAUAUAAGAACCUUCAUUUGGAUACAUAAACCAGUGGAGAAUCACAAGGAAGUUGAAUAAAUCUCAUAGGAGUUCGGAUGAAGAAGCUAUCCCACUUUCAAAUAAGGUGAUCCCAGUUUGCCUGUUUGGGAAUAUGACAACUUCUUCGUCAUUCUAAUCAAACCAGGAUGAAUAGCGAUAUAAGAACCUUCAUUUGGAUACAUAAACCAGUGGAGAAUCACCAGGAAGUUGAAUAAAUCUCAUUGGAGUUAGGAAAAAGAAGUUAUCCCACUUUCAAAUAAGGUGAUCCCAAUUUGCUUGUUUGGGAAUAAGACAACUUCUUCGUCAUUCUAAUCAAACCAGGAUGAAUCGGGGUGUACAACGCCUGAUUUGGAUUUAUAAAGUAGUGGAAAAUCACCCAGAAGUUUAAUAAAUCUCAUAGAAGUUAGGAUGAAGAAGUUAUCCCACUUUCAAAUAAGGUGAUCCCAGUUUCCUUGUUUGGGAAUAUGAAUACUUCUUCGUCAUCCUAAUCAAACCAGAAUGAAUCGCGAAGUAAGAAGCUUUAUUUGGAUACAUAAAGUAGUGGAGAAUCACCAGGAAGUUGAAAAGUAUGAUUUUUAGGAAUGUAAAGGAUAAUCUGAGUUUAGAAAGGAUUAGAGAAGGAGAAUAAGAGAUUAAGAGACUACUUAGAGACUAAUGGAGAAUCAUAGUGAAAUGAGUAUAGAGAAAGAUUGUUUUGAACUGUCUAAUCUUUAUUAAGGGAUGAUAUUACAUAUAUAUAGGUCCAUACACUUAGGGUUUUCGAACUCAUAAAGAUAAGUAAGCAUGUAGAGUCAAAGAGGAGCCUAAGCUUUAAUUUGAACCGGCCAAUGAGUGUCUUCACACGUUUGGAGCAUCUUCUUGAUCCAAGACUCGAUGCUCUUCCUUUCCAGCUCUUGUCAGCCUGUCUUAGCUGUCAAGCCGCGUCUCCCUUAUCCUCUCAACGUUCGGAUAAGGCCUUGGCCGAGUGUAACUUAAGCUCAGUACAUACAAGUUACUCGGAUAGUUACUUGGUCUCUUUUACCUUGUACGGAUGAUCACUUGUACGGCCUGGUACGGCCUCUCCGUCCGUACCAUCCCUAUCAACCCAUUCCUCCUCUUAUCCCCUUUGCUCUCUUUAUGUUCUCAACUCCUUUGUGUCUUUACCUCAAAUGUCUCAACUCAUCUCAACAAAAAGAUCUCAUAGGAGUUAGGAUGAAGAAGUUAUCCCACUUUCAAAUAAGGUGAUCCCAGUUUCCCUGUUUGUGAAUAUGACAACUUCUUCGUCAUUCUAAUCAAACCAGGAUGAAUUGCGAUGUAAGAACCUUCAUUUGGAUACAUUAAGUAGUGGAGAAUCACCAGGAAGUUGAAUAAAUCUCAUAGGAGUUAGGAUGGCGAAGUUAUCCCACUUUCAAAUAAGGUGAUCCCAGUUUGCCUAUUUGGGAAUAUGACAACUUCUUCAUCAUUCUAACCAAACCAGGAUGAAUCGGGAUGUACAAAUCUUGAUUUGGAUACAUAAAGUACUGGAGAAUCACCCGGAAGUUGAAUAAAUCUCAUAGGAGUUAGGAUGAAGAAGUUAUCCCACUUUCAAAUAAGGUGAUCCCAGUUUCCCUGUUUGGGAAUAUGACAACUUCUUCGUCAUUCUAAUCAAACCAGGAUGAAUCGCGAUGUAAAAACCUUGAUUUGGAUACAUAAAGUAGUGGAGAAUCACCAGGAAGUUGAAUAAAUCUCAUAGGAGUUAGGAUGAAGAAGUUAUCCCACUUUCAAAUAAGGUGAUCCAAAUUUCCCUUUGUAUGAAUAUGACAACUUCUUCGUCAUUCUAAUCAAACCAGGAUGAAUCAUGAUGUAAGAACCUUCAGUUGGAUACAUAAAGUAGUGUAGAAUCACCAGGAAGUUGAAUAAAUCUCAUUGGAGUUAGGAUGAAGAAGUUAUCCCACUAUCAAAUAAGGUGAUCCCAUUUUCCCUGUUUGGGAAUAUGACAAUUUCUUCGUCAUUCUAAUGAAACCAGGAUGAAUCGCGAUAUAAGAACCUUCAUUUCGAUACAUAAACCAGUGGAGAAUCACCAUGAAGUUGAAUAAAUCUCAUAGGAGUUAGGAUGAAGAAGCUAUCCCACUUUCAAAUAAGGUGAUCCCAGUUUCCCUGUUUGGGAAUAUGACAACUUAUUCGUCAUUCUAAUCAAACCAGGGUGAAUCGCUAUGUACAAAGCUUGAUUUGGAUAUAUAAAGUUGUGGAGAAUCACCAGGAAGUUGAAUAAAUCUCAUUGGAGUUAGGAUCCACUUUCAAAUAAGGUGAUCCUAGUUUCCCUGUUUGGGAAUAUGAAUACUUCUUCGUCAUCCUAUUCAAACCAGAAUGAAUUGCGAUGUAAGAGUCUUCAUUUGGAUACAUAAAGUAGUGGAGAAUCACCAGGAAGUUGAAUAAAUCUCAUAGGAGUUAGGAUGAAGAAGUUAUCCCACUUUCAAAUAAGGUGAUCCUAGUUUCCAUGUUUGGGAAUAUGACAAUUUCUUCGACAUUCUAAUCAAACCAGGAUGAAUCGCGAUGUACAAAGCUUGAUUUAGAUACAUAGAGUAGUGGAGAAUCACCAGGAAGUUGAAUAAAUCUCAUAGGAGUUAGGAUGAAGAAGUUAUCCCACUUUCAAAUAAGGUGAUCCCAGUUUCCCUGUUUGGGAAUAUGACAACUUCUUCGUCAUUCUAAUCAAACCAGGAUGAAUCGCGAUGUAAGAACCUUCAUUUGGAUACAUAAAGUAGUGGAGAAUCACCAGGAAGUUGAAUAAAUCUCAUAGGAGUUAGGAUGAAGAAGUUAUCCCACUUUCAAAUAAGGUGAUCCCAGUUUCCCUGUUUGGGAAUAUGACAACUUCUUCGUCAUUCUAAUCAAACCAGGAUGAAUCGCGAUGUAAGAACCUUCAUUUGGAUACAUAAAGUAGUGGAGAAUCACCAGGAAGUUGAAUAAAUCUCAUAGGAGUUAGGAUGAAGAAGUUAUCCCACUUUCAAAUAAGGUGAUCCCAGUUUCCCUGUUUGGGAAUAUGACAACUUCUUCGUCAUUCUAAUCAAACCAGGAUGAAUCGCGAUGUAAGAACCUUCAUUUGGAUACAUAAAGUAGUGGAGAAUCACCAGGAAGUUGAAUAAAUCUCAUAGGAGUUAGGAUGAAGAAGUUAUCCCACUUUCAAAUAAGGUGAUCCCAGUUUCCCUGUUUGGGAAUAUGACAACUUCUUCGUCAUUCUAAUCAAACCAGGAUGAAUCGCGAUGUAAGAACCUUCAUUUGGAUACAUAAAGUAGUGGAGAAUCACCAGGAAGUUGAAUAAAUCUCAUAGGAGUUAGGAUGAAGAAGUUAUCCCACUUUCAAAUAAGGUGAUCCCAGUUUCCCUGUUUGGGAAUAUGACAACUUCUUCGUCAUUCUAAUCAAACCAGGAUGAAUCGCGAUGUAAGAACCUUCAUUUGGAUACAUAAAGUAGUGGAGAAUCACCAGGAAGUUGAAUAAAUCUCAUAGGAGUUAGGAUGAAGAAGUUAUCCCACUUUCAAAUAAGGUGAUCCCAGUUUCCCUGUUUGGGAAUAUGACAACUUCUUCGUCAUUCUAAUCAAACCAGGAUGAAUCGCGAUGUAAGAACCUUCAUUUGGAUACAUAAAGUAGUGGAGAAUCACCAGGAAGUUGAACAAAUCUCAUAGGAGUUAGGAUGAAGAAGUUAUCCCACUUUCAAAUAAGGUGAUCCCAGUUUCCCUGUUUGGGAAUAUGACACUUCUUCGUCAUUCUAAUCAAACCAGGAUUAAUUGCGAUAUAAGAACCUUCAUUUGGAUACAUAAAGUAGUGGAGAAUCACCAGGAAGUUGAAUAAAACUCAUAGGGGUUAGGAUGAAGAAGUUAUCCCACUAUCAAAUAAGGUGAUCUCAGUUUUCCUGUUUGGGAAUAUGACAACUUUUUCGUCAUUCUUAUCAAACCAGGAUGAAUCGCGAUGUAAGAGCCUUCAUUUGGAUACAUAAAGUAGUGUUAAAAUCACCAGGAAGUUGAAUAAUCUCAUUGGAGUUAGGAUGAAGAAGUUAUCCCACUUUCAAAUAAGGUGAUCCCAGUUUGCCUGUUUGGGAAUAUGACAACUUCUUCGUCAUUCUAAUCAAACCAGGAUGAAUCGCGAUGUAAGAACCUUAAUUUGGAUACAUAAAGUAGUGGAGAAUCACCAGGAAGUUGAAUAAAUCUCAUAGGUGUUAGGAUGAAGAAGUUAUCCCACUUUCAAAUAAGGUGAUCCCAGUUUCCCUGUUUGGGAAUAUGAAAACUUUUUCGUCAUUCUAAUCAAAGCAGGAUGAAUCGCGAUGUGAGAACCUUCAUUUGGAUAUAUAAAGUAGUGUAGAAUCACCAGGAAGUUGGAUAAAUCUCAUAGGAGUUAGGAUGAAGAAGUUAUCCCAGUUUCAAAUAAGGUGAUCCCAGUUUCCCUGUUUGGGAAUAUGAAAACUUCUUCGUCAUUCUAGUCAAACCAGAUGAAUCGCGAUGUACAAAGCCUGAUUUGGAUACAUAAGGUAGUGGAGAAUCACCAGGAAGUUGAAUAAAUCUCAUAGGAGUUAGGAUGAAGAACUUAUCCCACUUUCAAAUAAGGUGAUCCCAGUUUUCCUGUUUGGGAAUAUGAAAACUUUUUCGUCAUUCUAAUCAAACCAGGGUGAAUCGCUAUGUACAAAGCUUGAUUUGGAUAUAUAUAAAGUAGUGGAGAAUCACCAGGAAGUUGAAUAAAUCUCAUAGGAGUUAGGAUGAAGAAGUUAUCCCACUUUCAAAUAAGGUGAUCUCAGUUUUCCUGUUUGGGAAUUUGACAACUUUUUCGUCAUUCUAAUCAAACCAGGAUGAAUCGCGAUGUAAGAACCUUCAUUUGGAUACAUAAAGUAGUGGAGAAUCACCCGGAAUUUGAAUAAAUCUCAUAGGAGUUAGGAUGAAGAAGUUAUCCCACUUUCAAAUAAGGUGAUCCCAGUUUGCCUGUUUGGGAAUAUGACAAUUUCUUCGUCAUUCUAAUCAAACCAGGAUGAAUCGCGAUCUAAGAACCUUCAUUUGGAUACAUAAACCAGUGGAGAAUCACCAGGAAGUUAAAUAAAUCUCAUAGGAGUUAGGAUGAAGAAGUUAUCCCACUUUCAAAUAAGGUGAUCCAUUUGGAUACAUAAAGUAGUGGAGAAUCACCCGGAAUUUGAAUAAAUCUCAUAGGAGUUAGGAUGAAGAAGUUAUUCCACUUUCAAAUAAGGUGAUCCCAGUUUCCCUGUUUGGGAAUAUGAAAACUUCUUCGUCAUUCUAAUCAAAGCAGGAUGAAUCGCGAUGUGAGAACCUUCAUUUGGAUAAAUAAAGUAGUGUAGAAUCACCAGGAAGUUGGAUAAAUCUCAUAGGAGUUAGGAUGAAGAAGUUAUCCCACUUUCAAAUAAGGUGAUCCAAGUUUUUCUGUUUGGGAAUAUGACAACUUCUUCGUCAUUCUAGUCAAACCAGAUGAAUCGCGAUGUACAAAGCUUGAUUUGGAUACAUAAAGUAGUGGAAAAUUACCAGGAAGUUGAAUAAAUCUCAUAGGAGUUAGGAUGAAGAAGUUAUCCCACUUUCAAAUAAGGUGAUCCCAGUUUCCCUGUUUGGGAAUAUGAAAACUUCUUCGUCAUUCUCAUCAAACCAGGAUGAAUCGCGAUGUAAGAACCUUCAUUUGGAUACGUAAACCAGUGGAGAAUCACCAGGAAGUUGAAUAAAUCUCAUAGGAGUUAUGAUGAAGAAGCUAUCCCACUUUCAAAUAAGGUGAUCCCAGUUUCCCUGUUUGGGAAUAUGACAACUUCUUCGUCAUUAUAAUCAAACCAGGAUGAAUCGCGAUGUAAGAACCUUCAUUUGGAUACGUAAACCAGUGUAGAUUCACCAGAAAGUUGAAUAAAUCUCAUAGGAGUUAGGAUGAAGAAGUUAUCCUAACUUCAAAUAAGGAGAUNNNNNNNNNNNNNNNNNNNNNNNNNNNNNNNNNNNNNNNNNNNNNNNNNNNNNNNNNNNNNNNNNNNNNNNNNNNNNNNNNNNNNNNNNNNNNNNNNNNNNNNNNNNNNNNNNNNNNNNNNNNNNNNNNNNNNNNNNNNNNNNNNNNNNNNNNNNNNNNNNNNNNNNNNNNNNNNNNNNNNNNNNNNNNNNNNNNNNNNNNNNNNNNNNNNNNNNNNNNNNNNNNNNNNNNNNNNNNNNNNNNNNNNNNNNNNNNNNNNNNNNNNNNNNNNNNNNNNNNNNNNNNNNNNNNNNNNNNNNNNNNNNNNNNNNNNNNNNNNNNNNNNNNNNNNNNNNNNNNNNNNNNNNNNNNNNNNNNNNNNNNNNNNNNNNNNNNNNNNNNNNNNNNNNNNNNNNNNNNNNNNNNNNNNNNNNNNNNNNNNNNNNNNNNNNNNNNNNNNNNNNNNNNNNNNNNNNNNNNNNNNNNNNNNNNNNNNNNNNNNNNNNNNNNNNNNNNNNNNNNNNNNNNNNNNNNNNNNNNNNNNNNNNNNNNNNNNNNNNNNNNNNNNNNNNNNNNNNNNNNNNNNNNNNNNNNNNNNNNNNNNNNNNNNNNNNNNNNNNNNNNNNNNNNNNNNNNNNNNNNNNNNNNNNNNNNNNNNNNNNNNNNNNNNNNNNNNNNNNNNNNNNNNNNNNNNNNNNNNNNNNNNNNNNNNNNNNNNNNNNNNNNNNNNNNNNNNNNNNNNNNNNNNNNNNNNNNNNNNNNNNNNNNNNNNNNNNNNNNNNNNNNNNNNNNNNNNNNNNNNNNNNNNNNNNNNNNNNNNNNNNNNNNNNNNNNNNNNNNNNNNNNNNNNNNNNNNNNNNNNNNNNNNNNNNNNNNNNNNNNNNNNNNNNNNNNNNNNNNNNNNNNNNNNNNNNNNNNNNNNNNNNNNNNNNNNNNNNNNNNNNNNNNNNNNNNNNNNNNNNNNNNNNNNNNNNNNNNNNNNNNNNNNNNNNNNNNNNNNNNNNNNNNNNNNNNNNNNNNNNNNNNNNNNNNNNNNNNNNNNNNNNNNNNNNNNNNNNNNNNNNNNNNNNNNNNNNNNNNNNNNNNNNNNNNNNNNNNNNNNNNNNNNNNNNNNNNNNNNNNNNNNNNNNNNNNNNNNNNNNNNNNNNNNNNNNNNNNNNNNNNNNNNNNNNNNNNNNNNNNNNNNNNNNNNNNNNNNNNNNNNNNNNNNNNNNNNNNNNNNNNNNNNNNNNNNNNNNNNNNNNNNNNNNUUGAAUAAAUCUCAUAGGAGUUAGGAUGAAGAAGUUAUCCCACUUUCAAAUAAGGUGAUCCCAGUUUUCCUGUUUGGGAAUAUGAAAACUUCUUCAUCAUCCUAAUCAAACCAGAAUGAAUCGCGAUGUUAGAACCUUCAUUUGGAUACAUAAAGUAGUGUAGAAUCACCAGGAAGUUGAACAAAUCUCAUAGGAGUUAGGAUGAAGAAGUUAUCACCCUUUCAAAUAAGGUGAUCCCAGUUUCCCUGUUUGGGAAUAUGACAACUUCUUCGUCAUUCUAAUCAAACCAGGAUGAAUCGCGAUGUACAAAGCUUGAUUUGGAUACAUAACGUAGUGGAGAAUCACCAGGAAGUUGAACAAAUCUCAUAGGAGUUAGGAUGAAGAAGUUAUCCCACUUUCAAAUAAGGUGAUCCCUGUUUUCCUGUUUGGGAAUAUGACAACUUCUUCGUCAUUCUAAUCAAACCAGAAUGAAUCGCGAUGUAAGAACCUUCAUUUGGAUACAUAAGGUAGUGUAGAAUCACCAGGAAGUUGAAUAAAUCUCAUAGGAGUUAGGAUGAAGAAGUUAUCCCACUUUCAAAUAAGGUGAUCCCUGUUUUCCUGUUUGGGAAUAUGCAAACUUCUUCGUCAUUCUAAUCAAACCAGAAUGAAUCGCGAUGUAAGAACCUUCAUUUGGAUACAUAAAGUAGUGGAGAAUCACCAGGAAGUUGAAUAAAUCUCAUAGGAGUUAAGAUGAAGAAGUUAUCCCACUUUCAAAUAUGGUGAUCCCUGUUUCCCUGUUUGGGAAUAUGAAUACUUCUUCGUCAUCCUAAUCAAAUCAGAAUGAAUCGCGAUGUUAGAACCUUCAUUUGGAUACAUAAAGUAGUGUAGAAUCUCCACGAAGUUGAAUAAAUCACAUAGGAGUUAGGGUGAAGAAGUUAUCCCACUUUCAAAUAUGGUGAUCCCGGUUUCCCUGUUUGGGAAUAUGACAACUUCUUCGUCAUUCUAAUCAAACCAGGAUGAAUAGCGAUGUACAAAGCUUGAAUUGGAUACAUAACAUAGUGGAGAAUCACCAGGAAGUUGAACAAAUCUCAUAGGAGUUAGGAUGAAGAAGUUAUCCCACUUUCAAAUAAGGUGAUCCUAGUUUCCCUGUUUGGGAAUAUGACAACUUCUUUGUCAUUCUAAUCAAACCAGGAAGAAUCGCGAUGUAAGAACCUUCAUUUGGAUACAUAAGGUAGUGUAGAAUCACCAGGAAGUUGAAUAAAUCUAAUAGGAGUUAGGAUGAAGAAGUUAUCCCACUUUCAGAUAAGGUGAUCCCAGUUUCCCUGUUUGGGAAUAUGAAAACUUCUUCCUCAUCCUAAUCAAAUCAGAAUGAAUUGCGCUGUUAGAACCUUCAUUUGGAAACAUAAAGUAGGGUAGAAUCACAAGGAAGUUGAAUAAAUCUCAUAGGAGUUAGGAUGAAGAAGUUAUCCCACUUUCAAAUAAGGUGAUCCCAGUUUCCCAAUUUGGGAAUAUGAAUACUUCUUCGUCAUCCUGAAGUUAUCCCACUUUCAAAUAAGGUGAUCCCAGUUUCCCUGUUUAGGAAUAUGACAACUUCUUCGACAUCCAAAUCAAACCAGGAUGAAUCGCGAUGUACAAAGCUUGAUUUGGAUUCAUAAAGUAGUGGAGAAUCACUAGGAAGUUGAAUAAAUCUCAUAGGAGUUAGGAUGAAGAAGUUAUCCCACUUUCAAAUAAGGUGAUCCCAGUUUGCCUGUUUGGGAAUAAGACAACUUCUUCGUCAUUCAAAUCAAACCAGGAUGAAUCGGGAUGUACAAAGCUUGAUUUGGAUACAUAAAGUAGUGCAGAAUUACCCGAAAUUUGAAUAAAUCUCAUUGGUGUUAGAAUGAAGAAGUUAUCCCACUUUCAAAUAAGGUGAUCCCAGUUUCCCUGUUUGGGAAUAUGAAUACUUCUUCGUCAUCCUAAUCAAACCAGAAUGAAUCGCAUUGUUAGAACCUUCAUUUGGAUAUAUAAAGUAGUGUAGAAUCACCAGGAAGUUGAAUAAAUCUCAUAGGAGUUAGGAUGAAGAAGUUAUCCCACUUUCAAAUAAGGUGAUCCCAGUUUUCCUGUUUGGGAAUAUGACAACUUCUUCGUCAUUCUUAUCAAACCAGGAUGAAUCGCGAUGUAAGAACCUUCAUUUGGAUACAUAAAAUAGUGGAGAAUCACCAGGAAGUUGAAUAAAUCUCAUAGGAGUUAGGAUGAAGAAGUUAUCCCACUUUCAAAUAAGGUGAUCCCAGUUUCCCUGUUUGGGAAUAUGACAACUUCUUCGUCAUUCUAAUCAAAGCAGGAUGAAUCGGGAUGUAAGAAGCUUGAUUUGGAUACAUAAAGUAGUGGAGAAUCAGCCGGAAGUUGGAUAAAUCUCAUAGGAGUUAAGAUGAAGAAGUUAUCCCACUUUCAAAUAAGGUGAUCCCAGUUUGCCUGUUUGGGAAUAUGACAACUUCUUCGUCAUUCUAAUCAAACCAUGAUGAAUCGCGAUGUAAGAACAUUCAUUUGGAUACAUAAACCAGUGGAGAAUCACCAGGAAGUUGAAUAAAUCUCAUAAGAGUUAGGAUGAAGAAGUUAUCCCACUUUCAAAUAAGGUGAUCCCAGUUUGCCUGUUUGGGAAUAUGACAACUUCUUCGUCAUUCUAAUCAAACCAGGGUGAAUCGCUAUGUACAAAGCUUGGUUUGGAUAUAUAAGGUAGUGGAGAAUCACCAGGAAGUUGAAUAAAUCUCAUAAGAGUUAGGAUGAAGAAGUUAUCCCACUUUCAAAUAAGGUGAUCCCAGUAUCCCUGUUUGGGAAUCUGACAACUUCUUCGUCAUUCUAAUCAAACCAUGAUGAAUCACGAUGUAAGAACCUUCAUUUGGAUACAUAAACCAGUGGAGAAUCACCAGGAAGUUGAAUAAAUCUCAUAGGAGUUAGGAUGAAGAAGCUAUCCCACUUUCAAAUAAGGUGAUCCCAGUAUCCCUGUUUGGGAAUCUGACAACUUCUUCGUCAUUCUAAUGUUUGGAAAUAUGACAACUUCUUCGUCAUUCUAAUCAAACCACGGUGAAUCGCUAUGUACAAAGCUUGAUUUGGAUAUAUAAAGUAGUGGAGAAUCACCAGAAAGUUGAAUAAAUCUCAUAAGAGUUAGGAUAAAGAAGUUAUCCCACUUUCAAAUAAGGUNNNNNNNNNNNNNNNNNNNNNNNNNNNNNNNNNNNNNNNNNNNNNNNNNNNNNNNNNNNNNNNNNNNNNNNNNNNNNNNNNNNNNNNNNNNNNNNNNNNNNNNNNNNNNNNNNNNNNNNNNNNNNNNNNNNNNNNNNNNNNNNNNNNNNNNNNNNAUUUGGAUACAUAAAGUAGUGGAGAAUCACCCGGAAGUUGAAUAAAUCUCAUAGGAGUUAGGAUGAAGAAGUUAUCUCACUUUCAAAUAAGGUGAUCCCAGUUUCUCUGUUUGGGAAUAUGAAUACUUCUUCGUCAUUCUAAUCAAACCAGGGCGAAUCGCUAUGUACAAAGCUUGAUUGGGAUAUAUAAAGUAGUGGAGAAUCACCAGGAAGUUGAAUAAAUCUCAUAGGAGUUAGGAUGAAGAAGUUAUCCCACUUUCAAAUAAGGUGAUCCCAGUUUCCCUGUUUGGAAAUAUGAUAACUUCUUCGUCAUUCUAAUCAAACCAGGAUGAAUCGUGAUGUAAGAACCUUCACUUGGAUACAUUAAGUAGUGGAGAAUCACCAGGAAGUUGAAUAAAUCUCAUAGGACUUAGGAUGAAGAAGUUAUCCCACUUUCAAAUAAGGAUAUCCCAGUUUCCCUGUUUGGAAAUAUGAUAACUUCUUCGUCAUUCUAAUCAAACCAGGAUGAAUCGGGAUUUACAAAGCUUGAUUUGGAUACGUAAAGUAGUGGAGAAUCAGCCGGAAGUUGAAUAAAUCUCAUAGGAGUUAGGAUGAAGAAGUUAUCCCACUUUCAAAUAAGGAUAUCCCAGUUUCCCUGUUUGGGAAUAUGAUAACGUCUUCGUCAUUCUAAUCAAACCAGGAUGAAUCGCGAUGUAAGAACCUUCAUUUGGAUACAUUAAGUAGUGGAUAAUCACCAGGAAGUUGAAUAAAUCUCAUAGGAGUUAGGAUGAAGAAGUUAUCCCACUUUCAAAUAAGUUGUUACAACCUUCAUUUGGAUACAUAAAGUAGUGUAGAAUCACCAAGAAGUUGAGUAAAUCUCAUAGGAGUUAGGAUGAAGAAGUUAUCCCACUUUCAAAUAAGGUGAUCACAGUUUCCCUGUUUGGGAAUAUGACAACUUCUUCAUCAUUCUAAUCAAACCAGGAUGAAUCGCGAUGUAAGAACCUUCAUUUGGAUACAUAAGAGUAGUGGAGAAUCACCAGGAAGUUGAAUAAAUCUCAUAGGAGUUAGGAUGAAGAAGUUAUCCCACUUUCAAAUAAGGUGAUCCCAGUUUCCCUUUUUGGGAAUAUGACAACUUCUUCGUCAUUCUAAUCAAACCAGGAUGAAUCACGGUGUAAGAACCUUCAUUUGGAAACAUAAAGUAGUGGAGAAUCACCAGGAAGUUUAAUAAAUCUCAUAGGAGUUAGGAUGAAGAAGUUAUCCCACUUUCAAAUAAGGUGAUCCCAGUUUCCCUGUUUGGGAAUAUGACAACUUCUUCGCCAUCCUAAUCAAACCAGGAUAAAUCGCGAUAUACAAAGCUUGAUUUGGAUACAUAAAGUAGUGGAGAAUCACUAGGAAGUUGAAUAAAUCUCAUAGGAGUUAGGAUAAAGAAGUUAUCCCACUUUCAAAUAACGUGAUCCCAGUUUCCCUGUUUGGGAAUAAGACAACUUCUUCGUAAUUCUAAUCAAACUAGGAUGAAUAGGGAUGUACAAAGCUUGAUUUGGAUACAUAAAGUAGUGGAGAAUCACCAGGAAGUUGAAUAAAUCUCAUAGGAGUUAGGAUAAAGAAGUUAUCCCACUUUCAAAUAAGAUGAUCCCAGUUUCCCUGUUUGGGAAUAAGACAACUUCUUCGUAAUUCUAAUCAAACUAGGAUGAAUAGGGAUGUACAAAGCUUGAUUUGGAUACAUAAAGUAGUGGAGAAUCACCAGGAAGUUGAAUAAAUCUCAUAGGAGUUAGGAUAAAGAAGUUAUCCCACUUUCAAAUAACGUGAUCCCAGUUUCCCUGUUUGGGAAUAUGACAACUUCUUCGUCAUUCUAAUCAAACCAGGAUGAAUCACGAUGUUAGAACCUUCAUUUGGAUACAUAAAGUAGUGGAGAAUCACCAGGAAGUUGAAUAAAUCUCAUAGGAGUUAGGAUGGAGAAUUUAUCCCACUUUCAAAUAAGGUGAUCCCAGUUUCCCUGUUUGGGAAUAUGAAAACUUCCUCAUCAUCCUAAUCAAAUCAGAAUGAAUCGCGCUGUUAGAACCUUCAUUUAGAUACAUAAAGUAGGGUAGAAUCACAAGGAAGUUGAAUAAAUCUCAUACGAGUUAGGAUGAAGAAGUUAUCCCACUUUCAAAUAAGGUGAUCCUAGUUUCCCUGUUUGGGAAUAUGACAACUUCUUUGACAUCCUAAUCAAACCAGGAUGAAUCGCGAUGUACAAAGCUUGAUUUGGAUACAUAAAGUAGUGGAGAAUCACCAGGAAGUUGAAUAUAUCUCAUAGGAGGUAGGAUGAAGAAGUUAUCCCACUUUCAAAUAAGGUGAUCCUAGUUUCCCUUUUUGGGAAUAUGACAACUUCUUCGUCAUUCUAAUCAAACCAGGAUGAAUCGCGAUGUACAAAGCUUGAUUUGGAUACAUAAAGUAGUGGAGAAUCUCCAGGAAGUUGAAUAAAUCUCAUAGGAGUUAGGAUGAAGAAGUUAUCCCACUUUCAAAUAAGGUGAUCCUAGUUUCCCUUUUUGGGAAUAUGACAACUUCUUCGUCAUUCUAAUCAAACAAGGAUGAAUCGCGAUGUACAAAGCUUGAUUUGGAUACAUAAAGUAGUGCAUAAUUACCCGGAAUUUGAAUAAAUCUCAUAGGAGUUAGGAUGAAGAAUUAUCCCACUUUCAAAUAAGGUGAUCCCAGUUUUCCUGUUUCGGAAUAUGAAAACUUCUUCGUCAUCCUAAUCAAAUCAGAAUGAAUCGCGCUGUUAGAACCUUCAUUUGGAUACAUAAAGUAGUGGACAAUCACCAGGAAGUUGAAUAAAUUUCAUAGGAGUUAGGAUGAAGAAGUUAUCCCACUUUCAAAUAAGGUGAUCCCAGUUUCCCUGUUUGGGAAUAUGACAACUUCUUCGACAUCCUAAUCAAACCAGGAUGAAUCGCGAUGUACAAAGCUUGAUUUGGAUACUUUAAGUAGUGGAGAAUCACCAGGAAGUUGAAUAAAUCUCAUAGGAGUUAGGAUGAAGAAGUUAUCCCACUUUUAAAUGAGGUGAUCCCAGUUUCCCUGUUUGGAAAUAUGACAAGACUUUCUAAUAAGGUGAUCCCAAUUUCCCAGUUUGGGAAUAUGAAUACUUCUUCGUCAUCCUAAUCAAACCAGAAUGAAUCGCGCUGUUAGAACCUUCAUUUGGAUACAUAAAGUAGUGUAGAAUCACCAGGAAGUUGAAUAAAUCUCAUAGGAGUUAGGAUGAAGAAUUUAUCCCACUUUCAAAUAAAGUGAUCUCAGUUUCCCUGUUUGGGAAUAUGACAACUUCUUCGUCAUUCUAAUCAAACCAGGAUGAAUCGCGAUGUAAGAACCUUCAUUUGGAUACAUAAAGUAGUGUAUAAUAACCAGGAAGUUGAAUAAAUCUCAUAGGAGG